Molecule: long non-coding RNA, 110445 nt
Filed under: Zea mays
Lineage: Eukaryota; Viridiplantae; Streptophyta; Magnoliopsida; Poales; Poaceae
Description: long non-coding RNA (ZMAY_LNC005105)
Source: RNAcentral
ACCGCCGCCAUCGAUCGAUCGCCCGGAAACUGACCUCUACCGAUGUCUGGAGCCGGCGAGGAGGAUAAGAAGCCCGCGGAGGGCGGCGCCCACAUCAACCUUAAGGUCAAGGGACAGGUCAGCACGCCGGCGGUUCCUCUCUUCCUCAUUUUCUUCUUUCUUGUCAACUCGCCGGUGGCCCCCCUUCCUCACCAUCUUCCCCGUAGCGAGGUAGAUUAGCGCUGUUAAACCCGCACCUCGUAGCGAUCGAUCGUCGUUGCGGUGUUGAUUCUCGGAUUGCUAGGUUGCUGUCGAAUUGGGAUUGGUAGGUAGCGAUGUGUCGGUGCUGAUAGAUGGUUCUUUGCGAGCGAAUGUUUUGUCGAUUGCGCCUGGUGUGUGCUAUAGGUAGCCCUUGCAGACUGCAGUACGGAUUUUCUGAAGAGGGCAUCGAUUGUUGACCUUACAGUCUUUACUAGUUUAAAUGGUCGAAUGUUCAUCCUUUAUUUCUCUAGAUGUUUGGUAACAGGAUUGUUGAUCACACAAAUCUGAACUGGGUUCAAUGCCAGAAUUUUCAACAUGUUUUAUUUCUCUGGAUGUUUGUUAAUAUCACAAGUUGGAUACUGAUAUGCCUUGCCCCUCGCAUGUAAUUUAUCAAAUUGUGGAAAAUUAACUUUAGGGCCAUUUGGAACAAAGGAAAUAUGAAGGAUUUUUUUAGGAUUCAUUCUCUAUAGGAUAUUUUCCUACAUGACCCUUUGGAACACAGGAUUUAAUCCCAACUUUCCUAUGGCUUUUAUCUCUCUACUCAAAUUUCUGCAUAGCAUCCAAAGGCAAAGUGAGAAAUUUUUCUGCGUUCUCAAUUCCUAUAGGAUUGCAAUUCAUAGCCAACUCUAAUCCUAUGUUUUUCUAUUUCUAUGUUUUCAUAUUCCUUCCAAAGGGGGCCUUAAUAUUAGUUAAAUGUCUGACACUGUAACUGUUGAAGCAUCGUGCUUGAAUGUUUUUCGUUUGCUUUGUUCUCUGGAAUCCCUUUUUUUGUCCCACGUGAUUCUGAAUAGAGGUUUGCCCAUAAUUCUGUUCUACUAUAGGUCUAAUGAAUAUAGAGGUUUACCCAUAAUUCUGUUCUACCGUGGGUCUAAUGAAUAGAGGUUUAUAUCCUAUAAAUUUGAAGGAUCAUCAUUUUUGUUUAUACUGUUAUUUUUUUGUUGGAGGAUAUCUCAUGUGCAUGAAACUGAUAUAGGCUAGUAAUUUUUGUCGUGUCUGAUUUUAUUCUUUUGUGCCAGGAGCUCAGAUUGCUCAUAAUUGUUAGUAGCUUUUCUAGUAUUAAUUACUGAAAGAAUCGUUAAAGUUGCUUGACAAAGCACUUUAUUCUGAGUUUGGUAAGCAACUUCUUUUGAAGGCACUACACGUUAUGACUUAUUAUAAUCGGAUUUAAAAGAGAAUUCUCACUAAUACUAAUUGGUUGGUGUAUUUGAGUACGGCGCUUGACAAUCCUCUUAAAAUGCUUGUCAGACAUUGACAUGUUUGAUAGGGUUCUAGGGGCCGUGUGCAAACUGAUAUAGGCUAACCCCUCGCUGUACGAAUGCAUGCCACGAGACAGGCUCGACCAAGGCCUCGGGAGGAACCUCCGUCUCGCCUGAGCCUGGCCUCGGUCUUAGAUAACAUCGACAAAAGGACGCCACCAACUCUUCUGUGAAGGAUGCUGACAACGGGUUUGCUACAGGACCGACGUCAAGUCUGCUUUACGCCAUACAGGAAGAAUUACCAUGCACUUUUCACCAUACUUAUCACAUUUUUCUCAACUACGACUCGGACAACACCUCCAUCAGACAGACUCGGGUACGCGUCCGAGCCCUAGAUCCUGGCCUCGGCACUUUGCUCGGUCAAGAUGCAAACACAGGGACCGAAUGUCCUCCUCCUGGUUCAAGUCAACAGAAAGGCCAUUCCGUUGGCCAUACCGGCUACGGUGGCUCAGACUCGCCUACUCUCCAUAUACGACAAAUCGUGGCACUCCUAGGAUCCCUCCUUGAGGCUAUAAAAGGAGGUCUCUAGGUCUUCAUAUUGGAGAGAGGAAAACACUUGUGGGUUUUCACAUCUCCCUCUCCUGGCCAUCUUAUACCCUCUACUACAAGCACUUAGGUGCAAGAUAAUAUAAGUCUCAUCCCCCCAAUGCUGGAAGUAUGGCCUUAUCUCGCCCGAACUAGGAUAAAAGCUUGUGUCUUCUUGCAUCACCCAUCUGGAUCUAGUCACGCCAAACUAAUUUACUAGUUGGUAGGACCCUUGGGUCAAAACAUCGUUAAUAGGAUUGCAAAUCAUAGCCAACUCUAAUCCUAUGUUUUUCCUAUUUCUGUGUUUUCAUAUUCAUGUGUUCCAAAGGGGGCCUUAAGAUUAGUUUAAUGUCUGGCACUGUAUCUGUUGAAGCACCGUGCUUGGAUGUUUUUUGUUUGAUUUGUUCUCUGGAAUCUUUUUUUUAUCCCAUGUAAUUCUGAAUAGACGUUUGCCCAUAAUGCUGCUCUACUGUAGGUCUAAUGAAUAGAGAGGUUUACCCAUAAUUCUGUUCUACCAUGGGUCUAAUGAAUAGAUGUUUAUAUUCUAUAAAUUUGCAGGAUCAUCAUAUUUGUUUAUACUGUUAUUUUUUUGUUGGAGGAUCUCAUGUGCAUGAAACUGAUAUAGGCUAGUAAUUUUUGUCGUGUCUGAUUUUAUUCUUUUGUGCCAGGAGCUCAUAUUGCUCAUAAUUGUCAGUAGCUUUUCUAGUAUUAAUUACUGAAAGAAUUGUUAAAGUUGCUUGACAAAGCACUUUAUUCUGAGUUUGGUAAACAACUUGUUUUAAAGGCACUACACGUUAUGACUUAUUAUAAUCAGAUUUAAAAGAGAAUUCUCGCUAAUACUAAUUGGUUGGUGUAUUUGAGAUAUGAUGGUUGGCAAUGCUCUUAAAAUGCUUUGAGUUUUUCAUAGGUCCAUUUUUUUUGAUAAAGUCGAAUGUUUGACUAUCAAUGCUUGAUGUUACUUGAGUCAUGCUUUAAUCGCUUAUCUGAAUAAUUUUUUUAUAAGGUUGAAACUUAAAUUUUACCAUUUGGAUUAUCUUGGGAUAUCAAUAUUGCUUAAUUUACUGAUUGAGCUGCUCUGUGUAUUGCUCGAACAUUGUGGAAUUUUACAUGUCAUAUUGUUAAGGUUACACUCUUUUGAUAUCACAUUCUCAAGUGUUAUCUGUCACUUGACUCUUCCAUCUUUAUAAUAAUAUUUAUAUAGGAUGGCAAUGAGGUGUUCUUUCGCAUAAAGAGGUCCACCCAGCUGAAGAAGCUGAUGAACGCCUAUUGCGACCGCCAGUCUGUGGACAUGAAUGCCAUUGCAUUCCUGUUUGAUGGCCGCAGGCUUCGCGGCGAGCAGACCCCUGAUGAGGUGACCCAAUUCGGCUUUAGAUCCCAGCAUUGAGUGGAAUCAUUGAUCGAUAUUUAUUAUGGCUGUGCAGCUGGAGAUGGAGGACGGCGACGAGAUCGACGCCAUGCUUCACCAGACCGGAGGCAGCGUUCCUAGCACCACCUAAAAGCAGCAGCUGCGGAGCCUCGUUUUGCUCUCCGCCCUGCGUAGUACUAAACAAAAGGGAAAAAGUCUUUUUAAGGAACUUGUGAUGCUCUGGCUCCUUGUGCCAUUGCUGAGGGACAUCCUUAGCCUUUAUUUAGUGGUAUGGUUUGGUACUUUGUUCUGUCAUCACUCGUUUAUCUAUCCCUAAUACAUGCCGCCAUGUUUGUACUUCCAAUGACGCGCCGAUCAUUUGCUUUGUUUUGUCUGCUCGAAGUCUAUGCUUUUCAGGCCAUCUCUUUGGGCCUGUUUGGUUUUGUCUCCUGAUCCUUACGUUUUGUGCACUAAGUUGAUGGAUCCCUUUUGGCUGAUUCAGUUUGUAUAAUUCCAGCCGGUGAUUUGCAGCUGCCUGAUUGUUUUUUAGUUAAAAUCUCCUCAUAUUUAAAAUAAGUGUUACAUUAAAGUAAGUUAAAUUGAUGGGUAGUUUAUCAUGGCUUUAAUGCCUACCGUUUUCUACUUUUUCACAGCUGCAUCAAUCUAAACAUUUGUCUUUAAUCCAAAGGGAAUAUGCUCUGUAAUCUCAGCGUAUGAAGUCUCAAAUGGUGAGUUAUGCGAACUCACCGCUAAACAGAUCUGUGAGAUGUGAUCAAUUCGCUCGCAUCCUUCACCACCAGUAAAGUUAGUCGAUGCUCGUCACGUCGGUAAACUCGUCGCUAAACAGAUCUGUGAGAUGUGAUCAGUUCGCUUCUAUCCCCUCCACCGCCAGUAACAAGCGAGUUCAAGUCAAGAUCCAAAUCCGGCCUGCACCUUUUUAGCAGUAUUUUGAUCGACCUAUCCAAAUAGGCUCCCUAUUUAUUUUCUUUUAAGAUUAUAUAAUUCAACUUAUUAUAUAAGCACUAAUGACUUUCUGCCAUAUUUGUUUCCUUCUAGAUUAUAUAAUACAAUUUAUGGAUUAUAUAAACAAUUAGACCAUAUUUGUUUUCUUCUAGAAUUAUAUAAUUCAACUCAUGGAUUAUACAAACACCUAGGCCCUAUUUAUUUACCCUCAAAUUUACAUAAUUCAGCUCAAAUAAGUUAAUAGAUAAAUAAACAACACAUAUUAUUAAAUAGCUAAAUGCCCGUGUGUUGCAACGGGAAUAUAUAAUAUCAGUAUACUACGAUAACUUAUAUACAAAAUGUGUGUUAUAUUGUUAUGAGAAAAUGUUUCAUAAUCAAUUUGUGAUCCUAACCAUACAUAAAUUUUGUUAUUUUAAUCCAAUUGUUUCACCACUACAUUGCAACCAUCAGUAUCAUGUAGACUUCGAUAUAUGCCACGAUUUGUAUGGUCUCAUUAUUAGAGAGCACAUUCCACACAUGCCAGAAGAAAUUUUCUCGUACAUCGUGAAAGGGAAAUGUGCCCUUGGGCCAUUUCUAAGUAUUUUGGUGAUAAAGUGCCAACACAAAUGGUUUAAGUAUGAAACUAUGCCAAAUGGUGGAAGAAGUGUAAAGUCAAUACAAAGGUAUGAUUCUAGACUUAGUACAUUGGUUUUUGUAUACUAACAUAUUUGUCUAAGUGCUAGAAUCAGAGAAAACGCAAUUGGAAAACACUUGGCUCGAGCAGUCAAGACUCUGCUUAGUCUGGGUGCACCGGACUGUCCGGUGGUGCACCGGACAGUGUCCGGUGCGCCAGGCUGGCGUCUGAUCAACUGGCUGCUCUCGGGUCUCGACGGCGGCGUACGGCUAUAAAUCACCGGACUGUCCGGUGAUGCAUCGGACAGUGUCCGGUGAGUCGGCUGCGGCGAAGUCGCCGCUCUCGGGAACAAGUCAACAGCAUACGGCUAUAAUUCACCGGACUGUCCGGUGAGCCAACGGUCGGGCGUGCCAACGGUCGGCCGCGCAAUCCGCGCGUGACGCGUGGCCGAGCCAACGGUCUGAUGGGAGCACCGGACUGUCCGGUGCGCCAACGGCUCCAAGUCUCCAACGGUCGGCUGCGCCAGAAUAGGAAAGAAAUCCACACCGGACAGUGUCCGAUGGUGCACCGGACUGUCCGGUGCGCCAGUCGACAGAAGGCAAGAAUUGCCUUUCUGGAUUGCUCUCAACGGCUCCUAGCUGCCUUGGGGCUAUAAAAGGGACCCUUGGGCGCAUGGAGGAGCACACCAAGCAUUCCUUAAGCAUUCCUAAGCACCAAGACUUCAUUUAUGCGCAUUCGAUUCUUUGUGAGCAACUAGAGCUCCAUUUGAGUAGAGAACUGAAAGGGAAUUAGGCUUACACCUAGUUCCUAAAUAAUUUUGGUGGUUGAAUUGCCCAACACAAAUCUUUGGACUAACUAGUUUGCUCUAGUGUAUAAGUUAUACAGGUGCCAAAGGUUCACACUUAGCCAAUAAAAAGACCAAGUGUUGGGUUCAACAAAAGAGCAAAGGAGCAACCAAAGGCUCCUCUGGUCUGGCGCACCGGACUGUCCGGUGUGCCACCGGACAUGUCCGGUGCACCAUAGGACUCCGACCUCAAAGUCUUCGCUCUCGGGAAUUUCCGGAGGCCACUCAGCUAUAAUUCACCGGACUGUCCGGUGUGCACCGGACAUGUCCGGUGCUCCAAGGAAGGGCGGCCUCAGGAACUCGUCAGCCUCGGGUUUUCACUCCAGCCGCUCCGCUAUAAUUCACCGGACUGUCCGGUGUGCACCGGACUGUCCGGUGCAUCUGCGGGGCAACGGCUACUUCAGGCACCAACGGCUACCUGCGGCGCAUUUAUUGCGCGCCAGCGCGCGCAGAGGUCAGGCACGCCCAUGCUGGCGCACCGGACACUCUACAGUACCUGUCCGGUGCGCCACCGGACAUCAAGGCGGGCCCAGAAGUCAGAACUCCAACGGUCAGAUUCCAACGGCACUGAUGACGUGGCUGGGGCACCGGACAUGUCCGGUGUGCACCGGACUGUCCGGUGCGCCAUCGAACAGACAGCCCAGCCAACGGUCAAGUUUGGUGGUUGGGGCUAUAAAUACCCCAACCACCCCACCAUUCAUUGCAUCCAAGUUGUCCACUUCCCAACUACUACAAGAGCUCUAGCAUUCAAUUCUAGACACACCAAAGAGAUCAAAUCCUCUCCAAUUCCACAAAAGGAUUUAGUGAUUAGCGAGAGAGAUUUGCCGUGUUCUUUCGAGCUCUUGCGCUUGGAUUGCUUCCUUCUUUCUUGAUUCUUUCUUGUGAUCAAACACUCACUUGUAAUUGAGGCAAGAGGCACCAAUUGUGUGGUGGCCCUUGCGGGAAGUUUGAUUCCCAAGUGAUUUGAGAAGAGAAGCUCACUCGGUCCGAGGGACCGAUUGAGAGAGGGAAGGGUUGAAAGAGACCCGGCCUUUGUGGCCUCCUCAACGGGGAGUAGGUUUGCAAGAACCGAACCUCGGUAAAACAAAUCCGCGUGUCACACUCUUCAUUUGCUUGCGAUUUGUUUUGCUCCCUCUCUCGCGGACUCGUUUAUAUUUCUAAUGCUAACCCGGCUUGUAGUUGUGAUUAUUUUUGAGAAUUUCAGUUUCGCCCUAUUCACCCCCCCUCUAGGCGACUUUCAAUUGGUAUCAGAACCCGGUGCUUCAUUAGAGCCUAACCGCUCGAAGUGAUGUCGGGAGAUCACGCCAAGAAGGAGAUGGAGACCGGCGAAAAGCCCACUACAAGCCACGGGAGCACUUAAUCGGAAGAAUCCCGCACCAAAAGGAAGGAGAAGAAGAGCUCCUCCAACAAAGGGAAGGAGAAGAAAUCUUCUUCGCACCACAAAGAGAAGAAGGAGAGAUCUUCCUCCCACAAGCCACAUCGGAGAGGGGACAAGCACAAAAGGAUGAGGAAAGUGGUCUACUACGAGACCGACACUUCAUCAACAUCGACCUCCGGCUCCGAUGCGCCCUCCGUAACUUCUAAACGCCAAGAGCGUAAGAAGUUUAGUAAGAUCCCCCUACAUUACCCUCACAUUUCUAAAAAUGCACCUUUACUUUCCGUCCCAUUAGGCAAACCACCAACUUUUGAUGGUGAAGAUUAUGCUAGGUGGAGUGAUUUAAUGCGAUUUCAUCUAACCUCACUCCACAAAAGUAUAUGGGAUGUUGUUGAGUUUGGUGCACAGGUACCAUCCGUAGGGGAUAAAGACUAUGAUGAGGAUGAAGUGGCCCAAAUCGAGCACUUCAACUCUCAAGCGACAACAGUACUCCUCGCCUCUUUAAGUAGAGAGGAGUAUAACAAAGUUCAAGGGUUGAAGAGCGCCAAGGAAGUUUGGGAUGUGCUCAAAACCGCGCACGAAGGAGAUGAGCUCACCAAAAUCACCAAGCGGGAAACGAUCGAGGGGGAGCUCGGUCGGUUCCGACUUCGCAAAGGGGAGGAGCCACAACACAUGUACAACCGGCUCAAGACUUUGGUGAACCAAGUGCGCAACCUCGGGAGCACGAAGUGGGACGACCACGAAAUGGUUAAGGUUAUUCUAAGAUCUCUCAUUUUCCUUAACCCCACUCAAGUUCAAUUAAUUCGUGGUAAUCCUAGAUAUACUAAAAUGACCCCCGAGGAAGUUAUCGGGAAUUUUGUAAGUUUUGAGUGCAUGAUCGAAGGCUCGAGGAAGAUCAACGAGCUUGAUGAUCCAUCCACAUCCGAAGCUCAACCCGUAGCAUUCAAGGCGACGGAGGAAAAGAAGGAGGAGGCUACACCAAGUCGACAACCUAUAGACGCCUCCAAGCUCGACAAUGAGGAAAUGGCGCUCGUCAUCAAGAGCUUCCGCCAAAUCCUCAAGCAAAGGAGAGGGAAAGACUACAAGUCCCGCUCCAAGAAGGUUUGCUACAAGUGUGGUAAGCCCGGUCACUUUAUUGCUAAAUGUCCAUUAUCAAGUGAUAGUGACAGGGGCGACGACAAGAAGGGGAGAAGAAAGGAGAAGAAGAGGUACUACAAGAAGAAGGGCGGUGAUGCCCAUGUUUGUCGGGAGUGGGACUCCGACGAAAGCUCAAGCGACUCCUCCUCCGACGAGGACGCCGCCAACAUCGCCGUCACCAAGGGACUUCUCUUCCCCAACGUCGGCCACAAGUGCCUCAUGGCAAAGGACGGCAAAAAGAAGGUUAAAUCUAAAUCCUCCACUAAAUAUGAAUCCUCUAGUGAUGAUAAUGCUAGUGAUGAGGAAGAUAACUUGCGCUCUCUUUUUGCCAACCUUAACAUGGAACAAAAGGAAAAACUAAAUGAGCUAAUUAGUGCCAUCCAUGAAAAGGAUGACCUCUUGGACUCCCAAGAGGACUUCCUAAUCAAGGAAAAUAAAAAGCAUGUUAAGGUUAAAAAUGCUUAUGCUCUAGAGGUAGAAAAAUGUGAAAAAUUGUCUAGUGAGCUAAGCACUUGCCAAGAGACCAUUAACAACCUUAGAAAUGAAAAUGCUAGAUUAAUUGCUAAGGUUGAUUCUCAUGUUUGUAUUGAUUCAAUUCCCGAUCUUAAAAAUGAUAAUGAUGAUUUACUUGCUAAGAUUAAGGAAUUGAAUGAUUCUCUUACUAGCCUUAGAGUAGAAAAUGAUAAUUUGAUUGCUAAGGCUAAAGAUUUUGAUGUCUGCAAUGUUACAAUUUCCAAUCUUAGAGAUAAUAAUGAUAUCUUGCGUGCUAAGAUCGUUGAACUUAAUUCAUGCAAACCCUCUACAUCUAGUGUUGAGCAUGUUUCCAUUUGUACUAGAUGUAGAGAUGUUGAUAUUAAUGCUAUUCAUGAUCACAUGGUCUUAAUUAAACAACAAAAUGAUCAUAUAGCAUUAUUAGAUGCUAAAAUUGCUGAGCAUAACUUAGAAAAUGAAAAGUUUAAAUUUGCUAGAAGUAUGCUCUAUAAUGGGAGACGCCCUGGCAUCAAGGAUGGCAUUGGCUUCCAUAGGGGAGACAAUGUCAAAAUUAAUGCCCCUCCUAAGAACUUGUCUAACUUUGUUAAGGGCAAGGCUCCCAUGCCUCAGGAUAACGAGGGUUACAUUUUGUACCCUGCCGGUUAUCCCGAAAGCAAAAUUAGGAGAAUUCACUCUAGGAAGUCUCACUCUGGCCCUAAUCAUGCUUUUAUGUAUAAGGGUGAGACAUCUAGUUCUAGGCAACCAACCCGUGCCAAGUUGCCUAGAAAGAAAACUCCUAAUGCAUCAAAUGAUCAUGCUAUUUCAUUCAAAACUUUUGAUGCAUCAUAUGUGCUUACUAACAAAUCCGGCAAGGUAGUUGCCAAGUUUGUUGGGGGCAAACACAAGGGCUCUAAGACUUGUGUUUGGGUACCCAAAGUUCUUGUGUCUAAUGCCAAAGGACCCAAAACCGUUUGGGUACCUAAAGUCAAGAACUAAAAUUGUUUUGUAGGUUUAUGCAUCCGGGGGCUCAAGUUGGAUACUCGACAGCGGGUGCACAAACCACAUGACAGGGGAGAAGAAGAUGUUCUCCUCCUACGAGAAAAACCAAGAUUCCCAACGAGCUAUCACAUUUGGGGAUGGAAAUAAAAGUUUGGUCAAAGGUCUUGGUAAAAUUGCUAUAUCUCCUGACCAUUCUAUUUCCAAUGUUUUUCUUGUAGAUUCUUUAGAUUACAAUUUGCUUUCCGUUUCACAAUUAUGUCAAAUGGGCUACAACUGUCUCUUUACUGAUGUAGGUGUCACUGUCUUUAGAAGAAGUGAUGAUUCAAUAGCAUUUAAGGGUGUGUUAGAGGGUCAGCUAUACUUGGUAGAUUUUGAUAGAGCUGAACUCGACACAUGCUUAAUUGCUAAGACUAACAUGGGUUGGCUCUGGCACCGCCGACUAGCCCAUGUUGGGAUGAAGAAUCUUCAUAAGCUUCUAAAGGGGGAACACAUUUUAGGAUUAACCAAUGUUCAUUUUGAGAAAGACAGGAUUUGUAGCGCAUGCCAAGCCGGGAAGCAAGUUGGCACUCAUCAUCCACACAAGAACAUCAUGACGACCGACAGGCCACUGGAGCUCCUACACAUGGAUCUAUUCGGCCCGAUUGCUUACAUAAGCAUCGGCAGGAGUAAGUACUGUCUAGUUAUUGUGGAUGAUUAUUCUCGCUUCACUUGGGUAUUCUUUUUACAGGAAAAAUCUCAAACCCAAAAGACCUUAAAGGGAUUCUUGAGACGGGCUCAAAAUGAGUUCGGCUUAAGGAUCAAGAAAAUAAGAAGCGACAAUGGGACGGAGUUCAAGAACUCUCAAAUUGAAGGCUUCCUUGAGGAGGAGGGCAUCAAGCAUGAGUUCUCUUCUCCCUACACCCCACAACAAAAUGGUGUAGUGGAGAGGAAGAAUCGAACUCUAUUGGACAUGGCAAGGACCAUGCUUGAUGAGUACAAGACUUCGGAUCGGUUUUGGGCCGAGGCAGUCAACACCGCCUGCUACGCCAUCAACCGGUUAUAUCUUCACCGAAUCCUCAAGAAAACAUCCUAUGAACUCCUAACCGUUAAAAAGCCCAACAUUUCAUAUUUUAGAGUUUUUGGUAGCAAAUGCUUUAUUCUUGUUAAAAAAGGUAGAAAAUCUAAAUUUGCUCCUAAAACUGUAGAAGGCUUUUUACUUGGUUAUGACUCAAACACAAGGGCAUAUAGGGUCUUUAACAAGUCCACUGGACUAGUUGAAGUCUCAUGUGGCGUUGUGUUUGAUGAGACUAACGGCUCUCAAGUAGAGCAAGUUGAUCUUGAUGAGAUAGGUGAUGAAGAGGCUCCGUGCAUCGCGCUAAGGAACAUGUCCAUCGGGGAUGUGUGUCCUAAGGAAUCCGAGGAGCCUCCAAAAACAUAAGAUCAACCAUCCUCCUCCACGCAAACAUCUCCACCAACUCAAAAUGACGAUGAGGCUCAAGUUGAUGAAGGGCAAGAUCAAGAAGAUGAGCCACCUCAAGAUGAUGGCAAUGAUCAAGGGGGAAAUGCAAAUGAUCAAGAAAAGGAGGAUGAGCAAGAACCAAGGCCGCCACACCCAAGAGUCCACCAAGCAAUUCAACGAGAUCACCCCGUCGACACCAUCCUCGGCGACAUUCAUAAGGGGGUAACCACUAGAUCUCGUGUUGCACAUUUUUGUGAGCAUUACUCUUUUGUUUCCUCUAUUGAGCCACACAGGAUAGAGGAAGCACUUCAAGAUUCGGAUUGGGUAGUGGCGAUGCAAGAGGAGCUCAACAACUUCACUAGGAAUGAGGUAUGGCAUUUAGUUCCACGUCCUAACCAAAAUGUUGUAGGAACCAAAUGGGUCUUCCGCAACAAGCAAGAUGAGCAUGGUGUGGUGACAAGGAACAAAGCUCGACUUGUGGCCAAGGGAUACUCCCAAGUCGAAGGUUUGGAUUUCGGUGAAACCUAUGCACCCAUAGCUCGGCUUGAGUCAAUUCGCAUAUUAUUGGCCUAUGCUACUUACCAUGGCUUUAAGCUUUAUCAAAUGGACGUGAAAAGUGCCUUCCUCAACGGACCGAUCAAGGAAGAGGUCUAUGUUGAGCAACCUCCCGGCUUUGAAGAUGGUGAGUACCCUAACCAUGUCUAUAAGCUCUCUAAGGCGCUUUAUGGGCUCAAGCAAGCCCCAAGAGCAUGGUAUGAAUGCCUUAGAGAUUUCCUUAUUGCUAAUGGCUUCAAAGUCGGCAAGGCCGAUCCUACUCUAUUCACUAAAACUCUUGACAAUGAUUUGUUUAUAUGCCAAAUUUAUGUUGAUGAUAUCAUAUUUGGGUCUACUAACGAAUCUACUUGUGAGGAAUUUAGUAGGAUCAUGACACAGAAAUUCGAGAUGUCUAUGAUGGGAGAGUUGAAAUAUUUCUUGGGAUUUCAAGUCAAGCAACUCCAAGAAGGCACCUUCAUUAGCCAAACAAAGUAUACUCAAGACAUCAUAAGCAAGUUUGGAAUGAAGGAUGCCAAGCCCAUCAAGACACCCAUGGGAACAAAUGGGCAUCUCGACCUCGACACAGGAGGUAAGUCCGUGGAUCAAAAGGUAUACCGGUCGAUGAUUGGUUCAUUGCUUUAUUUAUGUGCAUCUCGACCGGACAUUAUGCUUUCCGUAUGCAUGUGUGCAAGAUUCCAAGCCGACCCUAAGGAAUCACACCUUACGGCCGUAAAACGAAUCUUGAGAUAUUUGGCUUAUACUCCUAAGUUUGGGCUUUGGUACCCUCGGGGAUCCACAUUUGAUUUGAUUGGUUAUUCGGAUGCCGAUUGGGCGGGGUGUAAGAUUAACAGGAAGAGCACAUCGGGGACUUGCCAGUUCUUGGGAAGAUCCUUGGUGUCAUGGGCUUCAAAGAAGCAAAAUUCGGUCGCUCUUUCCACCGCCGAAGCCGAGUACAUUGCCGCAGGUCAUUGUUGCGCGCAACUACUUUGGAUGAGGCAAACCCUGCGGGACUACGGUUACAAAUUAACCAAAGUCCCUUUGCUAUGUGAUAAUGAGAGUGCAAUCAAAAUGGCCGACAAUCCUGUCGAGCAUAGCCGCACUAAACACAUAGCCAUCCGGUAUCAUUUUCUUAGGGAUCACCAACAAAAGGGGGAUAUCGAGAUUUCUUACAUUAACACUAAAGAUCAAUUAGCUGAUAUCUUUACCAAGCCUCUUGAUGAACAAACUUUUACCAAACUUAGGCAUGAGCUCAAUAUUAUUGAUUCAUGCAACUUCUUUUGUUAGAUUGCACACAUAGCUCAUUUAUAUAUUUUUGAUCAUAUCUCUUUUAUAUGCUAUGACUAAUGUGUUUUCAAGUCUAUUUUAAACCAAGUCAUAGGUAUAUUGAAAGGGAAUUGGAGUCUUCGGCGAAGACAAAGGCUUCCACUCCGUAACUCAUCCUUCGCCGUCACUCCAAGCCACUCUCCUUCUUUGGGGGAGAGAGCAAAAGGACUUCAUCUUUGGUAUAAUCUUAACUCAUUUGUUUAUGACCAAAGGGGAAGAAAUUACUUCGAGGGCUCUAAUGAUUCUGUUUUUGGUGAUUCAUGCCAAAGGGGGAGAGAGUAUGAGCCCAAAGCAAAAGGACCGCACCACCACCAACUUCAAAAAAAAACUUAGAUUAGAUUUUCAAAGAAUAAUUUUUCAAUUGGUAUCCCAUUGUGUUCAAAAAGGGGAGAAAGUAGUAUUUCAAAAUUGAUUCAUCAAAACCCUCUUGAACACUAAGAGGAGGAUUUCAUUUAGGGGGAGUUUUGUGUAGUCAAAGGAAAAACAUUUAAAACAGGGGAGAAAAUUUCAAAACUUGAAAAUGCUUUGCAAACUCUUAUUUAUUUACCUUUGACUAUUUGCAAAAGAACUUUGAAAAGAUUUACAAAAGAUUUUUGCAAAAACAAAACAUGAGGUGCAAGCGUGGUCCAAAAUGUUAAAAAUGAAGAAACAAUCCAUGCAUAUCUUGUAAGUAUUUAUAUUGGCUCAAUUCCAAGCAACCUUUGCACCUAUAUUAUGCAAACUAGUUCAAUUAUGCACUUCUAUAUUUGCUUUGGUUUGUGUUGGCAUCAAUCACCAAAAAGGGGGAGAUUGAAAGGGAAUUAGGCUUACACCUAGUUCCUAAAUAAUUUUGGUGGUUGAAUUGCCCAACACAAAUCUUUGGACUAACUAGUUUGCUCUAGUGUAUAAGUUAUACAGGUGCCAAAGGUUCACACUUAGCCAAUAAAAAGACCAAGUGUUGGGUUCAACAAAAGAGCAAAGGAGCAACCGAAGGCUCCUCUGGUCUGGCGCACCGGACUGUCCGGUGUGCCACCGGACAUGUCCGGUGCACCAGAGGACUCCGACCUCAAAGUCUUCGCUCUCGGGAAUUUCCGGAGGCCACUCAGCUAUAAUUCACCGGACUGUCCGGUGUGCACCGGACAUGUCCGGUGCUCCAAGGAAGGGCGGCCUCAGAAACUCGCCAGCCUCGGGUUUUCACUCCAGCCGCUCCGCUAUAAUUCACCGGACUGUCCGGUGUGCACCGGACUGUCCGGUGCAUCUGCGGGGCAACGGCUACUUCAGGCGCCAACGGCUACCUGCGGCGCAUUUAUUGCGCGCCAGCGCGCGCAGAGGUCAGGCACGCCCAUGCUGGCGCACCGGACACUCUACAGUACCUGUCCGGUGCGCCACCGGACAUCAAGGCGGGCCCAGAAGUCAGAACUCCAACGGUCAGAUUCCAACGGCACUGAUGACGUGGCUGGGGCACCGGACAUGUCCGGUGUGCACCGGACUGUCCGGUGCGCCAUCGAACAGACAGCCCAGCCAACGGUCAAGUUUGGUGGUUGGGGCAAUAAAUACCCCAACCACCCCACCAUUCAUUGCAUCCAAGUUGUCCACUUCCCAACUACUACAAGAGCUCUAGCAUUCAAUUCUAGACACACCAAAGAGAUCAAAUCCUCUCCAAUUCCACAAAAGGAUUUAGUGAUUAGCGAGAGAGAUUUGUCGUGUUCUUUCGAGCUCUUGCGCUUGGAUUGCUUCCUUCUUUCUUGACUCUUUCUUGUGAUCAAACACUCACUUGUAAUUGAGGCAAGAGGCACCAAUUGUGUGGUGGCCCUUGCGGGAAGUUUGAUUCCCAAGUGAUUUGAGAAGAGAAGCUCACUCGGUCCGAGGGACCGAUUGAGAGAGGGAAGGGUUGAAAGAGACCCGGCCUUUGUGGCCUCCUCAACGGGGAGUAGGUUUGCAAGAACCGAACCUCGGUAAAACAAAUCCGCGUGUCACACUCUUCAUUUGCUUGCGAUUUGUUUUGCUCUCUCUCUCGCGGACUCGUUUAUAUUUCUAACGCUAACCCGGCUUGUAGUUGUGAUUAUUUUUGAGAAUUUCAGUUUCGCCCUAUUCACCCCCCCCUCUAGGCGACUUUCAAGAACUCUUCGAGUUGUGUUGAGAGCUCGAGUUGUGACUUGUGUGCGCAUUGUUGCUCUGAUUUUGUGUCUUGUGUGUGUUGAUCAUCCCAUCCUUACUUCCGUGAUUCUUUGUGUUAAUCAAAUUGUAAGGGCGAGAGGCUCCAAGUUGUGGAGAUUCCUCGCAAGCGGGAUAUAGUGAAACGAAAGCAAAACACUGUGGUAUUCAAGUGGGUCUUUGGACCGCUUGAAAGGGGUUGAGUGCAACCCUCGUCCGUUGGGACACCACAACGUGGAGUAGGCAAGUGUUGGACUUGGCCGAACCACGGGAUAAACCACUGUGUCUCUCUAUGUUGAUCUCUUUGUGGUUAUUGUGUUUUGCAAAAACUCAUCUCUAGCCACUUGACUUCAUUGCGCUAACACUUAAUCAAGUUUGUGGCUUUGAGUUUAAGUUUUUUCAGGAUCACCUAUUCACCCCUCCUCUAGGUGCUCUCACAUCGUUAGUCAUUAGACACACACCACCAUACGCUCUUGCUUAAACAAAAAGGUAAGUGUGUGUGUUUGCGAAGAGAAUUAAAGGCAUGCCGGCACAAAAGCUACCCCGAUGGUGGCGUGGCGAGGAUGACGAACUGGUCACUAUUGUCGAUCCUCCUCUGUGUCACCUCCGGCGUUAAAAUGACGCCACAAUCCUCGAUAUAGUAGUCGUCGAAUGUGCGCGACAUGAUGAGUACCGAUGACUCUUGGUUGGGCUGCCAAACGAAGUGCACCCCGGACUCAUCAGCGAGGUAGUACCCCUGGCCAUUGCACCACCGGAUGCGCUACUCCACUACAUACAUCAUGUUCGAGGACACUCACACAACGUCAGCAACGUCCAUCGUCCCAGCGCACAAAAAUUCAUGUCCGGUCAGUAGUGACUUACGUGGCAGGUUGGGCUUCAGGUGGACGAUGAGCUUGACAGCGUGAUGGCGUCGUCGUUGGAUGCGGUGUCCAGAACAACCUAAGAGUCGUCGACGUUGGCGACAACCAUGAGGCCCCCUGCUUAACGAUGGACAGCGCGGUGCAGCUGCUCUGGACCGCGUCUAAGCGGCGGCUUCGCGGGAGCUUAUCGUACACAUUGGUGCAUGCGACCACGUAGGACUACUUCUAGAGGUCGAACUAAAAGUCGCCAAGCUUCCUCUCGUCGUCGAUGAGCGACGCUAACGCGAGUGCCUCCUGCUCAUGGUAUUUGUUUGGGGUUUCAAGUAAUAAACAUGGAUUCAUGCUUGGCGUUGGUUUAUGAAAAUGACUCACAAGUCUAAUCCAUGGAAAAAUAUUACAAAGAAAAAUAUCACGCAUGCAAAAAAAGGAAAUUUAAGUAUAAUACAUUAUUCAAACAAAAGAAAUUACAUGCAAAGCUCUUCUUUAAAUAAUAUUACCUCCAUCCAAAAAUAUAAUUCAAGAAUCUCAGUGAUACUUAUCUACUACUACGCAUUGUGCAAAGGUAGCAAGUGAAUUUGGUGAGAGAUGUAGUAGAUGUGUUUCCUGUGAUAGAUGUAGACAUAAACACACAUGUGGUGUAGCGUUAGCUACUCUUGGCCUUUGUUUGAGAGGUUACAGGUUCAAAUCCCCUUAAGGACAUGUGUGUUUUUUAAUUUUAGCUAGACAUGGGCUGUACGGGGAAAUGAGAGUGGGAAUGGGUUUUGCAGGGAGGGAGAAUGAGAAAGACAUAACGAAGAAUGAGAAUGGCAGAACAUGGGAAUGAGAAGGAAUGGUGGCAGAACGGGAAUGGCAGAACAGGAAUGGUGGCAGAACACGGAAUGACAGACUACUCUUGCAGCCUUAAUAAGUAUUAGAGAUUAGAGAUUUACAUAAUUCAGCUCAAAUAAGUUAAUAGGUAAAUAAACAACACAUAUUAUUGAAUAAAUUAUGUAAUCUAGAUACCUAGAUUAUGAUAAUAUUUAAAUAUGUCAAUAUGUGCUUAUAUAAUCUAUAAGUUGAAUUAUAUAAUUUUGGAAAGAAACAGACAGGACCCUAAUACCUGCUUAUAGAUUAUUAUAAUUUAGAUAUAUAGAUUAUAUAAUCCACCAAAUAAUAUGCGUUUUUUGUUUGUUUUUUCACUUAUUUAAGCUAGAUUAUAUAAUAAAAAGGUAAACAAACAGAACCUUAAUAACUUUCUUAUGGAUUAUCAUAAUCUAAGGGUUUGCUUGUUUGUUAUUAUAAUAUUUCUAGAUUAUAUAAUCUAACAAAUUUUGAAGUAGGUGAGUUCAAAAUUUGUUAAAUUAUAUAGGCAUGUUUAUUUGAUUUUAGGAUUAUAUAAUCCAACUUAUAGAUUAUAUAAGCACAUAAUAACCUGUUUAUAGAUUACUAUAAUCUAGGUAUCUAGAUUACAUAAUCUAAUAGUAAUCUGUAUUGUUUAGUUCCCUCUUAACUUAUUUAAUAUGUAUUAUAUAAUCUCAAGGAUAAACAAGCAGAGCCUAAGUAUCGAAAUUAUAUAAUCCACCAGAUAAGUUGUGUUGUUUGUUGCCCUCUUAACUUAUUUAAGUUGCAUUAUAUAAUAUACACGGUAUAUAUUAUAUAAUCCAGCUUAAAUAGGUUGAGGAACAAACAAACAACACACAUUAUUAAGUGUAUUAUUAUAUAAUCAAGAUGUCUAGACUAGAUUAGUCUGGGCAUAUAGAUUAUAUAAUCCAUGUAACAAUCUGAGUUGUUUGUUUGCCUCUUUAGGCAUUAUUUGUUUGCUUACAGGAUUAUAUAAUACAUCUUAUAUAAGCUCCUAUUGGCAUGCUUAUGGAUUAUCAUAAUCUAGGUAUCUAGAUUAUAUAAUCCACCUAAUAAUCUGUGUUGUUCGUUUACCUCUUAACUUAUUUAAGCUGGAUUAUAUAAUAUAGUGGACCUUAACUUAAGAGGUGUUUGUUUGAGACUCGUAGUUUAAAAUUUGUUAGAUUAUAUAAUCUGGACAGGUUAUAAUCACAAACCAGCCCGUAUAAUAUCAAGGUAAACAAACAGGAUAGUCAUAAGGAUGUCUCCAGCAACGUUCUCUAAAUUUCUUCUUCAAAAGUAAUAUUCUCUGUCUUUUACAGUACACUCUAAAGGAUUUCUCUAUAUAUUCAUCGUCUUCUAAAUUUCGUCUUUUAUAUUUUACUCUAUACAUUUUCGCUUGUAUAUGAACACAAAUUUUGGAAACCGUAUUUUUAUCAAUGAGAUGUUUAUAUAUUGGAAAUUAUUUUUGUAUUUAUAUUACUAAAUAUGUUUUCCAGCUACCUAAUAGACAUGAGGAAAUAUGAUUUUUUUUCUUGUUCGAUGCGGUUCUUCGGUGGGGUCUUGAGUGAAGGCGACUUCCAGAGCUACCUUCAUCGAACGACUUCGACAAUGCUGUCUUCGGAGCAGGCGAUGGCUCACAGGCUCAGCGCCAACUUCCAUAGAGCCGCAGGUAGCCAAACGUCGUCACUGUCGGCCUUCUCCACGUCUCCGCAGUCGAGCGCCGCCGUUGCCGACCUUCUCCAUGUCUCCGCAGCCAAGCGACUCAGUGUCGCCGAACCGUACCUCUUCCCCGAUCGAACUCCUCCGAUUGAGCUCCUCCCCGUCGUCGCUGCCGAGCUGCUCCGCGCCGACAUAGCCAUGGUCGUCCUCGCUGCCGGACCACCCUAGUUCGCAUCGGGUUGGGUAGCUUCUCCUAUGACGAGGACAUAUAGCGGCUCAACAGUGAACCGCUAGCUUUAGCGGGUCAAAGGAGUACGCCUGUAUUUUACGAUCUUAAUGUUCGUUGUUGGAGAGUAUAGGAGUGUACAAAACAUUAAAAAUAGUGGAUACUCUACCGUUCCUUCCCAGAGACAGUACAAGAAUAAUCAGUGGUUCGCACCUUUCGAUUUUGUUUUCACGAGGUUCCGCGCCGCUCUGCAGAGUGCAGACUGCGCACAACCAUGGACAGAGAGAGAGCGAAGGAUAAAAGCAUCGGGGUUUUAGACAUGUGUAUAGACAGAGAGAGAGAGUGUGUCGGGCAGAGAGAGAAGGCUGAAAUCGCCACCUGCUGCCCAACACGGCAACACCCCGGACCCCGCGUCCCCCACUUCUUCAGCUUCCGCCACCUCCUCAACACAUCAAAUCCACUCGUCCUCUCCACCCACCUGCCCCCCGCUUCCUUCCCCGGCGCGGAGAACCAACCAGCCUUUUGACGCUGUCGCCCGCCGAUAGAGCACUAGACGCGCUAGCCCCCGGAUCUCCUCCGCGGCCUCGCCGCACGCGUGGGGAUGGAUUUCGACGGCGCCAUUGGCGAUCAGGGGUGAGUUGAACGCACUGCGCGUGGUUCUGGGUCGCGUGCCGCGGAGAAAAGGCGGCACCUUUUGUCUGUUUUCUCGCUUCCGUUCCAUCUCCGUCGAUCCCCAAUUUUGUUGCGCUCUUGGUGCGAUACGGGUGGUGGGUGUGGUAGCACAACGGUACUAGAGUGGAAGUUGCUAAUACAAGCUGCGCCUCUUUUUGGUCAAUGUGCUCUUUAUGCGGCCUAUGAUGAUGUUAAGGGAGCAGGAUGCAAGGACUACUAAUUCUGGGGGGCAAAGGAUCGUGUUUCCCCUCCUUCUGUAUGAAGCUUUGCUGUGGCUUUCGCGCCUUUUCCGCAUGCUGCGUCCAAUUUCAGCUACCACUUUUGAUGCAUUUGCUUACUAAUCGAACUAUCGAAGGGAUUCUUGUUUUUGUUUUUUCUGUUACAUUCCUUUACAUAGAUUGCUAUCACGAGCUUUUGACCUCUGCUAGUAUGCUGUCUGAUGUUUCUGAACUCUGAACAUUCUGGUAUUCCAUGCGCACGCACGCGCACACAGGCACGCGCACGCGCACGCGCACACGCACGCACACACGCACAUAACUGACACAUUUUCUGUAGCCAAGAUGCAAAAUUUACCUUGUCUCUUUAUGGCGGUUACUUGCCUUUCAUGCCGGCUAGUAUUUCGCACAGAUGCAUUAUUCAUGACCUACAUUCCUCCAAAUUUAAAUUUCAGUUCAGUAUAAUUCUCUGUUAAGAUUUUACUCUUUCUUCAACAUUGGCUGGAGAGACUUAUAUACUUCACUUUUUUACUCCUUGACCUGAGCUGCCUGCUCCUAAAAUUUCUUGCAAGAGUAAUCACUUCUGAUUGAGCUCGUCGUUGUGGAACUUCUUACAGUGAGUUGUGGGAAUGGCAAAGUCAGGAGUAUUGUAUGCAGAAAGAUUCGUUAGCUGGUUUGCUCCACGUCAUUGCAUCACUAUUUCUGCUCGAAAUAUAUAUCCACGUAGAGACGUAAGAAUCAUGUAUUUCUGAUUUGGCAGCUCCAUGUAGCAGUUUGUGGGCCGAAGCAAGCAACAAUGUGGGUGGUGAUUGGAGCAUAUUUGAGGAGCAAACACCAAUUAAACACUGUACAGACUUCGAAUUUCAGUUCUGUGAUGUAGGAGGUGAAGUCUUGUUCUCAUGGUAAUGAAAUCUACAGACAUGAGCUUAAAUCUAGAUUCUAAACUAUUCCAGUUCACACCAAGCUAUCUACUUAAAUUGGUUUUUCACUGCCAAUAUCCUGUACAGAGACCAGUAGCACCUUCUUUUAGAUGCUAAUAUAUGUUAUCUAUUUCUCUCUGCUUCUUGAAAUUGCAUUAAUGACAUGGUAACUUGUGAUAUGUAAAUCCAAAACAUAUAUAAAGCAGAAUGACUAGUAUAAUAACAAAAUCAGUCGAUUAUUGCAAUUAGAACAAGUACGUUUCGAGGCUACUAUUUCCCUAUUGUGUAUGUCUGAUCUGAGCUAUAAAAUGCAACAGGUAGAUGAUUUGACCUAAAUAUCACAAUGGAUUAAACUGGAUAUUUCCUAACUCUAUCCCAUCUGACCUUUUUGGCAAACACUUAAUAAGGUGCUAAUACAUAUCAGUUGCAUUUCCGGACUAGUAAAAAUGCAAUCUAGAUAUCAUCGUCAAGGAGUUUGAAGAAAGGAAGGAAACUUUACAGGCAAAACGCACACGCAUGCUGCAGUUCUGUCCAGAAAAUCUUGAGGUACUUGCUCUUUAAUCAAAGUAUCCUGUGAGAUGAAGUGAACUAGUUGUGUCAGUUUAUAGUGGUAUUUUGUUGUCUUCAUUGGUAUACUGCCUUUGUAUGUUUAGAUGACAUGUUCAGUGACUGAAGAUGGGCUCUUGGAAAGUCUUCAGGAGAUGAUUUUUCAGGUAUACCUCCCAUCAUUACUGCUAGAAUUUUGGUGUUUAGGCUGGAUGCCUUCUUUUCCAUUUCUAAUCGUAUUGUUAACUCCAGGUACUGACUGUUUACUGAACUCUGACGGGACUGAUGAACUGCCAGAAGAAUGGCUAGUUAGUUGAUCACAAGAUAUCGAGCCCGGUUUUCCGGCAGAAGAAAUGUACUUGUUUCAUUCCAUUGUUCAUAAGAGUUUGGAUUCCUGAGUUGUUGAGUUCACUGUCUUUGAAGAUGAGAUAUUGCUACUUAUGGUGUCGAAAAUCUUCUUAGUAGGAAUAACCCUGCUGCUGCAACGGAAGAAACUGCCGAUGUCUUGGCUUGGUACAAACCUCUCAUGAGAUUUCGUUAUCCCUGUUUAUAGUGGAUUGAAAGUUGCUGAUAGAUGAACACCAUGCUUAUUUCUUGGUGCACCAGAGCUCUUCGCCUGUCGUAGUCCACGACAAUCCUGCAUGCUCUAGACCUACUUCUCUGAAAGGUGCAGGUGCGCCCAACUCUUGUCCACCUUUGCUUAAAGAACCAUGGUUCUUGUAUUCUCCCUAUCAAGAACAGUUUGUAUUGGUUAUGUAAUGUGAAUCCUGUUAUUUGAACUCAGAACACACUCUCAUCCUUUGUGCAGCUGGCAAAAUUUAUUAUCGGAGCAAAGAAGGCGAGACCAUCCGUGUCCCUCCCUUUUGUGCUGAUCAAACCAUACAGCAUCCAUGGCGACAUCACCCUGAACGACAUCAACGAGAAGAUCCACGCCCCUUCGCCGCAUAAGAUCAGGCACAGGAGCGACGAGGAGCCCGACCCGCUCCAGGCCUCAGCAGCGAUCUCAGGGAAACCUGUGGCCCACAAGACGAAGAUCCACACGGAGGGGGGGAAGGGGGAAGGGGAGCAUCACGAUCACCAGAACCAAAGGCUAGGCUGAUGACCAUUUGUGUGACGCUGGCGAAGUGGCUAACAGUUGAUUCGCCUUUGCAUUUUUGGCGCUCUGGGCUCGUUCCCAAUUGGUUUUGUGGCCCAGGUGAUGCAUGGCCUUAGCAGCGUGCUUGUAGCGUUUUCUGUUCUUGCUGUUUACUAGUAUCUUACGCACGCGCCUUAGCGCACGUCAUAGGCAGCGCUGAAUCGUGUCAAUGAGUUAAUAUAAAAAUUUAAUAAAAUAAUCCAAAGAAAAUAAGAAUGGUUCAUAUGUAGUGGUACUACUAAUAAUGAAUUGCACAAUAUACUGUAUGUUUUGUUUUGAAAAGGCCAUCUGCCUCAUCGAGCAGGCUCGGCUCGUUCUCGCCGACGUGGGAGGUACCUGCAGGCCCGCGGCCAGCAGGACAACAAGAUGGUCCGGACUCCGGAACAUGGAGGAGCUGCUGGCCCGGAUCAUGGCACACACGACGUGGCCAGGCGGUGGUGACGCCGACAGACGACGACGCUCGGACAAGAGCGAGAGCAACGAGGUUACGAGGACGACUGGGUCGAGAUCCAGACGUUGGGGCUGCUGGACGUGGCGGUGUCGUACCUGAAGAGCAGCAGAAGAUAUCGAACAAUGAGAAUCUGUCUGUUUGGUUUAACUUUUUUCUGACCAUCUUUUCUGAAAAUCUGACUGUGGUGAGAAUCUGGCUGUAGGGAGAAUCUGAGUAUCAUUACGAUUACGUGUGGAGAAAGAUAAAUUUGUUCAUAGGGCUCAGGAUCUAGAAAGUGAUGGAUUUCUACUAUUACAACGACUCAACCGAUUAUGUGUUUAUGUUGAUUUUAGAUGGUUUUUGCCCCCAACGAAUUUUAUAGAAGCUGACUGAAAAGCUGAGCGUUUGGCAGUCUGUAGCAGCUUUUGGUGGCCAGAAGCUGCCAGAAACUGAAACAAACAGGCACUAGACCACUAGCAGCAGUAGCAUCAAUGCAUCACCAUCUUUCGAUCGAACUCCAUGCAUAUAUAUCAUCUGAUCGAAUCUUCUCCAGCUCUAGCUUUUGGACCAACUCCGAUCUGUAGCGCUAGCAUUUCUUAACUGAGUGAACUUCGCUUUGAAUGGGAUCUAAGUGAAACCACUCAAAGAAAGAGUUCGUUGCCUCUUCACCGGUCUUUAAACAGAUGAGAUAGUAUGGUCUCGUGGUCAACGAAAAUGAAUUAGUGCUUUCAUGUAUCGUAGUUGUACUCUAAGGGCUUGUUCGGUUAGCUCUCAAUCCAUGUGGAUUGAGCGGGAUUGGAUGGGUUUGAAUCCCAAACAGCUCAAACUUCUUCACAAUUUUUUCCAAUCCCAUCCAAUCCAUGUGUAUUGGGAAUAACCGAACAAGCCCUAAAGGGUUUGUAGUUUUGCGAGAUCAUAUCAACCACGUGCUGAAGGGAACAAGACUCACAAUGUUUCGAUCAAAAACUCAAUAGUGGAGAUGGCAUGGAGCGAUACAAAAGAGGAUAUUAUGAAGACCCACUUACAUGUUAUCCGAUUUACUCAACCGAGAGCUUCAUACUCGCGUGGGCAUUAUUGCGAGGGCUUCAACUAGGACUAAGGCUAUGCCUAGUAGACCAUGCAUAUGGCCGUGCACGGUUACAGAGCGAGGUUUGAAAUAAUAGGUGAGAUGAGUAACGUUGCGGGUAAUAGUCUAAGACCGUGUCCAACAUGUUACCGAUAUGGUCACCCAAAACAUUUUCUACACUGUAGACUGUCAUGUUCAGAGAUUGAAGUUUGAAACAUGAGAUGAGAUGGGAGAUAGGAUGUGUAAGCUACUGAAGAUAACAUAAGGAAAGCUUAUGCUUCUUCAGUAAAAAUAUUGAAUUUGUUGUCCGAGGUUUGCAUCUUUGUCACCUUUUAGCUCCUGUAUUUACAUUACAUAUUUUACAUCUGUUUCUAACUUAGUUGAUAUGUUUGAAAAUAUGUACAUGACUUUUUAUAGUAAGGAUAACAACAUACUUAUGGUUUGUUUGGGAUUGCUCCAACUCUAGAAAAAUUUAGUGGAGUUGAUGGAGAGGUCAUUAUGUGCUCUAGAAAUUUGUGGAGUUACAUUUGUGAAACUUUAAAGGCAUAUAUAUACACUAUUUUAUUUAUUAUUUAGCUACUUAAAUUUAUAUAAUAAACUACCGGGAGCACCAAAAAAAUGACUCCCAAAAACAUGUUAUUAGGAGCACCCAUAAAAUAUUAGUAGUUGACUUGAACCCUUUCUCCAACCGUUCUUUUAAAAGUGGAUAAAAAAAUUAUAAACUAUGUCCGGUUACCUUUGGGCCUAUGUUGAUAUAUUUUUAUGGAUGUUUUUUCUUCUUCCACGACUUUGAUGUCUGCUUAACGACCAAACCUACAUUUCUAUCAAGGUUGCUAAUGGUACGCGAGCCAGUGAGGGAGGACCGAUGGCGGGGCCAUGACAACAUAGUUUCGACCGACGAUGUAGAUCCAAUAGCGGGGUCGAGCGACGAUAGAUAUCGAACAACGAGAUUGCAAUGGCGGCAAGACGACGAAGUUGCGCGACCGCGACGGUGGACUGUGAGGUUGCAGGCUCAUAGUGGGGGACAUCUUAGCGUUCAAAUUGGAACCCUACGUGAUUACAUAAGCGGCAAACAAACGCAAUAAGCGUUAAAAAAAGAAAGUUGGCUUGAUUUUGGGAGCGCUUGCAUUUCUAGGGAGCCCAAAAUACUCCUUCCUCUAGAGAGAAUUUUAUGAGCUAUGAAAAAAUUGGACACUUUAGGAGAUACUGUUAGAGACAAAUUUACUUUUUUUAAAAAAAUAGAUUUAGGGGAAAAAAUUGGGAGCACUUGGAGAUGCUUUAUAUCCCGUUUGGAUGUAGAAAUUGGAGGACAAAAUUAGACAUUGGAAUCAGUUUUUUUCUAAAUUCUGUUGUAUAGUUGCACAUGAUUAAAUAAAUUGAGAUUUGGAAUCAGAGACCUAAUUCAUUGGAAUUGGAUUAUAAUAAGAAAACCCCUGUUGAUACCCUGAAACUAGGGUACCCACUGCUACUGUACAAAGACGAAGAAUCCACGUGGCUAUCCCUUGGAUUAUAAUAAGAAGUACUGUUGUGGGACUAAGCCAUGGCUCGCCCCAGUCUCAGGCGGCUAUUCUGGGUCCACAGCAGCGCCCGACUCCACCGCAUGGGCGGGUCCGGAGCCGCCACGUGUCCAGAGAAGGUGGUAUACUCCAAGGCAUCAACAGUGGUCCGGACCCCCACGGGAGAGCGCCGGAUCCCCGGAUAUAUAGUUUGGACCCCAAGGUUGGUCCUGGACCUCCACGUGUGCAAGCCGGACCCCUGGGAUAGGGUCCGGACCCCCUGUAUGGGGUCCGGGCCGCCCACAGCGGCAUCCCAAGGACCCAGGCGGGGGUCCGUGAAAGUCGCCUAGAGGGGGUGAAUAGGCGAAAUCUGAAAAUUAUAAACUUAAGCACAACUACAAGCCGGGGUUAGCAUUAGAAAUAUAAUUGAGUCCGAAAGAGAGGGCGAAAACAAAUCACAAGCAAAUGAAGAGUGAGACGCGGUGAUUUGUUUUACCGAGGUUCGGCUCUUGCAAACCUACUCCCUGUUGACGUGGUCACAAAGACCGGGUCUCUUUCAACCCUUUCCCUCUCUCAAACGGUCACCUAGACCGAGUGAGCUUCUCUUCUCAAUCAAUCGGGACACCAAGUCCCCACAAGGACCACCACACAAUUGGUGUCUCUUGCCUUGAUUACAAUUGAGUUGGGAACAAGAAUGAAAGAAGAAGAAAAGCGAUCCAAGCGCAAGAACUCAAAUGAACACAAUUGUCUCUCUCACUAGUCACUAUUUGAUUGGAAUGAUUUUUGGACUUGGGAGAGGAUUUGAUCUUUUUGUUUGUGUCUUGGAGUGAAGUCUAGAGCUCUUGUAUUGAAUGCAAUGGCUGAAAACUUGGAUGCCUUGAAGUGUUGGUGGUUGGGGUAUUUAUAGCCCCAACCACCAAAAGUGCCCGUUGGGGAUGGCUGCUGUCGUAUGGCGCACCGGACAGUCCGGUGCGCCACCGGACACUGUCCGGUGCGCCAGCCACGUCACCCAACCGUUAGGGUUCGACCGUUGGAGCUCUGACAAGUGGGGCCACCGGACAGUCCGGUGGUGCGCCGUGAAAGGGAAUUAGGCUUACACCUAGUCCCUAAUUUAUUUUGGUGGUUGAAUUGCCCAACACAAAUAUUUUGACUAACUAGUUUACUCUAGUGCAUAAGUUAUACAGGUGCUAAAGGUUCACACUUAGCCAAUAAAAAGACAAAGUAUUGGGUUCAACCAAAGAGCAAAGGGACAACCGAAGGCACCUCUGGUCUGGUGCACCGGACUGUCCGGUGUGCCACCGGACAUGUCCGGUGCACCAGAGGACUCCAACUCCGAACUGCUCACCUUCGGGAAAUUCCAGAGGCGACUCCGCUAUAAUUCACCGGACUGUCCGGUGUACACCGGACAUGUCCGGUGCUCCAAGGAAGAACGUCCUCAGGAACUCGCCAGCCUCGGGAAUUCACUUCUGCUGCUCCGCUAUAAUUCACUGGACUGUCCGGUGUACACCGGACUGUCCGGUGUAACAGCGGGGCAACGGCUAUUUCGGCGCCAACGGCUACCUGCGACGCAUUUAAUGCGCGCGCAGCGCGCGCAGAGGUCAGGCACGCCCAUGCUGGCGCACCGGACAAUCUACAGUGCAUGUCCGGUGCGCCACCGGACAUCAAGGCGGGCCCAGAAGUCAGAACUCCAACGGUCGGAACCCAACGGCUUUGGUGACGUGGCUGUCGCACCGGACAUGUCCGGUGUGCACCGGACUGUCUGGUGCGCCAUCGAACAGACAGCCUCACCAAACGGCUAGUUUGGUGGUUGGGGCUAUAAAUACCCCCAACCACCCACCAUUCAUAGUAUCCAAGUUUUCCACUUCUCAACUACUUACAAGAGCUCUAGCAUUCAAUUCUAGACACACCAAAGAGAUCAAAUCCUCUCCAAACUCCACACAACGCCCUAGUGACUAGUGAGAGAGAUUUGCUUGUGUUCUUUCGAGCUCUUGCGCUUGGAUUGCUUUCUUCUUUCUUGAUUCUUUCAUUGCGAUCAAACUCACUUGUAAUUGAGGCAAGAGACACCAAUCUUGUGGUGGUCCUUGUGGGAACUUUGUGUUCCGAGUGAUUGAGAAGAGAAAGCUCACUCGGUCCGAGGGACCGUUUGAGAGAGGGUAAGGGUUGAAAGAGACCCGGCCUUUGUGGCCUCCUCAACGGGGAGUAGGUUUGAGAGAACCGAACCUCGGUAAAACAAAUCUGCGUGUCUCACUUCAUUACUUGCUUGCGAUUUGUUUUGGCACCCUCUCUCGCGGACUCGAUUAUAUUUCUAACGCUAACCCGGCUUGUAUUUGUGAUUAUUUUUGAGAAUUUCAGUUUCGCCCUAUUCACCCCCCCUCUAGGCGACUUUCAAUUGGUAUCGGAGCCCGGUGCUUCAUUAGAGCCUAACCGCUCGAAGUGAUGACAGGAGAUCACACAAAGAGGGAGAUGGAGACCGGCGACAAGCCCACUACGAGCCAAGGGAGCACUUCAUCGGAAGAGUCCCACACCAAGAGGAAGGAGAAGAAGAAGGACUCCUCCAAACGGAAGGAGAAAAGAUCUUCCUCUUCUCACCACAAAGAGAAGAAGGAAAAAUCUUUUUCUCACAAGUCGCAUCGGAAAGGCGACAAGCACAAAAGGAUGAGGAAAGUGGUCUACUACGAGACCGACACUUCAUCAACAUCGACCUCCGACUCCGAUGCGCCGUCCGUAACUUCUAAGCGCCAAGAGCGCAAGAAGUUUAGUAAGAUCCCCUUAAACUACCCUCGUACAUCUAAACAUACUCCAUUACUUUCCGUUCCAUUAGGCAAACCGCCAACCUUUGAUGGCGAAGAUUAUGCUAGGUGGAGUGAUUUAAUGAAAUUUUAUCUAACCUCACUCCACAAAAGUAUAUGGAAUGUUGUUGAGUUUGGAGCACAGGUACCAUCCGUAGGGGAUGAAGACUACGAUACGGACGAAGUGGCCCAAAUCGAGCACUUCAACUCUCAAGCUACAACCAUACUCCUCGACUCUCUAAGCAAGGAGGAAUACAACAAGGUGCAAGGGUUGAAGAAUGCAAAGGAGAUUUGGGACCUACUCAAGACCGCGCACGAGGGUGAUGAACUCACCAAGAUCACCAAGCGGGAAACGAUCGAGGGGGAGCUCGGUCGCUUCCGUCUUCGCCAAGGGGAGGAGCCACAAGAUAUGUACAACCGGCUCAAAACCUUGGUGAACCAAGUGCGCAACCUCGGGAGCAAGAAGCGGGACGACCACGAGGUGGUUAAGGUUAUUCUAAGAUCUCUCAUUUUCCUUAACCCCACUCAAGUUCAAUUAAUUCGUGGUAAUCCUAGAUACACACUAAUGACCCCCGAGGAAGUUAUCGGGAAUUUUGUGAGCUUUGAAUGUAUGAUCAAGGGCUCAAAGAAGAUCAACGAGCUUGACGAACCCUCCACGUCCGAAGCACAACCGGUGGCAUUUAAGGCGACGGAGGAGAAGAAGGAGGAGUCUACACCGAGUAGACAACCAAUUGACGCCUCCAAGCUCGACAAUGAGGAGAUGACUUUAAUCAUCAAAAGCUUUCGCCAAAUCCUCAAGCAAAGGAAGGGGAAGGAUUACAAAUCCCGUUCCAAGAAGGUUUGCUACAAGUGUGGUAAGCCCGGUCAUUUCAUUGCAAAAUGUCCUAUAUCUAGUGACAGUGACAGGGGCGACGACAAGAAGGGAAAGAAGAGAGAAAAGAAGAGGUACUACAAGAAAAAGGGCGGCGAUGCCCAUGUUUGCCGGGAGUGGGACUCGGACGAGAGCUCCACCGACUCCUCCUCCGACGACGAGGACGCCGCCAACAUCGCCAUCACCAAGGGACUCCUCUUCCCCAACGUCGGCCACAAGUGCCUCAUAGCAAAGGACGGCAAAAGGAAGAAGGUUAAAUCUAAAUCCUCCACUAAAUAUGAAUCCUCUAGUGAUGAUAAUGCUAGUGAUGAGGAAAAUAAUUUGCGUACCCUUUUUGCCGACCUAAACAUGCAACAAAAGGAAAAAUUAAAUGAAUUGAUUAGUGCUAUUCAUGAGAAGGAUGAUCUCUUGGACUCUCAAGAGGACUUCCUUAUUAAGGAAAACAAAAAGCAUGUUAAGGUCAAAAAUGCUUAUGCUCUACAAGUUGAAAAAUGUGAAAAAUUGUCUAGUGAGCUAAGCACCUGCCGUGAGACUAUUGACAACCUUAGAAAUGAAAAUGCUAGAUUAAUUGCUAAGGUUGAUUCUCAUGUUUGUAAUGCUUCAAUUCCCAAUCUUAGAAAUGAUAAUGAUGAUUUGCUUGUUAAGAUUAAGGAAUUGAACGAUUCUCUUGCUAACCUUAGAGUAGAAAAUGAAAAUUUGAUUGCUAAGGCUAAAGAUCUUGAUGUUUGCAAUGUUACAAUUUCCAAUCUUAGAGAUAACAAUGAUAUUUUGUGUGCUAAGAUUGUUGAACUUAAUUCUUGCAAAUCCUCUACAUCUACUGUUGAGCACAUUUCUAUUUGUACUAGAUGUAGAGAUGUUGAUAUCAAUGCUAUUCAUGAUCACAUGGCUUUAAUUAAACAACAAAAUGAUCAUAUAGCAAUGUUAGAUGCUAAAAUUGCCGAGCAUAACUUAGAAAAUGAAAAGUUUAAAUUUGCUAGAAGUAUGCUCUAUAAUGGGAGACGCCCUGGCAUCAAGGAUGGCAUUGGUUUCCAAAGGGGAGACAAUGUCAAACUUAAUGCCCCUCCUAAGAACUUGUCUAACUUUGUUAAGGGCAAAGCUCCCAUGCCUCAGGAUAACGAGGGUUAUAUUUUGUACCCUGCCGGUUAUCCCGAGAGCAAAAUUAGGAGAACUCAUUCUAGGAAGUCUCACUCUGGCCCUAACCAUGCUUUUAUGUACAAGGGUGGGACAUCUAGCUCUAGGCAACCAACCCGUGCCAAAUUGCCUAGAAAGAAAACUCCUAAUGCAUCAAAUGAGCAUGACAUUUCAUUCAAAUUUUUUGAUGCAUCAUAUGUGCUCACUAACAAAUCCGGCAAGGUAGUUGCCAAGUUUGUUGGGGGCAAACACAAGGGCUCCAAGACUUGUGUUUGGGUACCCAAAGUUCUUGUUUCUAAUGCCAAAGGACCCAAAACCGUUUGGGUACCUAAAGUCAAGAACUAAAAUUGUUUUGUAGGUUUAUGCAUCCGGGGGCUCAAGUUGGAUACUCGACAGCGGGUGCACAAACCACAUGACAGGGGAGAAGAAGAUGUUCUCCUCAUAUGAGAAAAACCAAGAUCCCCAACGAGCUAUCACAUUCGGGGAUGGAAAUCAAGGUUUGGUCAAAGGAUUGGGUAAAAUUGCCAUAUCGCCUGACCAUACUAUUUCCAAUGUUUUUCUUGUAGAUUCUUUAGAUUACAAUUUGCUUUCUGUAUCUCAAUUAUGUCAAAUGGGCUACAACUGUCUAUUUACUGAUGUAGGUGUCACUGUCUUUAGAAGAAGUGAUGAUUCAAUAGCAUUUAAGGGAGUGUUAGAGGGUCAGCUAUACUUGGUAGAUUUUGAUAGAGCUGAACUCGACACAUGCUUAAUUGCUAAGACUAACAUGGGUUGGCUCUGGCAUCGCCGACUAGCCCACGUUGGGAUGAAGAAUCUUCAUAAGCUUCUAAAGGGAGAGCACAUUUUGGGACUAACAAAUGUUCAUUUUAAGAAAAGACAGAACUUGUAGCGCAUGCCAAGCAGGAAAGCAAGUUGGGUCUCAUCAUCCACACAAGAACAUCAUGACUAGUGACAGGCCACUGGAGCUCCUACACAUGGACCUAUUCGGCCCGAUCGCUUACAUAAGCAUCGGCGGGAGUAAGUACUGUCUAGUUAUUGUGGAUGAUUAUUCUCGCUUCACUUGGGUGUUCUUUUUGAAGGAAAAAUCGCAUACCCAAGAGACCUUAAAGGGAUUCUUGAGACGAGCUCAAAAUGAGUUCGGCUUAAGGAUCAAGAAAAUUAGAAGCGACAACGGGACGGAGUUCAAGAACUCACAAAUAGAAGGCUUCCUUGAGGAGGAGGGCAUCAAGCAUGAGUUCUCUUCUCCCUACACCCCACAACAAAAUGGUGUAGUGGAAAGGAAGAAUCGAACUCUAUUGGACAUGGCAAGAACCAUGCUUGAUGAGUACAAGACAUCGGAUCGGUUUUGGGCCGAGGCGGUCAACACCGCCUGCUACGCCAUCAACCGGUUAUAUCUACACCGAAUCCUCAAGAAGACAUCAUAUGAACUCCUUACUGGUAAAAAGCCCAAUAUUUCAUAUUUUAGAGUUUUUGGUAGCAAAUGCUUUAUUCUUGUUAAAAGAGGUAGAAAAUCUAAAUUUGCUCCUAAAACUGUAGAAGGCUUUUUACUAGGAUAUGACUCAAACACAAGGGCAUAUAGAGUUUUUAACAAGUCCUCAGGACUUGUUGAAGUUUCUUGUGACGUUGUGUUUGAUGAGACUAACGGCUCUCAAGUAGAGCAAGUUGAUCUUGAUGAGAUAGGUGAAGAACAGGCUCCGUGCAUCGCGCUAAGGAACAUGUCCAUUGGGGAUGUGUGCCCUAAGGAAUCCGAGGAGCCUCCUAAUGCACAAGAUCAACCAUCCUCCUCCACGCAAGCAUCUCCGCCAACCCAAAAUGAGGACGAGGCUCAAGUUGAUGAAGGAGAAGAACAAAGUGAUGAGCCUCCUCAAGAUGACGGCAACAAUCAAGGGGGAGAUGCAAAUGAUCAAGACAAGGAGGAUGAACAACCAAGGCCGCCACACCCAAGAGUCCACCAAGCAAUCCAACGAGAUCACCCCGUCGACACCAUCCUCGGCGACAUUCAUAAGGGGGUAACCACUCGAUCUCGUGUUGCCCAUUUUUGUGAGCAUUACUCUUUUGUUUCCUCUAUUGAGCCACACAGGGUAGAGGAAGCACUAAAAGAUUCGGAUUGGGUGAUGGCGAUGCAAGAGGAGCUCAACAAUUUCACGAGGAACGAGGUAUGGCAUUAGGUUCCACGUCCUAACCAAAAUGUUGUAGGAACCAAGUGGGUCUUCCGCAACAAACAAGACGAGCAUGGUGUGGUAACAAGGAACAAAGCUCGACUCGUGGCCAAGGGGUAUUCACAAGUCGAAGGUUUGGAUUUUGGUGAAACCUAUGCACCCGUAGCUAGGCUUGAGUCAAUUCGUAUGUUAUUGGCCUAUGCUACUUACCAUGGCUUCAAGCUCUACCAAAUGGACGUGAAGAGUGCCUUCCUCAACGGACCGAUCAAGGAGGAGGUCUAUGUUGAGCAACCUCCCGGCUUUGAAGAUAGUGAGUACCCUAAUCAUGUCUAUAGGCUCUCUAAGGCGCUUUAUGGGCUCAAGCAAGCCCCAAGAGCAUGGUAUGAAUACCUUAGAGAUUUCCUUAUUGCUAAUGGCUUCAAAGUCGGCAAGGCCGAUCCUACUUUAUUCACUAAGACUCUUGACAAUGAUUUGUUUGUAUGCAAAAUUUAUGUUGAUGAUAUCAUAUUUGGGUCUACUAACGAAUCUACAUGUGAAGAAUUUAGUAGGAUCAUGACACAAAAAUUCGAGAUGUCGAUGAUGGGGGAGUUGAAGUAUUUUCUAGGAUUCCAAGUCAAGCAACUCCAAGAGGGCACCUUCAUUUGUCAAACAAAGUAUACUCAAGACAUUCUAACCAAGUUUGGAAUGAAGGAUGCCAAGCCCAUCAAGACACCCAUGGGAACCAAUGGGCAUCUCGACCUCGACACGGGAGGUAAGUCCGUGGAUCAAAAGGUAUACCGGUCGAUGAUUGGUUCAUCGCUUUAUUUAUGUGCAUCUUGACCGGACAUUAUGCUUUCCGUUUGCAUGUGUGCAAGAUUCCAAGCCGACCCUAAGGAAUCACACCUUACGGCCGUAAAAUGAAUCUUGAGAUAUUUGGCUUAUACUCCUAAGUUUGGGCUUUGGUACCCUCGGGGAUCCACAUUUGAUUUGAUUGGUUAUUCGGAUGCCGAUUGGGCGGGGUGUAAGAUUAAUAGAAAGAGCACAUCGGGGACUUGCCAGUUCUUGGGAAGAUCCUUGGUGUCUUGGGCUUCUAAGAAGCAAAAUUCGGUCGCUCUUUCUACCGCCGAAGCCGAGUAUAUUGCCGCAGGCCAUUGUUGCGCGCAAUUGCUUUGGAUGAGGCAAACCCUGCGGGACUAUGGUUACAAACUAACCAAAGUUCCUCUUCUAUGUGAUAAUGAGAGUGCAAUCCGCAUGGCAGAUAAUCCCGUUGAGCAUAGCCGCACUAAACACAUAGUCAUUCGAUAUCAUUUUCUUCGGGAUCACCAACAAAAGGGGGAUAUCGAGAUUUCUUACAUUAACACUAAAGAUCAAUUAGCCGAUAUCUUUACCAAGCCACUUGAUGAACAAUCCUUUACCAAACUUAGGCAUGAGCUAAAUAUUCUUGAUUCUAGGAAUUUCUUUUGCUAAUUUGCACACAUAGCACACAAGUAUACCUUUGAUCACAUCUCUUUUAUAUAUGCCAUGACUAAUGUGUUUUCAAGUGUAUUUCAAACCAAGUCAUAGGUAUAUUGAAAGGAAAUUGGAGUCUUCGGCGAAGACAAAGGCUUCCACUCCACUCUACUACUCAUCCUUCGCCAUCACUCCGAGCAUCUCUCCAACUUUGGUAUAAUCUUCACUCAUUUAUUUUAUGACCAAAGGAGGAAAAAGUAUUUCGUUGGGCCCUAAUGAUUCCGUUUUUGGUGAUUUGUGCCAAAGGGGGAGAAAAUAUGAGCCCAAAGCAAAAGGACCGCACCACCACCUAAUUUUUAACACCACCACCUAAUUUUUAAUUUUGGAGAUUUUCAAUUGGUCAAUUUCAAAUUGGUAUCUUAUUAUGUUCUAAGGGCUGAUUUGGUGUCCAGGGAUCACAGGGGGAUUGGAGGGGAUUGAGGGGGAAAUUAGUUCAUUUCCCCCUCAAUCCACUUCAAUCCUCCCGUGAUCCCCUUAUCACCAAAUUAGCCCUAAAGGGGGAGGAAGUAGUAUUUCAAAAAUGAUAAAUCAAAACCCUCUUGAACACUAAAGAGGAGGAUCUCAUUUAGGGGGAGUUUUGUUUAGUCAAAUGAAAAGCAUUUGAAACAAAGGGAGAAAAUUUUUAAAACUUGAAAAUGCUUUGCAAAAAUCUUAUUCAUCUACCCUUGACUAUGUUGCAAAAGGACUUUGAAAAAGAUUUACAAAAAGAAUUUGCAAAAACAAAACAUGUGGUGCAAGCGUGGUCCAAAAUGUUAAAAAUAAAGAAACAAUCCAUCCACAUCUAGUAAGUAACAUUUAUUGGCUCAAUUCCAAGCAACCUUUGCACUUACAUUAUGCAAACUAGUUCAAUUAUGCACUUUUAUAUUUGCUUUGGUUUGUGUUGGCAUCAAUCACCAAAAAGGGGGAGAUUGAAAGGGAAUUAGGCUUACACCUAGUCCCUAAUUUAUUUUGGUGGUUGAAUUGCCCAACACAAAUAUUUUGACUAACUAGUUUACUCUAGUGCAUACGUUAUACAGGUGCUAAAGGUUCACACUUAGCCAAUAAAAAGACAAAGUAUUGGGUUCAACCAAAGAGCAAAGGGACAACCGAAGGCACCUCUGGUCUGGUGCACCAGACUGUCCGGUGUGCCAUCGGACAUGUCCGGUGCACCAGAGGACUCCAACUCCGAACUGCUCACCUUCGGGAAAUUCCAGAGGCGACUCCGCUAUAAUUCACCGGACUGUCCGGUGUACACCGGACAUGUCCGAUGCUCCAAGGAAGAACGUCCUCAGGAACUCGCCAGCCUCGGGAAUUCACUUCUGCUGCUCCGCUAUAAUUCACCGGACAGUCCGGUGUACACCGGACUGUCCGGUGUAACAGCGGGGCAACGGCUAUUUCGGCGCCAACGGCUACCUGCGACGCAUUUAAUGCGCGCGCAGCGCGCGCAGAGGUCAGGCACGCCCAUGUUGGCGCACCAGACAAUCUACAGUGCAUGUCCGGUGCGCCACCGGACAUCAAGGCGGGCCCAGAAGUCAGAACUCCAACGGUCGGAACCCAACGGCUUUGGUGACGUGGCUGUCGCACCGGACAUGUCCGGUGUGGACCGGACUGUCCGGUGCGCCAUCGAACAGACAGUCUCACCAAACGGCUAGUUUGGUGGUUGGGGCUAUAAAUACCCCCAACCACCCACCAUUCAUAGUAUCCAAGUUUUCCACUUCUCAACUACUUACAAGAGCUCUAGCAUUCAAUUCUAGACACACCAAAGAGAUCAAAUCCUCUCCAAACUCCACACAACGCCCUAGUGACUAGUGAGAGAGAUUUGCUUGUGUUCUUUCGUGCUCUUGCGCUUGGAUUGCUUUCUUCUUUCUUGAUUCUUUCAUUGCGAUCAAACUCACUUGUAAUUGAGGCAAGAGACACCAAUCUUGUGGCGGUCCUUGUGGGAACUUUGUGUUCCGAGUGAUUGAGAAGAGAAAGCUCACUCGGUCCGAGGGACCGUUUGAGAGAGGGUAAGGGUUGAAAGAGACCCGGCCUUUGUGGCCUCCUCAACGGGGAGUAGGUUUGAGAGAACCGAACCUCGGUAAAACAAAUCCGCGUGUCUCACUUCAUUACUUGCUUGCGAUUUGUUUUGGCACCCUCUCUCGCGGACUCGAUUAUAUUUCUAACGCUAACCCGGCUUGUAGUUGUGAUUAUUUUUGAGAAUUUCAGUUUCGCCCUAUUCACCCCCCCUCUAGGCGACUUUCACGCCGGACAGGUCAUGUUCACUGUCCGGUGCGCCUCCUGCGCCUGCUCUGACUUCUGCGCGCGCAGGCGCGCACUGUUCACUUUUACUGUUCCUUUGCAGACGAUCGUUGGCGCGAAGUAGCCGUUGCUCCGCUGGCACACCGGACAGUCCGGUGUUACACCGGACAGUCCGGUGAAUUAUAGCGGAGUGGCUCCCCAAAUUCCCGAAGCUGAGCAGUUCAGAGUCGUUCCUCCUUGGUGCAGCGGACACUAUCCGGUGGGGCACCGAACACUGUCCGGUGGCACACCGGAUAGUCCGGUGCGCCAGACCAGGGCAGCCUUCGGUUGUCUUUUGCUCUUUUUAUUUGAACCCUUUCUUUGACUUUGUAUUGGUUUGUGUUGAACCUUUGGCACCUGUAGAACUCAUAAUCUAGAGCAAACUAGUUAGUCCAAUUGUUUGUGUUGGGCAAUUCAACCACCAAAAUUCAUAUAGGAAAAGGUUUGACCCUAUUUCCCUUUCAAUCUCCCCUUUUUGGUGAUUGAUGCCAACACAAACCAAAGCAAAUAUAAAAGUGCAGAAUUGAACUAGUUUGCAUAAGGUAAGUGCAAAGGUUGCUUGGAAUGAAACCAAUAAAUAUUUCUACUAGAUAUGCAUGGAUGGUUUUUUUCUUAUUUAAAAUUUUGGACCACGCUUGCACCGCGAGUUUUGUUUUUGCAAAUUCUUUGUAAAAUUCUUUUCAAAAACCUUUUGCAAAUAGUCAAAGGUAUAUGAAUAAGAUUGAAAGAAGCAUUUUCAAGAUUUGAAACUUUCUCCCCCUGUUUCAAAUGCUUUUCCUUUGACUUAAACAAAACUCCCCCUAAAGAGAAUUCUCCUCUUAGUGUUCAAGAGGAUUUUACAAAUUUUUGAAGAUACUACUUUCUCCCCCUUUUUGAACACAAAAAGAUACUAAUUUGAAAAACUUCAUUUUUAAAAAUCGGUGGUGGCGCGGUCCUUUUGCUUUGGGCUAAUACUUUCUCCCCCUUUGGCAUGAAUCGCCAAAAACGGAUACUUGUUAGUGAAAUAUAAGCCAUUUUUACUUUCUCCCCAAUGGCAAACAAAUAGAUAUGAGUGAAGAUUAUACCAAGGUGGAGAACGAUGCAGAGUACCGACAAAUACCAAUGGAGUUGAGUGGAAGCGCCUUCUUUGUCGAAUACUUCAUUUCCCUUUCAUUUCUAUGACUAAGCACAAUAAUACACUUGAAGACACAUUAGUCAUAGACAUAAAAGAGAUAUGAUCAAAGGUAUAUAAAUGAGCUAUGUGUGCAAUAUUUCAAUCAAAAUUCCUAGAAUCAAGAAUAUUUAGUUCAUUCCUAAGUUUGGUAAAGGUUUUCUCAUCUAAAGGCUUGGUAAAGAUAUCGGCCAAUUGAUCUUUGGUUUUUAUAUAGGCUAUCUCGAUAUCCCCCCUUUGUUGGUGAUCUCUCAAAAAGUGAUACCGAAUGGCUAUGUGCUUAGUGCGACUGUGUUCAACGGGAUUAUCCACCAUACGGAUUGCACUCUCAUUAUCACAUAGGAGAGGGAUUUUGCUAAAUUUGUAGCCAUAGUCCCUAAAGGUUUGCCUCAUCCAAAGCAAUUACGCGCAACAAUGGCAUGCGGCAAUAUACUCGGCUUCGGCGGUAGAAAGAGCUACUGAGUUUUGUUUCUUUGAGGCCCAAGACACCAGGGAUCUCCCCAGAAACUGACAAGUCCCUGAUGUGCUCUUCCUAUCAAUUUUACACCCUGUCCAAUCAGCAUCGGAAUAUCCUAUCAAAUCAAAAGAGGAUCCCUUGGGGUACCAAAGACCAAACUUAGGUGUAUGAACUAAAUAUCUCAAGAUUCUCUUUACGGCCCUAAGGUGAAUUUCCUUAGUAUCGGCUUGGAACCUUGCACACAUGCAUACGGAAAGCAUAAUAUCUGGUCGAGAUACACAUAAAUAGAGUAAAGAUCCUAUCAUCGACCGGUAUACCUUUUGAUCUACGGAUUUACCUCCCGUGUCGAGGUCGAGAUGCCCAUUGGUUCCCAUGGGUGUCUUGAUGGGCUUAGCAUCCUUCAUUCCAAACUUAGUGAGUAUAUCUUGAAUGUACUUCGUUUGGCCGAUGAAGGUGCCCUCUUGGAGUUGCUUCACUUGAAAUCCUAGAAAAUAUUUCAACUCCCCCAUCAUAGACAUCUCGAAUUUUUGAAUCAUGAUCCUACUAAACUCUUCAUAAAUAGAUUUGUUAGUAGACCCAAAUAUGAUAUCAUCAACAUAAAUUUGGCAUACAAAAAAAUCAUUUUCAAUUGUUUUAGUAAAGAGAGUAGGAUCAGACUUUCUGACUUUGAAGCCAUUAGCGAUAAGGAAAUCUCUUAGGCAUUCAUACCAUGCUCUUGGGGCUUGCUUGAGCCCAUAAAGCGCCUUAGAGAGUUUAUAGACAUGGUUAGGGUACUCACUAUCUUCAAAGCUGGGAGGUUGCUCAACAUAGACCUCUUCCUUGAUUGGUCCUUUGAGGAAGGCACUCUUCACGUCCAUUUGGUAAAGCUUAAAGCCAUGGUAAGUAGCAUAGGCAAGUAAUAUACGAAUUCAUUCAAGCCUAGCUACGGGUGCAUAGGUUUCACCAAAAUCCAAACCUUCGACUUAUGAAUACCCUUUGGCCACAAGUCGUGCCUUGUUCCUUGUCACCACACCAUGCUCAUCUUGCUUGUUGCGGAAGACUCACUUGGUUCCUACAACAUUUUGGUUAGGACGUGGAACCAAAUGCCAUACCUCAUUCCUAGUGAAGUUGUUGAGCUCCUCUUGCAUCGCCAACACCCAAUCCGAAUCUUGAAGUGCUUCCUCUACCCUGUGUGGCUCAAUAGAGGAAACAAAAGAGUAAUGUUCACAAAAAUGAGCAACACGAGAUCGAGUGGUUACCCCCUUAUGAAUAUCGCCGAGGAUAGUGUUCACGGGGUGAUCUCGUUGGAUUGCUUGGUGGACUCUUGGGUGUGGCGGCCUUGGAUCUUGUUCAUCUUCCUUGUCUUGAUUAUUGGCAUCUCCCCCUUGAUCAUUGUCCUCCUCUUGAGGUGGCUCAUCUUCUUCACCUUCAUUUUCAUCAUCUUGAGCUUGAUCCUCAUCUUGGGUUGGUGGAGAUGCUUGCAUGGAGGAAGAUGGUUGAUCUUGUGCUUGUGGAGGCUCUUUGAAUUCCUUAGGACACACAUCCCCAAUGGACAUGUUCCUUAGCGCGAUGCAUGGAGCCUCUUCAUCAUCUAGCUCAUCAAGAUCAACUUGCUCUACUUGAGAGCCGUUAGUUUCAUCAAACACAAUGUCACAAGAAACUUCAACUAGUCCAGUGGACUUGUUAAAGACUCUAUAUGCCCUUGUGUUUGAGUGAUAACCAAGUAAAAUGCCUUCUACAGCCUUAGGAGCAAAUUUAGAUUUUCUACCUCUUUUAACAAGAAUAAAGCAUUUGCUACCAAAGACUCUAAAAUAUGAAACGUUGGGCUUUUUACCGGUGAGGAGUUCAUAUGAUGUCUUCUUGAGGAUUCGGUGUAGAUAUAACCGGUUGAUGGCGUAGCAAGCGGUGUUGACCGCCUCAGCCCAAGACCGACCCGAAGUCUUGUACUCAUCAAGCAUGGUCCUUGCCAUGUCCAAUAGAGUUCUAUUCUUCCUCUCCCUACACCAUUUUGCUGUGGCGUGUAGGGAGAAGAGAACUCAUGCUUGAUGCCCUCCUCCUCAAGAAAGCUUUCAAUUUGAGAGUUCUUGAACUCCGUUCCGUUGUCGCUUCUUAUUUUCUUGAUCCUCAAGCCGAACUCAUUUUGAGCCCGUCUCAAGAAUCCUUUCAAAGUGUCUUGGGAUUGAGAUUUAUCCUGUAAAAAGAAUACCCAAGUGAAGCGAGAAUAAUCAUCCAUAAUAACUAGACAGUACUUGCUCCCGCCGAUGCUUAUGUAAGCUAUCGGGCCAAAUAAAUCCAUGUGGAGUAGCUCCAGUGGCCUGUCAGUCGUCAUGAUGUUCUUGUGUGGAUGAUGAGCACCAACUUGCUUCCCUGCUUGGCAUGCGCUACAAAUCCUGUCUUUCUCAAAAUGAACAUUGGUUAGUCCUAAAAUGUGCUCUCCCUUUAGAAGCUUGUGAAGAUUCUUCAUCCCAACGUGGGCUAGUCGGCGGUGCCAUAGCCAACCCAUGUUAGUCUUAGCAAUUACGCAAGUGUCGAGUUCAUCUCUAUUGAAAUCAACUAAGUAUAGCUGACCCUCUAACACUCCCUUAAAUGCUACCGAAUCAUCACUUCUUCUAAAGAUAGUAACACCUAUAUCCGUAAAAAGACAGUUUAACCCAUUUUACAUAAUUGAGAAACUGAAAGCAAGUUAUAGUCUAAAGAAUCUACAAAAAACAUUGGAAAUAGAAUGGUCAGGUGAUAUAGCAAUUUUACCCAAUCCUUUGACCAAACCUUGAUUUCCAUCCCCAAAUGUGAUAGCUCUUUGGGGACCUUGGUUUUUCUCAUAGGAGGAGAACAUCUUUUUCUCCCUAGUCAUGUGGUUUGUGCACCCGGUGUCGAUGAUACAACUUGAGCCCCCGGAUGCAUAAACCUGCAAAACAAAUUUAGACCUUGUUCUUAGGUACCCAAACUGUCUUGGGUUCUUUCACAUUAGAAACAAGCACCUUGGGUACCCAAACACAAGUCUUGGAGCCCUUGUGUUUGCCCCCAACAUAUUUGGCAACUACUUUGCCUGAUUUGUUAGUAAGCACAUAAGAUGCAUCAAAAGUCUUGAAUGAAAUGUUAUGAUCAUUUGAUGCAAUAGGAGAUUUCUUUUUAGGCAUUUUAACAUAUGUAGAACGCCUAGAACUAGAAGCCUUAUUCUUAUAAAUAAAAGCAUGGUGAGAAACAGAAUGAGUCUUCUUUACAUGAAUUCUCCUAAUCUUAUUCUCAGGAUAACCAGCAGGAUAUAAGAUAUAGCCCUCGUUAUCCCGAGGCAUGGGAGCCUUGCCCUUAACAAAAUUAGACAAUCUUUUAGGAGGGGCAUUAAACUUGACAUUGUCUCCCUGUUGGAAGCCAAUGCCAUCCUUAAUGCCAGGGCGUCUCCCACUAUAAAGCAUGCUACGAGCAAAUUUAAAUUUCUCAUUUUCUAGUUCAUGCUUGGCAAUUUUAGCAUCUAAUUUAGCUAUAUGAUUAUUUUGUUGUUUAAUCGUAAUAAGGUGAUCAUGAAUAGCAUCUACAUUAACAUCUCUACAUCUAGUGCAAAUAGAAACAUGAUCAACCGUAGAUGUAGAGGGUUUACAAUUAUUUAAUUCAACAAUCUUAGCAUAUAAAAUAGCAUUCUCAUCUCUAAGAUUGGAAAUGGAAACAUUGCAAACAUCUAAUUCCUUAGCCUUAGCAAUUAAUUUAUCAUUCUCAAACUUAAGGCUAGCAAGAGAUUCAUUCAACAUGUCAAUCUUAGCAAUUAAACUAGCAUUAUCAUUUCUAAGAUUAACAAUUGAAUCAUCACAAACAUUUGAUUUCUCAACCUUAGCAAUUAAUUUGGCAUUUUCAUUUCUAAGGCUAGAAAUAGUGUCAUGGCAAGUGCAAAGCUCACUAGUUAAUUUUUCAUUUUUCUCUACUUCCUGAGCAUAAGCAUUUUUAGUCUUAACAUGCUUUUUGUUUUUCUUAAUUAGGAAGUCCUCUUGGCUAUCCAAGAGUUCAUCCUUUUCAUGAAUAGCACUAAUCAAUUCAUUCAAUUUCUCUUUUUGUUGCAUGUUAGGAUUGGCAAAAAGAGUAAGCAAGUUAUCCUCAUCAUCACUAGAAUUAUCCUCGUCACUAGAAGUUGCAUACUUAGUGGAGGAUCUUGAUUUUACCUUCUUCUUCUUGCCGUCCUUUGCCAUGAGGCACUUGUGGCCAACGUUGGGGAAGAGAAGUCCCUUGUUGACGGCGAUGUUAGCGGCGUCCUUGUUGGAGGAGGAGUCGGUGGAUCUCUCGUCGGAGUCCCACUCCCGGCAAACAUGGGCAUCGUCGCUGUUGGGGACUUGUUCUCAAAUGCUAUGAAUCAAGAACAAGGCAACACAAAAGAUGUUAAAUAUCAAAUGUCCUUCGUCCGCUGAAGCAUCAUCUCCUCAAGGGUUUAAUGAUCUUCGGACGAAGGCCUCAAACACAAUAUUACGAAGGUGACAAAGAUAAUAUAAAGCGAUGUAAAAUGUAGAAUAUUAAAGAUAAAUAUGUUGGAGAUAAAUGGCAUCACUCACAUAUUUUAUCAUAUGAAUCUAAAAUGUUUGAAUACAAUGUUUAAGGUAUGUUUAUACCUUCGCCUUGACAAGUAAUAAUUCCCAAGUGAUGCACUUGCGAUUACAGGAACGCGUGAACAGUAAAGGAAUACUGUUCACUAUUUAUAGGCACAGGACACAGCCUGUGAGGAAUUACAAUCAUGCCCUUCAUAAAAGUUUACAACAAUGACUCAGACCCCUACAGGCUAAAAGGUCAUUCUAUCUUUAGGUCGGUUCGACCCUUCAUCUUCGGAUACGUUAUAAUCCCGAAGCUUCAUGAAUGAUACCUUCGUCGUCACGUACGAGCAGCUUCAGCCGCAGCUGUUUCUUUCUGUAGGACCUUCGGCGACGAAGCAUGGUCCCAACAGUAGCCCCUUCGCGGUGCUAGAUCGUUUUUCGUAACGAGCUUGAUCCGUGAAAAAAGUCUCUUAGGCUUCAGGAAGCCGAAGGUCCGAAAAACACCUUCCCUGAGCUCGUUGUCGAGAAACGAUACAGUUUUCGAGCGCGUAGCGAUUCCACCAUGCGGGUUCACUAUUCUGUUUUUUGCGGCCCACCGUUCAGCGGGUGCGAGCAACUGUUUGCUUGGUGUAAAAAUCCUGACGAUUCACCUUCUUUCCUGCAACACUAUAUAAACAGACGGGUAGGUGUGAAGUUACCCCAGCAUUCAUUGCUAUUGCACUGUUUUGCUGCCAAAAUUUUUAACCAUAGCCGAAGCUUGACUUUCGCAUUCGAACAAAGCUCUAGUUUAGCGUCUGCUCCGUCAGAAGAAGGGCUUCGGGAGAAAGGUUAUUAAUUUCCGAGCAAUUUUCAAGAUAUUCAAAAUCAAAUGGCCAGAGUGCGCUCUACUGCUAGGGCUGAGCGCGAAGGAGACGAAGUCGAAGCUGCGGAAACUGUCCCUAUUUCGGAAGCAAUGAGGCGAAGUGGGUUGGUGACAUCGGAGAACACCCCUGCUGCCGAAGCAGAACAAGCAGAUAUUGAAGAGACUGAUUCUGAAGAUGAUCAUAAUAUCGCAAUACCAAGCAAGCCUAGCCACCUGGACUUCGGAAAGUCAACCAUCUCCAAGGCUGAUUUUCCGAAGAUGGUAAAGUCGGGCUAGUUUAGCGAAGAUGAGAAAAAGAUGAUUCGCUUCGGUGGAGAAGAAACUACUCCAAAGCCUCAGAAAGAUGAAAUAGUGAUUUUCAAGAGUUUCCUCAAAGCUGGUUUGAGAUUUCCUUUAAAUAGGAUGAUUGCCGAUGUGCUAAAGAAGUUUGGUAUCUAUUUUCAUCAACUAACUCCUAAUGCUAUUGUUAGGCUUAGUGUUUAUAUUUGGGCUCUCCAAAGCCAAGGGGUGGAGCCAUUUGCCAAAGGUUUCUGUCGAGUACACGAGCUACGUUAUCAAACUAAGGCCAGAAAGGAUGGGUUACAUGAAAAUUUUGGUUGUUAUAAUUUUGCCUAUCGGAAGACUACAAAAUUUCCGGUGAUCAGCUACCGAAGCAAGUGGCCGGCAGGCUAGAAAUUGGAAUGGUUCUACGUCAAAGUUGACGAUGACAAGGAGAAGCUAGUACAGAGUCCGCUUGAACUGGUCUUCGGAGAGACCAGACCCCACUGCAAUAUGACACCAGAAGGUCCCACUCAAAUCGCGUUGGCUGAAUUCAGGACUAUUGCUGAGCACAUUGGCACUAUAGAUCUUGUGCAGGAAUUUCUGUCGUUCAAAAUAUUUCCAACUAUGAAGGAAUGGGCUAUACCGAAGCUCAAAAAAGAGAAGAAAGAGGGGGAACUUGUCCGCCUGCCCUACCACUACAAGUUCAAGAAAUAUUUUAAAGAACCCUGCCAAGAAUGGCUCGAAACAAUCGAAAUAAUGAGUACUGAAAUUCUUGGGAAUUAUUCUAAAAAAGAAGAUCAAUUGAUGACAGCAGCCUUCGGCACCCGGCCGAAACAAAGGCUAAACAGAGUGCUUGAUGUUAUAUGCUUUGAAUACCCUGACUAUGAGCGACUAGACAAGGGUGCCGAAGGGUAGAAAAGAAAAUGAGUGGCUAGCACUUUAAUUAAAGACGACGAAGAUCAACCAAGAAAGAAGAAAGAAAAGCUUGAACCGAAAGUAGUUGCUCCAAGAAAGAGAAAAGCUGUAUCUUCGAAGCCUGCGUCUCCAGAACUAGAGAGGUUGGUCCGAGAUGAGGAAGUAUCUGUGACACCUUCUGCUGCCGAAGUAGAAGAAAUUUUGAAGGUAAUGACUGAAACCUUGCCUGUCAAGCUAAGUCCGCUGGCACCAGAACUGACAAAGUUUUUUUAGAAGGACGAAAAAACUUCGGCAGCAGAAAGUUCUGCGAAGCCAAAAAAACGGAGAAUCAUUCAAGUGACAGAUGUGAUCCAUCAGACGCCGCCACCGGCGACGGUGUCAAAAAUUGUCUUUGCCGAGACUACCGAAGCCGAAGACGCCGCAGCCGAAGCUGCCGGAGUGGAGACCACUGAAGCUGAAACCGGCGAAGCUGAAGCUACCGGGGCCGAAGCCGAAGCUACCGGAGAGUCGAACCUGGAAACCACACUUGAGGUUAUUGACAAUAUACUCCUAAAAAUGGCUCAAGAAGAAGCUGUCAUGGCUGCGGUGAACACGGCAACUGAAAAGGGGAAAAAGCAGAUUGAUGAAAUUUCGGAAAAAGGAGAUUUUAACUUUCAAGAUUUGCUUGGACAAGAGUUGACAGACGCCGAAAAAGAAGAGUUGAAAAAAUAUGCCAUAUCUUGCGGAUAUAAAUCAGGGGCUAUGCUAUUUGAUGGGGUCAACGAAGGGAAGCUAAUAUGCCUUCGGAACCGCACCGAGGCCAAAAUUGUUAGAACCCUCUCCAAAAGCGUUGGCUUGCCGAAGAUAGAAGCAGACCUCUGCAGGUAUCAGCGACAUCAUGUCGCUGGCAGCCUGCUCUACACGAAUUUUAAGGUAAAAUUAUUAUUAUUAUUUUAUUAUUGUUAUUUUUUAUGUCUUUCUCUGACGAAGGCUGUUUUGGCAGAGUAUAUUAUUAAGUAAAGUGCUGAAAAUGCAACAAGAUCUUGAAGAGGAGAAGAACAAAGCUAUCAUCAAAGAUUUAGAAGAAAAAGUUGAGAACUACGAAGCUGUUCUGAAGAAGAAAGACUUCGCCAUUCAAGAUCUUGAAAUUAUGGCUAAAGAACACGAAGGUGCUUUAGAAAAUAAAGACUUUAUUAUUCAGUCUAUGGAAGGCUCCUUGGCCGAAGUCCAAGCGGAAAAUGACAGUUUAAAGAAUGAAUUACUCGAAAAGUCAGAAAAAUAUGAGCAAGAAAAGGAUAAGCUUGAAGCAAGUCUCAAGAUUGAGGUCGAGAAAAAUUUAAAUUUGCAAAAAUCAUUAAAGGAUCUCCAAGAGAAAUGUCUAAAUUUCGGCAGCCGAUGCGUGCAGCGGCUCAAGGACGUAUUUCACUCUAUCGGAGCCAGCUCUGAAAAAUUUUCACCUUCAGCCGAAAACCUGCCCAGCACCUUGGAACAUAUUGAAGGCGAGGUUGAUGCUCUUGACGAAGUUAUUGGUGGGCAUGUCGAUUUCUGCGCCCUGGUAGCUUCUCGAGGCACAGCUGCCGCUUUUCUGAAGGCCGGUUGUACUCAUGGGAAAAUUGUGAAUAGGCCAAACUUUAGCUUGUCAGCAUCAGAUUUGAUUGAUAUCCCGAGCCUAGCCCGAAGCAUCGGAAAUAGAUUUAUGACCCAAAUUUGGGUAAAUGGCGGGCGAAGGAUGGCUGGUGACGAAGCUCGAAGUCACCUUAAGCCGGUAAGAAACUUAUAUUUGUUACUUUUACCUUCUCCUUGAAAUUUGCACCUUUCUUAUUCUGCUCCUUAAUAUGUGCAGGAUGACAAAACUAAAGUAUGACGAAGCUGAAGCUUGAUAGUUGCUAAAAUAGACUUUCCUACAAAAAAUUCUGAAAGGAUCUUUGUAAUAUCAUUAUGGAAAAAACUUAUGUAAAUUUGUACAUACCUUGUAAUAUAUUCUGUCUCCUUUAUCUGUGUACAAUCUGCUUUGCUGUGGACGAAACUUCUCUUUUUUGAGCUGAAGGCGAAAAACACCUUCCCUUCUUUUCGUACACAACGAAGCAUGAAAACUUCCUCUUUCUACGAAGUCUUUCCUUAUUGCCGAAGCAUCUGUCUUUUUUGUGUGGUAUGAUGAUGAUUCUAUAUGUCUAAAUGAAUGUUUAUGAGUGCAAAUGACAUGAUGUAAUGUAUCGUGCAGAUGAAUAUCGGGUCACAUAUUCAAAAACCAUAAUCAUAGACCUUCAUCCCCUUGGGAAUGAUUCAAAUCUUUCUGUCGUUUACUUUUCGGUGUACCAGCGUUGACUUUUCGCUGUAAGCCUCCCUUAGGAGCUUCUUCGCCUUUUACUUUCAACGGAAUCAGCGUUGACUUUUCGCUGUAAGCGUCCCUUAGGAGCUUCUUCGCCUUCUACUUUCGGCGGAAUCAGCGUUGACUUUUCGUUGUAAGCUCUGCAUUCCCUUAGGAAUGACUUUUGAGCUUCUCCCUAUUUUCUUUUCUUUUUCCUUUGCAUUUACAUUUACAUUUUUGGGGGAUAUCAUUCUUAUAGAAUUGAAAUAAGGAAAAUUACAUGUUGUGGCCCCAUUAAAAACCUUUCUCCCCCUUUGGAAAGGAAAAGGGUGCCACAAAAAAGAAUAGAAAAAAUUACAUCAAGCUAAACAUAAUAUCGCCGAAGCUCAUCCGCAUUCCACGAUCUAGGGAUGUCGUUGCCGUCCAUAUCCUUUAAUCUGUAGGAACCGGGUCUUGACGAAGAUACUACCAAAAAAGGGCCUUCCCACUUCAGCUGUAGUUUGCCUACUGUGUCUGGGUUGACCACUCUUCGAAGCACCAAAUGUCCUGGCUUAAUGUUCUUCAACCGAACCUUUCUAUCCCGCCAUUUUAUUGUUUCGGCUUGGUAUUUAUUGAUGUUUUCCACAGCCUGAAGCCUGAUCCCCUCUAUAGCAUCUUUUUCCAUAGAGCAGUCAGCUUCAUCUUCGCCUUUUGCCGAAGCUAUUGUUCUUAUUGAUCCUGCUUUGGCUUCUUCCGGGGUUAUUGCUUCGUCACCAAACAAUAGUUUGAAUGGCGUAAAGCCUGUUGAUCUUGACGUUGUUGUGUUAUGGCUCUACACCACUUUGAUUAAUUCUUCUGGCCACUUUCCCCUGGGCUGAUUGAAGAUUGACUUCAUUAUUCCUGUCAUUAUGAUCCCAUUAGCUCUUUCAACUAGUCCAUUUGAUUCUGGAUGUCGAACUGACGCAAAAUGGAUCUUUGUGCCAAUUUGGUCACAAAACUCUUUAAAAGCUUCGGAGUCCAACUGCGUUCCAUUGUCCACAGUAAUGGCCUUCGGCACUCCGAAGCGACAAACAAUGUUUUGCCAGAAAAACUUUUGGACAGUGACCAAAGUUAUUGUGGCUAAAGGCUUUGCCUCAAUACAUUUAGAAAAAUAUUCCACUGCCACUACAACAUAUUUUAAAUUUCCUUGUGCUGGUGGUAGCGGACCUAACAAAUCAAGGCCCCACCUUUGCAACGACCAAGUGGGUUGUAUUAACUGAGUUAGAGACGAAGGUUGUUUUUGAUCUCUUGCACAUUUCUGACAACCUUCACACUUUUGCACUAGUUCCGCUGCAUCCGAAGCUGCCUUUGGCCAAUAAAAUCCUUGGCGAAAAACUUUUCCCAACAAAGGCCUAGAUCCAAUAUGAGAUCCACACAGGCCUGCAUAUAUUUCCUUCAUCAAUUCUAUGCCUUCGGCUCUGGAUAAACACUUGAGCAACGGGAACAAACCCCACGCUUGUAUAAUUCCCCUUCUAUAAUGACAUAUGGUCGAGCUCUUGCUUCUAUCCUCCUGUUAUAAACUUCAUCAUCUGAAAGAAAAUUGCCCUGAAGGAAAGAGAUGAUUUCAGUUCUCCAAUCUUCACUAUAGAUAGGGGAUAUGUUGAGGACCGCUCUUUCAAGAAGCUCGACCGAAGGUGCUUUUAUUGUUUCGAAAAAUACUUCCGAAGGUAAAGGCAGCCCCUGUGCUGCUGACUUGGCUAAUUGAAAGUCGCCUAGAGGGGGGUGAAUAGGGCGAAACUGAAAUUUACAAAAUUAAUCACAACUACAAGCCGGGUUAGCGUUAUAAAUAAUAAUGAGUCCGAGAGAGAGAGCGCAAAACAAAUCGCAAGCGAAUAAGGAGUGUGACACGCGGAUUUGUUUUACCGAGGUUCGGUUCUCGCAAACCUACUCCCCGUUGAGGAGGCCACAAAGGUCGGGUCUCUUUCAACCCUUACCCUCUCUCAAACGGUCCCGCGGACCGAGUGAGCUUCUCUUCUCAAAUCAAACCGGGAACAAAGCUUCCCCGCAAGGACCACCACACAAUUGGUGUCUCUUGCCUUGAUUACAAGUGAGCUUUGAUCACAAGAACAAGAGAGAAAGAAAGAAGCAAUCCAAGCGCAAGAGCUCAAAAGAACACGGCAAAUCUCUCUCGCUAAUCACUAAAGCCUUGUGUGGAAUUGGAGAGGAUUUGAUCACUUGAGUGUGUCUAGAAUUGAAUGCCUAGCUCUUGUAAGUGGUUGAGAUGUGGAAAACUUGGAUGUCUUGAAUGUGGGGUGGUUGGGGGUAUUUAUAGCCCCAACCACCAAACUAGCCGUUUGGGUGGAGGUUGUCUGUCGUAUGGUGCAUCGGACAGUCCGGUGCACACCGGACAUGUCCGGUGCGCCUGCCACGUCACCCGAACGUUAGGGUUCCGACCGUUGGAGCUCUGACGCUGGGCCCGCCUGGAUGUCCUGUGGCGCACCGGACAUGCACUGUAGAGUGUCCGAUGCGCCUGUUCGCGCGUGCCUGACUUCUGCGCGCUAUGGCGCGCAUUAAAUGCGAUGGCAGGUGACCGUUGGCGCCGAAGUAGCUGUUGCUCCAUAGUUACACCGGACAUGUCCGGUGAAUUAUAGCGGAGAGCCGUUGCGAAUUCCCGAAGCUGGCGAGUUCAGAGUCGCUUCAUCCCUGGAGCACCGGACACUGUCCGGUGUACACCGGACAGUCCGGUGAAUUAUAGCGGAGCGACUCUGCGUUUUCCCGAAGGCGAGGAGUUCAGCGCGUGGAGAAUCCUGGUGCACCGGACAUGUCCGGUGGCACACCGGACAGUCCGGUGCGCCAGACCAGGGCAGCCUUCGGUUGUCCCUUUGCUCCUUUGUUUGAACCCUUUUCUUUUGAUCUUUUCAUUGGCUUAUUGUGAACCUUUGGCACCUGUAGAACUUAUAGACUAGGGCAAACUAGUUAGUCCAAUUAUUUGUGUUGGGCAAUUCAACCACCAAAAUUAAUUUAGGAAAAUAGGUGUAAGCCUAAUUCCCUUUCAAUCUCCCCCUUUUUGGUGAUUCAUGCCAACACAAACCAAAGCAAGUAUAGAGGUGCAUAAUUGAACUAGUUUGCAGAAUGUAAGUGCAAAGGUUACCUAGAAUUUGAGCCAAUAAAUAUCACUUACUAGAUAAGCAUGGAUUGUUUCUUUAUUUUUAACAUUUUGGACCACGCUUGCACCACAUGUUUUGUUUUUGCAAAUUCUUUUUGUAAAUCCUUUUCAAAGUUCUUUUGCAAAAUAGUCAAAGGUGAAUGAGUAAAAUUUUGCGAAGCAUUUUCAAGUUUGAAAUUUUCUCCCCUUGUUUCAAAUGCUUUUCCUUUGACUAAACAAAACUCCCCCUCAAAUAAAUUCUCCUCUUAGUGUUCAAGAGGGUUUUAAGAUAUCAAUUUUUGAAAGGUGCUACUUUCUCCCCCUUUAGAACACAAAGAGAUAUUAAUUUGAAAAUUACCAAUUUGAAAAUUUGGAAAUCAUAUUUUUUUAAAAAUUAGGGUGGUGGUGCGGUCCUUUUGCUUUGGGCUCAUACUUUCUCCCCCUUUGGCAUGAAUCGCCAAAAACGGAUACUUUGAGUGAGAUAUAAGCCCUUGGUUAACUAUUUUCUCCCCUUUGGCAAAUAAAACAUAUGAGUGAAGAUUAUACCAAAGACGGGGAGUGAUGCGGAGCGACUGCGAAGGAGGAGUAAUAGAGUGGAGUGGAAGCCUUUGUCUUCGCCGAAGACUCCAAUUCCCUUUCGAUAUACCUAUGACUUGGUUUGAAAUACACUUGAAAGACACAUUAGUCAUAGCAUAUAUAAAAAAGACAUGAUCAAAGGUAUAUUUAUGAGCUAUGUGUGCAAGUUUAGCAAAAGAAAUUCCUAGAAUCAAGAAUAUUGAGCUCAUGCCUAAGUUUGGUAAAAGUUUGUUCAUCUAAUGGCUUGGUAAAGAUAUCGGCUAAUUGAUCUUUAGUAUUAAUGUAUGCAAUCUCGAUAUCCCCCUUUUGUUGGUGAUCCCUAAGAAAAUGAUAUCGAAUGGCUAUGUGCUUAGUGCGGCUAUGCUCAACGGGAUUAUCCGCCAUGCGGAUUGCACUCUCAUUAUCACAUAGAAGAGGAACUUUGGUUAAUUUGUAACCAUAGUCCCGCAGGGUUUGCCUCAUCCAAAGCAAUUGCGCGCAACAAUGGCCUGCGGCAAUGUACUCGGCUUCGGCGGUAGAAAGAGUGACCGAAUUUUGCUUCUUUGAAGCCCAAGACACCAAGGACCUUCCCAAGAACUGGCAAGUCCCCGAUGUGCUCUUUCUAUUAAUCUUACAUCCCGCCCAAUCGGCAUCCGAAUAACCAAUCAAAUCAAAUGUGGAUCCCCGAGGGUACCAAAGCCCAAACUUAGGGGUAUAAGCCAAAUAUCUCAAGAUUCGUUUUACGGCCGUAAGGUGGGAUUCCUUAGGGUUGGAUUGGAAUCUUGCACACAUGCAAACGGAAAGCAUAAUGUCCGGUCGAGAUGCACAUAAAUAGAGUAAUGAACCUAUCAUCGAUGGGUAUACCUUUUGAUCGACGGAUUUACCUCCCGUGUCGAGCUCGAGAUGCCCGUUGGUUCCCAUGGGUGUCUUGAUGGGCUUAGCAUCCUUCAUUCCAAACUUGGUUAGAAUGUCUUGAGUAUACUUCGUUUGGCUAAUGAAGGUGCCUUCUUGGAGUUGCUUGACUUGGAAUCCUAGAAAAUACUUCAACUCCCCCAUCAUUGACAUCUCGAAUUUUUGUGUCAUGAUCCUACUAAAUUCUUCACAUGUAGAUUCGUUAGUAGACCCAAAUAUGAUAUCAUCAACAUAAAUUUGGCAUACAAACAUAUCAUUGUCAAGAGUUUUAGUGAAUAAAGUAGGAUCGACCUUGCCGACUUUGAAGCCAUUAGCUAUAAGGAAAUCUCUUAGGCAUUCAUACCAUGCUCUUGGGGCUUGCUUGAGCCCAUAAAGCGCCUUAGAGAGCCUAUAAACAUGGUUAGGGUACUCACUGUCUUCAAAGCCGGGAGGUUUCUCAACAUAGACCUCUUCCUUGAUUGGUCCAUUGAGAAAGGCACUCUUUACGUCCAUUUGAUAAAGCUUGAAGCCAUGGUAAGUAGCAUAGGCUAAUAAUAUGCGAAUUGACUCAUGCCUAGCUACGGGUGCAUAGGUUUCACCGAAAUCCAAACCUUCGACUUGGGAGUAUCCCUUGGCCACAAGUCGGGCUUUGUUCCUUGUCACCACACCAUGCUCAUCUUGCUUGUUGCGGAAGACCCAUUUGGUUCCUACAACAUUUUGGUUAGGACGUGGAACUAAAUGCCAUACCUCAUUCCUAGUGAAAUUGUUGAGCUCCUCUUGCAUCGCCAUCACCCAAUCCGAAUCUUGAAGUGCUUCCUCUACCCUGUGUGGCUCAAUAGAGGAAACAAAAGAGUAAUGCUCACAAAAAUGUGCAACACGAGAUCGAGUGGUUACCCCCUUAUGAAUGUCGCCGAGGAUGGUGUCGACGGGGUGAUCUCGUUGGAUUGCUUGGUGGACUCUUGGGUGUGGCGGCCUUGGUUCUUCAUCCUCCUUGUCUUUAUCGUUUGCAUCUCCCCUUGAUUAUUGCCGUCAUCUUGAGGUGGCUCAUCUCUUUGAUCUUCUCCUUCAUCAACUUGAGCCUCGUCCUCAUUUUGGGUUGGUGGAGAUGCUUGCAUGGAGGAGGAUGGUUGAUCUUGUGCAUGUGGAGGCUCUUCGGAUUCCUUAGGGCACACAUCCCCAAUGGACAUGUUCCUUAGCUCGAUGCACGGAGCCUGUUCUUCACCUAUCUCAUCAAGAUCAACUUGCUCUACUUGAGAGCCGUUAGUUUCAUCAAACACAACGUCACAAGAAACUUCAACAAGUCCUGAGGACUUGUUAAAGACUCUAUAUGCCCUUGUGUUUGAGUCAUACCCUAGUAAAAAGCCUUCUACAGUUUUAGGAGCAAAUUUAGAUUUUCUACCUCUCUUAACAAGAAUAAAGCAUUUGCUACCAAAAACUCUAAAAUAUGAAAUAUUGGGCUUUUUAACGAUUAGGAGUUCAUAGGAUGUCUUCUUGAGGAUUCGAUGUAGAUAUAACCAGUUGAUGGCGUAGCAAGCGGUGUUGACUGCCUCGGCCCAAAACCGAUCCGGUGUCUUGUACUCAUCAAGCAUGGUUCUUGCCAUGUCUAAUAGAGUUCGAUUCUUCCUCUCCACUACACCAUUUUGUUGUGGUGUGUAGGGAGAAGAGAACUCAUGCUUGAUGCCCUCCUCCUCAAGGAAGCCUUCUAUUUGUGAGUUCUUGAACUCCGUCCCGUUGUCGCUUCUAAUUUUCUUGAUCCUUAAGCCAAACUCAUUUUGAGCCCGUCUCAAGAAUCCCUUUAAGGUCUCUUGGGUAUGAGAUUUUUCCUGCAAAAAGAACACCCAAGUGAAGCGAGAAUAAUCAUCCACAAUAACUAAACAGUACUUACUCCCGCCGAUGCUUAUGUAAGCGAUCGGCCCGAAUAGAUCCAUGUGUAGGAGCUCCAGUGGCCUGUCACUUGUCAUGAUGUUCUUGUGUGGAUGAUGAGUGCCAACUUGCUUCCCGGCUAGGCAUGCGCUACAAAUCCUGUCUUUCUCAAAAUGAACAUUUGUUAGUCCUAAAAUGUGCUCUCCCUUUAGAAGCUUAUGAAGAUUCUUCAUUCCAACAUGAGCUAGUCGGCGGUGCUAGAGCCAACCCAUGUUAGUCUUAGCAAUUAAGCAAGUGUCGAGUUCAGCUUUAUCAAAAUCUACCAAGUAUAGCUGACCCUCUAACACUCCCUUAAAUGCUAUUGAAUCAUCACUUCUUCUAAAGACAGUGACACCUACAUCAGUAAAUAGACAGUUGUAGCCCAUUUGACAUAAUUGCGAAACAGAAAGCAAAUUGUAAUCUAAAGAAUCUACAAGAAAAACAUUGGAAAUGGAAUGGUCAGGAGAUAUAGCUAUUUUACCCAAACCUUUGACCAAACCUUGGUUUCCAUCCCCGAAUGUGAUAGCUCGUUGGGGAUCUUGGUUUUUCUCGUAGAAGGAGAACAUCUUCUUCUCCCCCGUCAUGUGGUUUGUGCACCCGCUAUCGAUGAUCCAACUUGACCCACCGGAUGCAUAGACCUACAAAACAAGUUUAGUUCUUGACUUUAGGUACCCAAACGGUUUUGGGUCCUUUGGCAUUAGAAACAAGAACUUUGGGUACCCAAACACAAGUCUUAGAGCCCUUGUGUUUGCCCCAACAAACUUGGCAACUACCUUGCCGGAUUUGUUAGUUAAAACAUAUGAUGCAUCAAAAGUUUUGAAUGAAAUGUCAUGAUUAUUUGAUGCACUAGGAGUUUUCUUUCUAGGCAACUUAGCACGGGUUGGUUGCCUAGAGCUAGAUGUCUCACCCUUAUACAUAAAAGCAUGGUUAGGGCCAGAGUGAGACUUCCUAGAAUGAAUUCUCCUAAUUUUGCUCUCAGGAUAACCGGCAGAAUACAAAAUGUAACCCUCGUUAUCCUGAGGCAUGGGAGCCUUGCCCUUAACAAAGUUAGACAAAUUUUUAGGAGGGGCAUUAAGUUUGACAUUGUCUCCCCUUUGGAAGCCAAUGUCAUCCUUGAUGCCAGGGCGUCUCCCAUUAUAGAGCAUACUUCUAGCAAAUUUAAACUUUUCAUUUUCCAAGUUAUGCUCGGCAAUUUUAGCAUCUAAUUUUGCUAUAUGAUCAUUUUGUUGUUUAAUUAAGACCAUAUGAUCAUGAAUAGCAUCAAUAUCAACAUCUCUACAUCUAGUGCAAAUAGAAACAUGCUCAACAGUAGAUGUAGAGGGUUUGCAAGAUUUUAAUUCUACAACCUUAGCAUGUAAUAUAUCAUUCUCACUUCUAAGGUUAGAAAUAGUAACAUUGCAAACAUCAAAAUUUUUAGCCUUAGCAAUUAAUUUUUCAUUUUCAAUCCUAUGGCUAGCAAGAGAAUCAUUCAAUUCCUUAAUCUUAGCAUGUAAAUCAACAUUAUCAUUUCUAAGACUGGGAAUUGAAACAUCACAAACAUGUGAAUCAACCUUAGCAAUUAAUCUAGCAUUUUCAUUUCUAAGGUUGUCAAUAGUCUCAUGGCAAGUGCUUAGCUCAGUAGACAAUUUUUCACAUUUUUCAACUUGUAGAGCAUAAGCAUUUUUAACUUUAACAUGCUAUUUAUUCUCCUUGAUUAGGAAGUCCUCUUGGGAGUCCAAGAGAUCAUCCUUCUCAUGGAUGGCACUAAUUAGCUCAUUUAGUUUUCCUUUUGUUGCAUGUUGAGGUCGGCAAAAAAAGUACGCAAAUUAUCUUCCUCAUCACUAGCAUUAUCAUCACUAGAGGACUCAUACUUAGUGGAGGAUUUGGAUUUAACCUUCUUCCUUUUGUCGUCCUUUGCCAUGAGGCACUUGUGGCGGACGUUGGGGAAAGAAGUCCCUUGGUGACGGCGAUGUUGGCGGCGUCCUCGUCGGAGGAGGAGUCGGUGGAGCUCUCGUCCGAGUCCCAUUCCCGGCAACAUGGGCAUCGCCGCCCCUCUUCUUGUAGUGCCUCUUCUUCUCCUUUCUUCUUCCCUUCUUGUCGUCGCCCCUGUCAUAUCACUGGAUAGUGGACAUUUAGCAAUAAAAUGACCGGGUUACCCAUUUGUAGCAUACUUUCUUGGAGGGGUUUGUAGUCUUUCCCCCUCUUUGCUUGAGGAUUUGGCGGAAGCUCUUGAUGAUGAGCGCCAUCUCCUCGUUGUCGAGCUUGGAGGCGUCGAUGGUGUUCGACUUGGAGUAGCCUCCUCCUUCUUUUUCCGUCGCCUUGAAAGCGACAGGUUGUGCCUCGGACGUGGAGAGGUGCCUUGCUCGAUGAUUUUCUUUGAGCCCUUAAUCAUUAGCUCAAAGCUCCAAAUUUUCCUAUAACUCCUGGGAGACAUUAGCUUAUAUCUAGGAUCACCUCGAAUUAUUGAACUUGUGUAGGUUAAGAAAUACGAGGAUCUAAGAAUAACCUUGACCAUCUCAUGGUCAUCCCAUUUUCCGCUCCCGAGGUUGCGCACUUGGUUCACCAAGGUCUUCAAGCGGUUGUACAUCGCUUGUGGAUCCUCCCUUGGUGAAGCAUGAAGCGACCGAGCUCCCCUCGAUCGUCUCCCGCUUGGUGAUUUUGUCACUCAUCUCCUUCGUGCGCGGUCUUUAGUACGUCCCAAAUUUCCUUCGCACUUUUUAACCCUUGCACCUUGUUAUACUCUCCACUUAGAGAGGCGAGGAGUAUAGUGGUUGCUUGGGAGUUAAAGUGGUGGAUUUGGGCACUUCGUCCGAGUCAUAGUCUUCAUCCCCUACGGAUAGUACCUGUACACCAAACUCAACAACAUUCCAAAUGCUUGUGUGGAGUGAGGUUAGAUGAUGUCCAUUUUGUCACUCCACAUAUUAUAAUCUUCACGUCAAAACCGGUGGUUUGCCUAAUGGAACGGAGAGUAAAGGAGUACGUUUUGAAGUGUGGGGGUAGCGUAGGGGGAUCUUACUAUACUUCUUGCGCUCUUGGCGCUUAGAAGUAACGGACGGCGCAUCGGAGUCGGAGGUCGAUGGUGAUGAAGAGUCGGUCUCGUAGUAGACCACUUCCUCAUCCUCUUGUGCUUGUCGCUCUCCGAUGCGACUUGUGGGAAGAAGAUUUCUUCUCCUUCCCUUCCUUUGUUGGAGGAGUCCUUUUUCUUCUCCUUCCCUUGGUACGGGACUCUUCCAAUGAACUGCUCCCGUGGCUCGUAGUGGGCUUGUCGCCGUCUCCAUUCCUUCUUGGUGUGAUCUCUGUCACACCCGGUUUGAAGGCAAACCGAAUGCGAACUAUGUACGUGCCAGGAUCAGAACUCACGUACACAGCGAUUACAUAAAUGAACAUAUCACACAAUGCUCGAAUAAUAACUUAAAAGAGUACUUAUUACAUCAUAGAGUCAUAGACAUCCACAUAGUCAUUGUCUUAACAGGUAAAUCAAAGUGCUAAACGAAACGCAGUAAAGAUAAAGCCCACAGGCAGCUGACUGGGGGUUGCCGCCAACCCAACCUAGAAUUCAUCGUAGUCUUGGAAACUCCUGGAAGUCUCCUUCCACGGCUUCGCCUUCUCCGAGCAGUGGUUACAAUGCGGACAACCUGGUGUUUUGUGGUAAAGCAAGGAUGAGUAACAUCAACGUACUCAGCAAAUGUCCCGUUUGGCUGAGGUGGACUAGCUUUAUGUGGGGUUAGGCUCCAGCAGUUGCUUUUAGUUGGUCAGUAUUUAUCAUUAGUAGAAGCCAGAUUUUAGCAUUAACCAAUCCGUAAACCAUUUCCUCAUCGAGGAACAUUCAUCAUAUAGUCGAACCAAAACCAUGUAUAAUCAUUAUAUCUCGAACCAUCUGUAUCCUAAUCAAAGAGGAUCCCAAGGCUGUCUUAACCGUGAGCACGGCUGAUAUACCAGUUUCACUACCCUCUGCAGAGGUUGCACACUUUACCCAUGAGUCAUGAUUCCCUUUCUACCGGGGAGAGCUAAUCCCAUUGACCACUACCUAGGUGGUCCGGCAGGGCAUCACUACGUAGCUUUUACAAAGAUUUCCCUAGAGAUCAUAGCUGCCGUUAGGUUUCUCCAGUUUGAUAAACACAGUACCCUCCCCGCAGGAGAGUGACUAACAAAGAGCAAAACGAAAGAACUCGGCACUCAGCCUCGGCAGAGCAAGCACUGUGCUGGACCCCAUUGACGGCACGACGGCUAAGCAACUACACCUCUAGUUCAUUCCAAUUAAUCAGCUAAGGGCAUCCCAUUUCACCCUCAUGGUUGCACUGUUAUCCUGGCGUGGUCUCUCAACGAACCAGUCUACGGAGAGGUACUCAGGAAACAGCCUGAGCCCCCUAGAGUAUCACAAGAUCAUCAAAUCAACAGGAUAACGUAUCAUAAAUAGCCACAUCAUGUUCAUUGAUUAUGUUAAAGCAAUAGCAAAGUGCAACCAUAAUAGCCCAUAAGGUCAUCAAGGAUAAAGUAAAGUGCAAGCUAGUCAAUCCUUAGGUUCAAGUAAGUAAUGCGGGGUAGUAAGUUAUAAAUGAAUAGGACAUAUGGGACAGAGGACACUUGCCUUCACCAAACUGUUGAUCAGGGACUUCCUCUGCACUGCCUCGGGAAACACAGACUGCUCGUUGUCUACGCAAAGCAAUCAUUCACACUAUGCACUUGGGAAAAUAACAAACAAAAACAAUAUACCAAACAUAGCAGCAGAGAGGGGUCACAAGUUCAUAAGAAAAGGGAUAGGCACUCUAAAGUUCCUAGGUCUGGGGGUAGAGGACUCACAAGUGAUUCACUAUCCACUAAUCAGGUCUAAGUUAGUGGUGGGAUUAAAUAAUUAUCUGGUUAAGUUCCUAACUUAAGUGUUUAAGUCCAUAAACUUAGUAAUCCAAUUUAUUGAAGUCUACUCAUUUCCAAUUAUCUUAAAUAAGGUUUCAAUAGUCUUAAUCCUAUCCUAGUGAUUAGCUAUUAAUUAAUACAUGGAAACAGGGAAACAUUGCAUAAACAGAUAGAUAAUAAUAUUAUGAACAUUUUGCAAUUUGAAGCACCUAAUUUGGAGUUCAUAUGACAAAGUUAUGAAUUUUACAAGUUUAGGGGUUAAAAUUAUACCUAAGGACUUAUUUUAUCAAUAAAAGGGCCAGGGACUUAACUGCGAGAAACCAGGGACGGCGGGCGCAAUUUCCAGAAAACAGGGGGGCUCUUUAAGAAAAUGCGCGGGCGAAGGGUAUCGGGCCCUACAGCCGUUGGAUCUAGAUCGGCGGCUAGGAUUAGAUCCCGCGGCGCGCGCGGGCGCGCGGCGGCGUGAGCGGCUGACAGGCGGGCCGGGCGGACAGCGCGCGCGGGCGGACUGACAAGUGGGGUGGCGGGCAGAGAGCGGGGUGAGGGGUAGUGGGCCUGGGCCGCUGGAUCGCUGGCGGACGGCCAGGAUUAGGUCCGAGCGAGUUGAAUCAGGACGCCCGAUCUGGGUUGAACGGGGAGAUCGAUGGGCAGCCUGGGUCUUCCUACGGCUAGCUGGGGCGGCGGGCCGUCCCCGCGGCGGAGGGCUCGCCGGAGACGAGGGCACGGGCGACUGGCGGGCUCUGGGGCAAUCCGAGUGGUCGGGGAGGUCAGGGAGGGCACGGGGAUCCAUUGGUGGGGUCUGGGUCGGGGCAGAGGCACCGGAGGGGGCGGUCACGGCGGGGCGGCUCGGCGGCGGGGUUAUUCUACUCCGGCGAGCAAUCAACGCAACAGAGAGCAAAACAAGGGGCGAUAGGGCGGGAGAGGUCCCUUACCUCAAGGCGGGCUCCGGGACUCCUCGCGGCGACAGAGACGCGACGGGGACCCGGGUCGACGGUGCGGCUGCACGGCGGACGACGGGUGAGUGCGGGCAGAGAGAAAUAGGGAGGGGGAGAGGGAAUUGGGGCCGUUCCGGGUUGCGGACGUCGGGCGGAGCUCACCGGGCUAAGGGCGCGCGGAGCUCCAACGGCGACGAGAAACCGAGCUCAGGACGGCGGGGGCUAGGCGGCGGCGCUCUGCGGCGCGCAGCGAGGGGGAAGAGGGUCUACUGGGCGCAAAUGGGGAGAGGGUGAGGGGAGUGGGGCUCNNNNNNNNNNNNNNNNNNNNNNNNNNNNNNNNNNNNNNNNNNNNNNNNNNNNNNNNNNNNNNNNNNNNNNNNNNNNNNNNNNNNNNNNNNNNNNNNNNNNUUGAUGCAAUAGGAGAUUUCUUUUUAGGCAUUUUAACAUAGUAGAACGCCUAGAACUAGAAGCCUUAUUCUUAUAAAUAAAAGCAUGGUGAGAAACAGAAUGAGUCUUCUUUACAUGAAUUCUCCUAAUCUUAUUCUCAGGAUAACCAGCAGAUAUAAGAUAGCCCUCGUUAUCCCGAGGCAUGGGAGCCUGCCCUAACAAAUAGGACAAUCUUUAGAGGGCAUUAAACUUGACAUUGUCUCCCUGUGGAAGCCAAUGCCAUCCUUAAUGCCAGGCGUCUCCCACUAUAAAGCAUGCUACGAGCAAAUUUAAUUUCCAUUUUCUAGUUCAUGCUUGGCAAUUUUAGCAUCUAAUUUAGCUAUAGAUUAUUUUGUUGUUUAAUCGUAAUAAGGUGAUCAUGAAUAGCACUACAUUAACAUCUCUACAUCUAGUGCAAAUAGAAACAUGAUCAACCGUAGAUUAGAGGGUUUACAAUUAUUAAUUCAACAAUCUAGCAUAUAAAUAGCAUCUCAUCUCUAAGAUUGAAAUUGGAAACAUUGCAAACAUCUAAUUCCUUAGCCUUAGCAAUUAAUUUAUCAUUCUCAAACUUAAGGCUAGCAAGAGAUUCAUUCAACAUGUCAAUCUUAGCAAUUAAACUAGCAUUAUCAUUUCUAAGAUUAACAAUUGAAUCAUCACAAACAUUUGAUUCUCAACCUUAGCAAUUAAUUUGGCAUUUUCAUUUCUAAGGCUAGAAAUAGUGCAUGGCAAGUGCAAAGCUCACUAGUUAAUUUUUCAUUUUCUCUACUUCCUGAGCAUAAGCAUUUUUAGUCUUAACAUGCUUUUUGUUUUUCUUAUUAGGAAGUCCUCUUGGCUAUCCAAGAGUUCAUCCUUUCAUGAAUAGCACUAAUCAAUUCAUUCAAUUUCUCUUUUGUUGCAUUUAGGAUUGGCAAAAAGAGUAAGCAAGUUAUCCUCAUCAUCACUAGAAUUAUCCUCGUCACUAGAAGUUGCAUACUUAGUGGAGGAUCUGAUUUACCUCUUCUUCUUGCCGUCCUUUGCCAUGAGGCACUUGUGGCAACGUUGGGGAAGAGAAGUCCCUUGUUGACGGCGAUUUAGCGGCGUCCUUGUUGGAGGAGGAGUCGGUGGAUCUUCGUCGGAGUCCCACUCCGGCAAACAUGGCAUCGUCGCUGUUGGGGACUUGUUCUCAAAUGCUAUGAAUCAAGAACAAGCAACACAAAAGAUGUUAAAUAUCAAAUUCCUUCGUCCGCUGAAGCAUCAUCUCCUCAAGGGUUUAAUGAUUUCGGACGAAGGCCUCAAACACAAUAUUACGAAGUGACAAAGAUAAUAUAAAGCGAUGUAAAAUGUAGAAUAUAAAGAUAAAUAUUUGGAGAUAAAUGCAUCACUCACAUAUUUAUCAUAUGAAUCUAAAAUGUUUGAAUACAAUGUUUAAGGUAUGUUUAUACCUUCGCCUUGACAAGUAAUAAUUCCCAAGUGAUGCACUUGCGAUUACAGGAACGCGUGAACAGUAAAGGAAUACUGUUCACUUAUUUAUAGGCACAGGACACAGCCUGUGAGGAAUUACAAUCAUGCCCUUCAUAAAAGUUUACAACAAUGACUCAGACCCCUACAGGCUAAAAGGUCAUUCUAUCUUUAGGUCGGUUCGACCCUUCAUCUUCGGAUACGUUAUAAUCCCGAAGCUUCAUGAAUGAUACCUCGUCGUCACGUACGAGCAGCUUCAGCCGCAGCUGUUUCUUUCUGUAGGACUUCGGCGACGAAGCAUGGUCCCAACAGUAGCCCCUUCGCGGUGCUAGAUCGUUUUUCGUAACGAGCUUGAUCGUCGAAAAAAGUCUCUUAGGCUUCAGGAAGCCGAAGGUCCGAAAAACACCUUCCCUGAGCUCGUUGUCGAGAAACGAUACAGUUUUCGAGCGCGUAGCGAUUCCACCAUGCGGGUUACUAUUCUGUUUUUGCGGCCCACCGUUCAGCGGGUGCGAGCAACUGUUGCUUGGUGUAAAAAUCCUGACGAUUCACCUCUUUCCUGCAACACUAUAUAAACAGACGGUAGGUGUGAAGUUACCCCCAGCAUUCAUUGCUAUUGCACUGUUUUGCGCCAAAAUUUUAACCAUAGCCGAGCUUGACUUUCGCAUCGACAAAGUCUAGUUUAGCGUCUGCUCCGUCAGAAGAAGGGCUGGGAGAAAGGUUAUUAAUUUCCGAGCAAUUUUCAAGAUAUUCAAAAUCAAAUGGCCAGAGUGCGCUCUACUGCUAGGGCUGAGCGCGAAGGAGACGAAGUCGAAGCUGCGGAAACUGUCCCUAUUCGGAAGCAAUGAGGCGAAGUGGGUUGGUGACAUCGGAGAACACCCCUGCUGCGAAGCAGAACAAGCAGAUAUUGAAGAGACUGAUUCUGAAGAUGACAUAAUAUCGCAAUACCAAGCAAGCCUAGCACCUGGACUUCGGAAAGUCAACCAUCUCCAAGGCUGAUUUUCCGAAGAUGGUAAAGUCGGCUAGUUUAGCGAAGAUGAGAAAAGAUGAUUCGCUUCGGUGGAGAAGAAACUACUCCAAAGCCUCAAAAGAUGAAAUAUGAUUUUCAAGAGUUUCCUCAAAGCUGGUUUGAGAUUCCUUUAAAUAGGAUGAUUGCCGAUGUGCUAAAGAAGUUUGGUAUCUAUUUCAUCAACUAACUCCUAAUGCUAUUGUUAGGCUUAGUGUUUAUAUUUGGGCUCUCCAAAGCCAAGGGGUGGAGCCAUUUGCCAAAGGUUUCUGUCGAGUACACGAGCUACGUUAUCAAACUAAGGCCAGAAAGGAUGGGUUACAUGAAAAUUUUGGUUGUUAUAAUUUUGCCUAUCGGAAGACUACAAAAUUUCCGGUGAUCAGCUACCGAAGCAAGUGGCCGGCAGGCUAAAAUUGGAAUGGUUCUACGUCAAAGUUGACGAUGACAAGGAGAAGCUAGUACAGAGUCCGCUUGAACUGGUCUUCGGAGAGACCAGACCCCACUGCAAUAUGACACCAGAAGGUCCACUCAAAUCGGUUGGCUGAAUUCAGGACUAUGCUGAGCACAUUGGCACUAUAGAUCUUGUGCAGGAAUUUCUGUCGUUCAAAUAUUUCCAACUAUGAAGGAAUGGGCUAUACCGAAGCUCAAAAAAGAGAAGAAAGAGGGGGAACUUGUCCGCCUGCCCUACCACUACAAGUUCAAGAAAUAUUUUAAAGAACCCUGCCAAGAAUGGCUCGAAACAAUCGAAAUAAUGAGUACUGAAAUUCUGGGAAUUAUUCUAAAAAAGAAGAUCAAUUGAUGACAGCAGCCUUCGGCACCCGGCCGAAACAAAGGCUAAACAGAGUGCUUGAUGUUAUAUGCUUUGAAUACCCUGACUAUGAGCGACUAGACAAGGGUGCCGAAGGGUAGAAAAGAAAAUGAGUGGCUAGCACUUUAAUUAAAGACGACGAAGAUCAACCAAGAAAGAAGAAAGAAAAGCUUGAACCGAAAGUAGUUGCUCCAAGAAAGAGAAAAGCUGUAUCUUCGAAGCCUGCGUCUCCAGAACUAGAGAGGUUGGUCCGAGAUGAGGAAGUAUCUGUGACACCUUCUGCUGCCGAAGUAGAAGAAAUUUUGAAGGUAAUGACUGAAACCUUGCCUGUCAAGCUAAGUCCGCUGGCACCAGAACUGACAAAGUUUUUUUAGAAGGACGAAAAAAACUUCGGCAGCAGAAAGUUCUGCGAAGCCAAAAAAACGGAGAAUCAUUCAAGUGACAGAUGUGAUCCAUCAGACGCCGCCACCGGCGACGGUGUCAAAAAUUGUCUUUGCCGAGACUACCGAAGCCGAAGACGCCGCAGCCGAAGCUGCCGGAGUGGAGACCACUGAAGCUGAAACCGGCGAAGCUGAAGCUACCGGGGCCGAAGCCGAAGCUACCGGAGAGUCGAACCUGGAAACCACACUUGAGGUUAUUGACAAUAUACUCCUAAAAAUGGCUCAAGAAGAGCUGUCAUGGCUGCGGUGAACACGGCAACUGAAAAGGGGAAAAAGCAGAUUGAUGAAAUUUCGGAAAAAGGAGAUUUUAACUUUCAAGAUUUGCUUGGACAAGAGUUGACAGACGCCGAAAAAAGAAGAGUUGAAAAAAUAUGCCAUAUCUUGCGGAUAUAAAUCAGGGGCUAUGCUAUUUGAUGGGGUCAACGAAGGGAAGCUAAUAUGCCUUCGGAACCGCACCGAGGCCAAAAUUGUUAGAACCUCUCCAAAAGCGUUGGCUUGCCGAAGAUAGAAGCAGACCUCUGCAGGUAUCAGCGACAUCAUGUCGCUGGCAGCCUGCUCUACACGAAUUUUAAGGUAAAAUUAUUAUUAUUAUUUUAUUAUUGUUAUUUUUUAUGUCUUUCUCUGACGAAGGCUGUUUUGGCAGAGUAUAUUAUUAAGUAAAGUGCUGAAAAUGCAACAAGAUCUUGAAGAGGAGAAGAACAAAGCUAUCAUCAAAGAUUUAGAAGAAAAAGUUGAGAACUACGAAGCUGUUCUGAAGAAGAAAGACUUCGCCAUUCAAGAUCUUGAAAUUAUGGCUAAAGAACACGAAGGUGCUUUAGAAAAUAAAGACUUUAUUAUUCAGUCUAUGGAAGGCUCCUUGGCCGAAGUCCAAGCGGAAAAUGACAGUUUAAAGAAUGAAUUACUCGAAAAGUCAGAAAAAUAUGAGCAAGAAAAGGAUAAGCUUGAAGCAAGUCUCAAGAUUGAGGUCGAGAAAAAUUUAAAUUUGCAAAAAUCAUUAAAGGAUCUCCAAGAGAAAUGUCUAAAUUUCGGCAGCCGAUGCGUGCAGCGGCUCAAGGACGUAUUUCACUCUAUCGGAGCCAGCUCUGAAAAAUUUUCACCUUCAGCCGAAAACCUGCCCAGCACCUUGGAACAUAUUGAAGGCGAGGUUGAUGCUCUUGACGAAGUUAUUGGUGGGCAUGUCGAUUUCUGCGCCCUGGUAGCUUCUCGAGGCACAGCUGCCGCUUUUCUGAAGGCCGGUUGUACUCAUGGGAAAAUUGUGAAUAGGCCAAACUUUAGCUUGUCAGCAUCAGAUUUGAUUGAUAUCCCGAGCCUAGCCCGAAGCAUCGGAAAUAGAUUUAUGACCCAAAUUUGGGUAAAUGGCGGGCGAAGGAUGGCUGGUGACGAAGCUCGAAGUCACCUUAAGCCGGUAAGAAACUUAUAUUUGUUACUUUUACCUUCUCCUUGAAAUUUGCACCUUUCUUAUUCUGCUCCUUAAUAUGUGCAGGAUGACAAAACUAAAGUAUGACGAAGCUGAAGCUUGAUAGUUGCUAAAAUAGACUUUCCUACAAAAAAUUCUGAAAGGAUCUUUGUAAUAUCAUUAUGGAAAAAACUUAUGUAAAUUUGUACAUACCUUGUAAUAUAUUCUGUCUCCUUUAUCUGUGUACAAUCUGCUUUGCUGUGGACGAAACUUCUCUUUUUUGAGCUGAAGGCGAAAAACACCUUCCCUUCUUUUCGUACACAACGAAGCAUGAAAACUUCCUCUUUCUACGAAGUCUUUCCUUAUUGCCGAAGCAUCUGUCUUUUUUGUGUGGUAUGAUGAUGAUUCUAUAUGUCUAAAUGAAUGUUUAUGAGUGCAAAUGACAUGAUGUAAUGUAUCGUGCAGAUGAAUAUCGGGUCACAUAUUCAAAAACCAUAAUCAUAGACCUUCAUCCCCUUGGGAAUGAUUCAAAUCUUUCUGUCGUUUACUUUUCGGUGUACCAGCGUUGACUUUUCGCUGUAAGCCUCCCUUAGGAGCUUCUUCGCCUUUUACUUUCAACGGAAUCAGCGUUGACUUUUCGCUGUAAGCGUCCCUUAGGAGCUUCUUCGCCUUCUACUUUCGGCGGAAUCAGCGUUGACUUUUCGUUGUAAGCUCUGCAUUCCCUUAGGAAUGACUUUUGAGCUUCUCCCUAUUUUCUUUUCUUUUUCCUUUGCAUUUACAUUUACAUUUUUGGGGGAUAUCAUUCUUAUAGAAUUGAAAUAAGGAAAAUUACAUGUUGUGGCCCCAUUAAAAACCUUUCUCCCCUUUGGAAAGGAAAAGGGUGCCACAAAAAAGAAUAGAAAAAAUUACAUCAAGCUAAACAUAAUAUCGCCGAAGCUCAUCCGCAUUCCACGAUCUAGGGAUGUCGUUGCCGUCCAUAUCCUUUAAUCUGUAGGAACCGGGUCUUGACGAAGAUACUACCAAAAAAGGGCCUUCCCACUUCAGCUGUAGUUUGCCUACUGUGUCUGGGUUGACCACUCUUCGAAGCACCAAAUGUCCUGGCUUAAUGUUCUUCAACCGAACCUUUCUAUCCCGCCAUUUUAUUGUUUCGGCUUGGUAUUUAUUGAUGUUUUCCACAGCCUGAAGCCUGAUCCCCUCUAUAGCAUCUUUUUCCAUAGAGCAGUCAGCUUCAUCUUCGCCUUUUGCCGAAGCUAUUGUUCUUAUUGAUCCUGCUUUGGCUUCUUCCGGGGUUAUUGCUUCGUCACCAAACAAUAGUUUGAAUGGCGUAAAGCCUGUUGAUCUUGACGUUGUUGUGUUAUGGCUCUACACCACUUUGAUUAAUUCUUCUGGCCACUUUCCCCUGGGCUGAUUGAAGAUUGACUUCAUUAUUCCUGUCAUUAUGAUCCCAUUAGCUCUUUCAACUAGUCCAUUUGAUUCUGGAUGUCGAACUGACGCAAAAUGGAUCUUUGUGCCAAUUUGGUCACAAAACUCUUUAAAAGCUUCGGAGUCCAACUGCGUUCCAUUGUCCACAGUAAUGGCCUUCGGCACUCCGAAGCGACAAACAAUGUUUUGCCAGAAAAACUUUUGGACAGUGACCAAAGUUAUUGUGGCUAAAGGCUUUGCCUCAAUACAUUUAGAAAAAUAUUCCACUGCCACUACAACAUAUUUUAAAUUUCCUUGUGCUGGUGGUAGCGGACCUAACAAAUCAAGGCCCCACCUUUGCAACGACCAAGUGGGUUGUAUUAACUGAGUUAGAGACGAAGGUUGUUUUUGAUCUCUUGCACAUUUCUGACAACCUUCACACUUUUGCACUAGUUCCGCUGCAUCCGAAGCUGCCUUUGGCCAAUAAAAUCCUUGGCGAAAAACUUUUCCCAACAAAGGCCUAGAUCCAAUAUGAGAUCCACACAGGCCUGCAUAUAUUUCCUUCAUCAAUUCUAUGCCUUCGGCUCUGGAUAAACACUUGAGCAACGGGGAACAAACCCCACGCUUGUAUAAUUCCCCUUCUAUAAUGACAUAUGGUCGAGCUCUUGCUUCUAUCCUCCUGUUAUAAACUUCAUCAUCUGAAAGAAAAUUGCCCUGAAGGAAAGAGAUGAUUUCAGUUCUCCAAUCUUCACUAUAGAUAGGGGAUAUGUUGAGGACCGCUCUUUCAAGAAGCUCGACCGAAGGUGCUUUUAUUGUUUCGAAAAAUACUUCCGAAGGUAAAGGCAGCCCCUGUGCUGCUGACUUGGCUAAUUGAAAGUCGCCUAGAGGGGGUGAAUAGGGCGAAACUGAAAUUUACAAAAUUAAUCACAACUACAAGCCGGGUUAGCGUUAUAAAUAAUAAUGAGUCCGAGAGAGAGAGCGCAAAACAAAUCGCAAGCGAAUAAGGAGUGUGACACGCGGAUUUGUUUUACCGAGGUUCGGUUCUCGCAAACCUACUCCCCGUUGAGGAGGCCACAAAGGUCGGGUCUCUUUCAACCCUUACCCUCUCUCAAACGGUCCCGCGGACCGAGUGAGCUUCUCUUCUCAAAUCAAACCGGGAACAAAGCUUCCCCGCAAGGACCACCACACAAUUGGUGUCUCUUGCCUUGAUUACAAGUGAGCUUUGAUCACAAGAACAAGAGAGAAAGAAAGAAGCAAUCCAAGCGCAAGAGCUCAAAAGAACACGGCAAAUCUCUCUCGCUAAUCACUAAAGCCUUGUGUGGAAUUGGAGAGGAUUUGAUCACUUGAGUGUGUCUAGAAUUGAAUGCCUAGCUCUUGUAAGUGGUUGAGAUGUGGAAAACUUGGAUGUCUUGAAUGUGGGGUGGUUGGGGGUAUUUAUAGCCCCAACCACCAAACUAGCCGUUUGGGUGGAGGUUGUCUGUCGUAUGGUGCAUCGGACAGUCCGGUGCACACCGGACAUGUCCGGUGCGCCUGCCACGUCACCCGAACGUUAGGGUUCCGACCGUUGGAGCUCUGACGCUGGGCCCGCCUGGAUGUCCUGUGGCGCACCGGACAUGCACUGUAGAGUGUCCGAUGCGCCUGUUCGCGCGUGCCUGACUUCUGCGCGCUAUGGCGCGCAUUAAAUGCGAUGGCAGGUGACCGUUGGCGCCGAAGUAGCUGUUGCUCCAUAGUUACACCGGACAUGUCCGGUGAAUUAUAGCGGAGAGCCGUUGCGAAUUCCCGAAGCUGGCGAGUUCAGAGUCGCUUCAUCCCUGGAGCACCGGACACUGUCCGGUGUACACCGGACAGUCCGGUGAAUUAUAGCGGAGCGACUCUGCGUUUUCCCGAAGGCGAGGAGUUCAGCGCGUGGAGAAUCCUGGUGCACCGGACAUGUCCGGUGGCACACCGGACAGUCCGGUGCGCCAGACCAGGGCAGCCUUCGGUUGUCCCUUUGCUCCUUUGUUUGAACCCUUUUCUUUUGAUCUUUUCAUUGGCUUAUUGUGAACCUUUGGCACCUGUAGAACUUAUAGACUAGGGCAAACUAGUUAGUCCAAUUAUUUGUGUUGGGCAAUUCAACCACCAAAAUUAAUUUAGGAAAAUAGGUGUAAGCCUAAUUCCCUUUCAAUCUCCCCCUUUUUGGUGAUUCAUGCCAACACAAACCAAAGCAAGUAUAGAGGUGCAUAAUUGAACUAGUUUGCAGAAUGUAAGUGCAAAGGUUACCUAGAAUUUGAGCCAAUAAAUAUCACUUACUAGAUAAGCAUGGAUUGUUUCUUUAUUUUUAACAUUUUGGACCACGCUUGCACCACAUGUUUUGUUUUUGCAAAUUCUUUUUGUAAAUCCUUUUCAAAGUUCUUUUGCAAAAUAGUCAAAGGUGAAUGAGUAAAAUUUUGCGAAGCAUUUUCAAGUUUGAAAUUUUCUCCCCUUGUUUCAAAUGCUUUUCCUUUGACUAAACAAAACUCCCCCUCAAAUAAAUUCUCCUCUUAGUGUUCAAGAGGGUUUUAAGAUAUCAAUUUUUGAAAGGUGCUACUUUCUCCCCCUUUAGAACACAAAGAGAUAUUAAUUUGAAAAUUACCAAUUUGAAAAUUUGGAAAUCAUAUUUUUUUAAAAAUUAGGGUGGUGGUGCGGUCCUUUUGCUUUGGGCUCAUACUUUCUCCCCCUUUGGCAUGAAUCGCCAAAAACGGAUACUUUGAGUGAGAUAUAAGCCCUUGGUUAACUAUUUUCUCCCCUUUGGCAAAUAAAACAUAUGAGUGAAGAUUAUACCAAAGACGGGGAGUGAUGCGGAGCGACUGCGAAGGAGGAGUAAUAGAGUGGAGUGGAAGCCUUUGUCUUCGCCGAAGACUCCAAUUCCCUUUCGAUAUACCUAUGACUUGGUUUGAAAUACACUUGAAAGACACAUUAGUCAUAGCAUAUAUAAAAAAGACAUGAUCAAAGGUAUAUUUAUGAGCUAUGUGUGCAAGUUUAGCAAAAGAAAUUCCUAGAAUCAAGAAUAUUGAGCUCAUGCCUAAGUUUGGUAAAAGUUUGUUCAUCUAAUGGCUUGGUAAAGAUAUCGGCUAAUUGAUCUUUAGUAUUAAUGUAUGCAAUCUCGAUAUCCCCCUUUUGUUGGUGAUCCCUAAGAAAAUGAUAUCGAAUGGCUAUGUGCUUAGUGCGGCUAUGCUCAACGGGAUUAUCCGCCAUGCGGAUUGCACUCUCAUUAUCACAUAGAAGAGGAACUUUGGUUAAUUUGUAACCAUAGUCCCGCAGGGUUUGCCUCAUCCAAAGCAAUUGCGCGCAACAAUGGCCUGCGGCAAUGUACUCGGCUUCGGCGGUAGAAAGAGUGACCGAAUUUUGCUUCUUUGAAGCCCAAGACACCAAGGACCUUCCCAAGAACUGGCAAGUCCCCGAUGUGCUCUUUCUAUUAAUCUUACAUCCCGCCCAAUCGGCAUCCGAAUAACCAAUCAAAUCAAAUGUGGAUCCCCGAGGGUACCAAAGCCCAAACUUAGGGGUAUAAGCCAAAUAUCUCAAGAUUCGUUUUACGGCCGUAAGGUGGGAUUCCUUAGGGUUGGAUUGGAAUCUUGCACACAUGCAAACGGAAAGCAUAAUGUCCGGUCGAGAUGCACAUAAAUAGAGUAAUGAACCUAUCAUCGAUGGGUAUACCUUUUGAUCGACGGAUUUACCUCCCGUGUCGAGCUCGAGAUGCCCGUUGGUUCCCAUGGGUGUCUUGAUGGGCUUAGCAUCCUUCAUUCCAAACUUGGUUAGAAUGUCUUGAGUAUACUUCGUUUGGCUAAUGAAGGUGCCUUCUUGGAGUUGCUUGACUUGGAAUCCUAGAAAAUACUUCAACUCCCCCAUCAUUGACAUCUCGAAUUUUUGUGUCAUGAUCCUACUAAAUUCUUCACAUGUAGAUUCGUUAGUAGACCCAAAUAUGAUAUCAUCAACAUAAAUUUGGCAUACAAACAUAUCAUUGUCAAGAGUUUUAGUGAAUAAAGUAGGAUCGACCUUGCCGACUUUGAAGCCAUUAGCUAUAAGGAAAUCUCUUAGGCAUUCAUACCAUGCUCUUGGGGCUUGCUUGAGCCCAUAAAGCGCCUUAGAGAGCCUAUAAACAUGGUUAGGGUACUCACUGUCUUCAAAGCCGGGAGGUUUCUCAACAUAGACCUCUUCCUUGAUUGGUCCAUUGAGAAAGGCACUCUUUACGUCCAUUUGAUAAAGCUUGAAGCCAUGGUAAGUAGCAUAGGCUAAUAAUAUGCGAAUUGACUCAUGCCUAGCUACGGGUGCAUAGGUUUCACCGAAAUCCAAACCUUCGACUUGGGAGUAUCCCUUGGCCACAAGUCGGGCUUUGUUCCUUGUCACCACACCAUGCUCAUCUUGCUUGUUGCGGAAGACCCAUUUGGUUCCUACAACAUUUUGGUUAGGACGUGGAACUAAAUGCCAUACCUCAUUCCUAGUGAAAUUGUUGAGCUCCUCUUGCAUCGCCAUCACCCAAUCCGAAUCUUGAAGUGCUUCCUCUACCCUGUGUGGCUCAAUAGAGGAAACAAAAGAGUAAUGCUCACAAAAAUGUGCAACACGAGAUCGAGUGGUUACCCCCUUAUGAAUGUCGCCGAGGAUGGUGUCGACGGGGUGAUCUCGUUGGAUUGCUUGGUGGACUCUUGGGUGUGGCGGCCUUGGUUCUUCAUCCUCCUUGUCUUUAUCGUUUGCAUCUCCCCCUUGAUUAUUGCCGUCAUCUUGAGGUGGCUCAUCUCUUUGAUCUUCUCCUUCAUCAACUUGAGCCUCGUCCUCAUUUUGGGUUGGUGGAGAUGCUUGCAUGGAGGAGGAUGGUUGAUCUUGUGCAUGUGGAGGCUCUUCGGAUUCCUUAGGGCACACAUCCCCAAUGGACAUGUUCCUUAGCUCGAUGCACGGAGCCUGUUCUUCACCUAUCUCAUCAAGAUCAACUUGCUCUACUUGAGAGCCGUUAGUUUCAUCAAACACAACGUCACAAGAAACUUCAACAAGUCCUGAGGACUUGUUAAAGACUCUAUAUGCCCUUGUGUUUGAGUCAUACCCUAGUAAAAAGCCUUCUACAGUUUUAGGAGCAAAUUUAGAUUUUCUACCUCUCUUAACAAGAAUAAAGCAUUUGCUACCAAAAACUCUAAAAUAUGAAAUAUUGGGCUUUUUAACGAUUAGGAGUUCAUAGGAUGUCUUCUUGAGGAUUCGAUGUAGAUAUAACCAGUUGAUGGCGUAGCAAGCGGUGUUGACUGCCUCGGCCCAAAACCGAUCCGGUGUCUUGUACUCAUCAAGCAUGGUUCUUGCCAUGUCUAAUAGAGUUCGAUUCUUCCUCUCCACUACACCAUUUUGUUGUGGUGUGUAGGGAGAAGAGAACUCAUGCUUGAUGCCCUCCUCCUCAAGGAAGCCUUCUAUUUGUGAGUUCUUGAACUCCGUCCCGUUGUCGCUUCUAAUUUUCUUGAUCCUUAAGCCAAACUCAUUUUGAGCCCGUCUCAAGAAUCCCUUUAAGGUCUCUUGGGUAUGAGAUUUUUCCUGCAAAAAGAACACCCAAGUGAAGCGAGAAUAAUCAUCCACAAUAACUAAACAGUACUUACUCCCGCCGAUGCUUAUGUAAGCGAUCGGCCCGAAUAGAUCCAUGUGUAGGAGCUCCAGUGGCCUGUCACUUGUCAUGAUGUUCUUGUGUGGAUGAUGAGUGCCAACUUGCUUCCCGGCUAGGCAUGCGCUACAAAUCCUGUCUUUCUCAAAAUGAACAUUUGUUAGUCCUAAAAUGUGCUCUCCCUUUAGAAGCUUAUGAAGAUUCUUCAUUCCAACAUGAGCUAGUCGGCGGUGCUAGAGCCAACCCAUGUUAGUCUUAGCAAUUAAGCAAGUGUCGAGUUCAGCUUUAUCAAAAUCUACCAAGUAUAGCUGACCCUCUAACACUCCCUUAAAUGCUAUUGAAUCAUCACUUCUUCUAAAGACAGUGACACCUACAUCAGUAAAUAGACAGUUGUAGCCCAUUUGACAUAAUUGCGAAACAGAAAGCAAAUUGUAAUCUAAAGAAUCUACAAGAAAAACAUUGGAAAUGGAAUGGUCAGGAGAUAUAGCUAUUUUACCCAAACCUUUGACCAAACCUUGGUUUCCAUCCCCGAAUGUGAUAGCUCGUUGGGGAUCUUGGUUUUUCUCGUAGAAGGAGAACAUCUUCUUCUCCCCCGUCAUGUGGUUUGUGCACCCGCUAUCGAUGAUCCAACUUGACCCACCGGAUGCAUAGACCUACAAAACAAGUUUAGUUCUUGACUUUAGGUACCCAAACGGUUUUGGGUCCUUUGGCAUUAGAAACAAGAACUUUGGGUACCCAAACACAAGUCUUAGAGCCCUUGUGUUUGCCCCCAACAAACUUGGCAACUACCUUGCCGGAUUUGUUAGUUAAAACAUAUGAUGCAUCAAAAGUUUUGAAUGAAAUGUCAUGAUUAUUUGAUGCACUAGGAGUUUUCUUUCUAGGCAACUUAGCACGGGUUGGUUGCCUAGAGCUAGAUGUCUCACCCUUAUACAUAAAAGCAUGGUUAGGGCCAGAGUGAGACUUCCUAGAAUGAAUUCUCCUAAUUUUGCUCUCAGGAUAACCGGCAGAAUACAAAAUGUAACCCUCGUUAUCCUGAGGCAUGGGAGCCUUGCCCUUAACAAAGUUAGACAAAUUUUUAGGAGGGGCAUUAAGUUUGACAUUGUCUCCCCUUUGGAAGCCAAUGUCAUCCUUGAUGCCAGGGCGUCUCCCAUUAUAGAGCAUACUUCUAGCAAAUUUAAACUUUUCAUUUUCCAAGUUAUGCUCGGCAAUUUUAGCAUCUAAUUUUGCUAUAUGAUCAUUUUGUUGUUUAAUUAAGACCAUAUGAUCAUGAAUAGCAUCAAUAUCAACAUCUCUACAUCUAGUGCAAAUAGAAACAUGCUCAACAGUAGAUGUAGAGGGUUUGCAAGAUUUUAAUUCUACAACCUUAGCAUGUAAUAUAUCAUUCUCACUUCUAAGGUUAGAAAUAGUAACAUUGCAAACAUCAAAAUUUUUAGCCUUAGCAAUUAAUUUUUCAUUUUCAAUCCUAUGGCUAGCAAGAGAAUCAUUCAAUUCCUUAAUCUUAGCAUGUAAAUCAACAUUAUCAUUUCUAAGACUGGGAAUUGAAACAUCACAAACAUGUGAAUCAACCUUAGCAAUUAAUCUAGCAUUUUCAUUUCUAAGGUUGUCAAUAGUCUCAUGGCAAGUGCUUAGCUCAGUAGACAAUUUUUCACAUUUUUCAACUUGUAGAGCAUAAGCAUUUUUAACUUUAACAUGCUAUUUAUUCUCCUUGAUUAGGAAGUCCUCUUGGGAGUCCAAGAGAUCAUCCUUCUCAUGGAUGGCACUAAUUAGCUCAUUUAGUUUUUCCUUUUGUUGCAUGUUGAGGUCGGCAAAAAAAGUACGCAAAUUAUCUUCCUCAUCACUAGCAUUAUCAUCACUAGAGGACUCAUACUUAGUGGAGGAUUUGGAUUUAACCUUCUUCCUUUUGUCGUCCUUUGCCAUGAGGCACUUGUGGCGGACGUUGGGGAAGAGAAGUCCCUUGGUGACGGCGAUGUUGGCGGCGUCCUCGUCGGAGGAGGAGUCGGUGGAGCUCUCGUCCGAGUCCCAUUCCCGGCAAACAUGGGCAUCGCCGCCCCUCUUCUUGUAGUGCCUCUUCUUCUCCUUUCUUCUUCCCUUCUUGUCGUCGCCCCUGUCACUAUCACUGGAUAGUGGACAUUUAGCAAUAAAAUGACCGGGCUUACCACAUUUGUAGCAUACUUUCUUGGAGCGGGGUUUGUAGUCUUUCCCCCUCCUUUGCUUGAGGAUUUGGCGGAAGCUCUUGAUGAUGAGCGCCAUCUCCUCGUUGUCGAGCUUGGAGGCGUCGAUGGGUGUUCGACUUGGAGUAGCCUCCUCCUUCUUUUCUUCCGUCGCCUUGAAAGCGACAGGUUGUGCCUCGGACGUGGAGGAGGUGCCUUGCUCGAUGAUUUUCUUUGAGCCCUUAAUCAUUAGCUCAAAGCUCACAAAUUUUCCUAUAACCUCCUCGGGAGACAUUAGCUUAUAUCUAGGAUCACCUCGAAUUUAUUGAACUUGUGUAGGGUUAAGAAAUACGAGGGAUCUAAGAAUAACCUUGACCAUCUCAUGGUCAUCCCAUUUUUCGCUCCCGAGGUUGCGCACUUGGUUCACCAAGGUCUUCAAGCGGUUGUACAUCGCUUGUGGAUCCUCCCCUUGGUGAAGCAUGAAGCGACCGAGCUCCCCCUCGAUCGUCUCCCGCUUGGUGAUUUUUGUCACCUCAUCUCCUUCGUGCGCGGUCUUUAGUACGUCCCAAAUUUCCUUCGCACUUUUUAACCCUUGCACCUUGUUAUACUCCUCUCGACUUAGAGAGGCGAGGAGUAUAGUGGUUGCUUGGGAGUUAAAGUGGUGGAUUUGGGCCACUUCGUCCGAGUCAUAGUCUUCAUCCCCUACGGAUAGUACCUGUACACCAAACUCAACAACAUUCCAAAUGCUUGUGUGGAGUGAGGUUAGAUGAUGUCUCAUUUUGUCACUCCACAUAUUAUAAUCUUCACCGUCAAAAACCGGUGGUUUGCCUAAUGGAACGGAGAGUAAAGGAGUACGUUUUGAAGUGUGGGGGUAGCGUAGGGGGAUCUUACUAUACUUCUUGCGCUCUUGGCGCUUAGAAGUAACGGACGGCGCAUCGGAGUCGGAGGUCGAUGGUGAUGAAGAGUCGGUCUCGUAGUAGACCACUUUCCUCAUCCUCUUGUGCUUGUCGCCUCUCCGAUGCGACUUGUGGGAAGAAGAUUUCUUCUCCUUCCCCUUCCCUUUGUUGGAGGAGUCCUUUUUCUUCUCCUUCCUCUUGGUACGGGACUCUUCCAAUGAACUGCUCCCGUGGCUCGUAGUGGGCUUGUCGCCGGUCUCCAUCUCCUUCUUGGUGUGAUCUCCUGUCACACCCGGUUUUAGAAGGCAAACCGAAUGCGAACUAUGUACGUGCCAGGAUCAGAACUCACGUACACAGCGAUUACAUAAAUGAACAUCAUCACACAAUGCUCGAAUAAUAACUUAAAAGAGUACUUAUUACAUCAUAGAGUCAUAGACAUCCACAUAGUCAUUGUCUUAACAGGUAAAUCAAAGUGCUAAACGAAACGCAGUAAAGAUAAAGCCUCCACAGGCAGCUGACUGGGGGUUGCCGCCAACCCACACCUAGAAUUCAUCGUAGUCUUGGAACUCCUGGAAGUCUCCUUCCACGGCUUCGCCUUCUCCCGAGCAGUGGUUACAAUGCGGACAACCUGGUGUUUUGUGGUAAAGCAAGGAUGAGUACACAUCAACGUACUCAGCAAAUGUCCCGUUUGGCUGAGGUGGACUAGCUUUAUGUGGGGUUAGGCUCCAGCAGUUGCUUUUAGUUGGUCAAGUAUUUAUCAUUAGUAGAAGCCAGAUUUUAGCAUUAACCAAUCCGUAAACCAUUUCCUCAUCGAGGAACAUCAUCAUCAUAGUCGAACCAAAACCAUGUCAUAAUCAUUAUAUCUCGAACCAUCUGUAUCCCUAAUCAAAGAGGAUCCCAAGGCUGCUCUUAACCGUGAGCACGGCUGAUAUACCAGUUUCACUACCCUCUGCAGAGGUUGCACACUUUACCCAUGAGUCAUGAUUCCCUUUCUACCCGGGGAGAGCUAAUCCCCAUUGACCACUACCUAGGUGGUCCGGCAGGGCAUCACUACGUAGCUUUUACAAAGAUUCCCUAGAGAUCAUAGCUGCCCGUUAGGUUUCUCCAGUUUGAUAAACACAGUACCCCUCCCCGCAGGAGAGUGACUAACAAAGAGCAAAACGAAAGAACCUCGGCACUCAGCCUCGGCAGAGCAAGCACUGUGCCUGGACCCCAUUGACGGCACGACGGCUAAGCAACUACACCUCUAGUUCAUCCAAUUAAUCAGCUAAGGGCAUCCCAUUUCACCCUCAUGGUUGCACUGUUAUCCCGGGUGGUCUCUCAACGAACCAGUCCUUACGGAGAGGUACUCAGGAAACAGCCUGAGCCCCCUAGAGUAUCACAAGAUCAUCAACAUCAACAGGAUAACAGUAUCAUAAAUAGCCACAUCAUGUUCAUUGAUUAUGUUAAAGCAAUAGCAAAGUGCUAACCAUAAUAGCCCAUAAGGUCAUCAAGGAUAAAGUAAAGUGCAAAGCUAGUCAAUCCUUAGGUUUCAAGUAAGUAAUGCGGGGUAGUAAGUUAUAAAUGAAUAGGACAUAAUGGGACAGAGGACACUUGCCUUCACCAAACUGUUGAUCAGGGACUUCCUCUGCAACUGCCUCGGGAAACACAGACUGCUCGUUGUCUACGCAAAGCAAUCAUUCACACUAUGCACUUGGGAAAAUAACAAACAAAAACAAUAUACCAAACAUAUGCAGCAGAGAGGGGUCACAAGUUCAUAACAGAAAAGGGAUAGGCACUCUAAAGUUCCCUAGGUCUGGGGGUAGAGGACUACACAAAGUGAUUCACUAUCCACUAAUCAGGUCUAAGUUAGUGGUGGGAUUAAAUAAUUAUCUGGUUUAAGUUCCUAAACUUAAGUGUUUAAGUCCAUAAACUUAAGUAAUCCAACUUUUAUUGAAGUCUACUCAUUUCCAAUUAUCUUAAAUAAGGUUUCAAUAGUCUUAAUCCUAUCCUAGUGAUUAGCUAUUAAUUAAUACAUGGAAACAGCAGGGAAACAUUGCAUAAACAGAUAGAUAAUAAUAUUAUGAACAUUUUGCAAUUUGAAGCACCUAAUUUGGAGUUCAUAUGACAAAGUUAUGAAUUUUACAAGUUUAGGGGUUAAAAUUAUACCCUAAGGACUUAUUUUUAAUCAAAUAAAAGGGCCAGGGACUUAACUGCGAGAAACCAGGGACGGCGGGCGCAAUUUCCAGAAAACAGGGGGGCUCUUUAAGAAAAUGCGCGGGCGAAGGGGUAUCGGGCGCCUACAGCCGUUGGAUCUCAGAUCGGCGGCUAGGAUUAGAUCCCGCGGCGGGCGCGCGGGCGCGCGGCGGCGUGAGCGGCUGACAGGCGGGGCCGGGCGGACAGCGCGCGCGGGCGGACUGACAAGUGGGGCCUGGCGGGCAGAGAGACGGGGUGAGGGGGUAGUGGGCCUGGGCCGCUGGAUCGCUGGCGGACGGCCAGGAUUAGGUCCGAGCGAGUUGAAUCAGGACCGCCCGAUCUGGGUUGAACGGCGGAGAUCGGAUGGGCAGCCUGGGUCUUCCCUACGGCUAGCUGGGGCGGCGGCGCUCGUCCCCGCGGCGGAGGGCUCGCCGGAGACGAGGGGCACGGGCGACUGGCGGGGCUCUGGGGCAAUCCGAGUGGUCGGGGAGGUCAGGGAGGGCACGGGGACUCCAUUGGUGGGGUCUGGGUCGGGGCAGAGGCACCGGAGGGGGGCGGUUCACGGCGGGGCGGCUCGGCGGCGGGGUUAUUCUACUCCGGCGAGCAAUCAAACGCAACAGAGAGCAAAACAAGGGGCGAUAGGGGCGGGAGAGGUCCCUUACCUCAAGGCGGGCUCCGGGGACUCCUCGGCGGCGACAGAGACGCGACGGGGACCCGGGUCGACGGUGGCGGCUGCACGGCGGACGACGGGUGAGUGCGGGCAGAGAGAAAUAGGGAGGGGGAGAGGGAAUUGGGGCGCGUUCCGGGUUGCGGACGUCGGGGCGGAGCUCACCGGGGCUAAGGGCGCGGCGGAGCUCCAACGGCGACGAGAAACCGAGCUCAGGACGGCGGGGCUAUGGCGGCGGCGCUCUGCGUGCGCGCAGCGAGGGGGAAAGAGGGUCUACUGGGCGCAAAUGGGGGGAGAGGGUGAGGGCGAGUGGGGCUCGGGGCACAAGUGGCCAAGGGCGAGGUGGGGCGAGUCCCACGCGCGACGUGGGCGCGGGGAAGGCGGGCGCGAGCAGCUCGGCGGCGGUUACGCGGGGACGACGGGGCUGACAAGCCGGGCCCGCAACGCAGAGAGAGAGAAGAAAGCGGGUGCGGGCGCGAGAGAAGCGGGGCUGACGGGUUGGGCCCACGGGCAGAGAGAGAGCGAGGGAGCGGGCGCGCGGGGGAAAGCGGCAGCGCCGACAGGUGGGGCCGGGCGAGCAGUGAGAGAGGGAGGCGGGUACGCGGAAGGCGACCGCGCCGACAGGCCGGGCCCGCUGCGCAGAGAGAGGAGGGAGAGAGGCGCGCGCGGGAAUGGGCCGGCUGGGCCGAAAGGCCGAGGGGGCGGGUAGGUUGGGCCUCUUUGCCUUUUUCUUUUAUUCUGAAUUGUUUUUCCCUUUUCUUUUUACCUAUUCUAUUUGAUUCAAAUUCAAAUGAGCCCCAAAAUCCAAAUUAGACUUUUUGAGAAUUAUGCACCAAACAAAAGUGAAAUCUAGGGUUCAACAUGAUGCAACAAUUCAUAUUCCCUUAGGGUUUGAGCUAAUAGACUAUAAUUACAAAUAAAAUAACCACUUUUCUCCUAUAGAAAUGAGAAAGAGAAGAUUGGGAAAGGAUGAAAAAAAAGGGAAGUAACACCUGAAUUUGUGAAUAUGAGCAAAGAAAUUUUAUACCCCCAAAUUCAGGGUGUUACAAACCUAUCCCCCUUAAAAGAAUCUCGCCCCCGAGAUUCAGGGUUGGUCAGCAAAGAGUUCAGGGUAUUUGGCCUUCAGGUCAUCUUCUCGUUCCCAGGUUGCUUCUUCUUCGGAGUGGUGACCCCAUCUGACUUUGCACAUUCUGAUGGUGUUCCUCCGGGUGACUCUGUCUGCAAACUCCAGAAUCUGCGUUGGCUUCUCUAUGUAUGUCAGAUCCUCCUGGACUUCCAAACCCUCCACUGGCAACUGUUCUUCUGGUACUCGCAGACACUUCUUCAAUUGCGAUACAUGGAACACAUUGUGCACUGCUGACAAACUCUCUGGUAGGUCGAGCUGGUAGGCCACUUCUCCACGCUUGGCUUGAAUCUGAUAUGGUCCGACGUACCGGGGUGCUAGCUUGCCUUUGACUCCGAACCUUCUGACUCCCCUGAUAGGUGACACCUUCAGAUAGACGUAGUCUCCCACUUCAAAACUCAGUUCUCUUCUCCUUCGGUCCGCAUAGCUUCGCUGCCUUGACUGGGCUGUCUUCAGGUUCUCCCGAACCAUUUUGAUAUUCUCUUCGGCUUCAAGCAAGAUGUCGGGACCAAACACCUGUCUCUCUCCAGGCUGGUCCCAGUGCAGCGGAGUCCUACAACUCCGUCCAUAGAGUGCCUGAAACGGUGACAUCUUCAAGCUGGCCUGGUAACUAUUGUUGUAGGAGAAUUCUGCAUAAGGUAACCUUUUGUCCCAUCCUGACUUGUCUUGCAACGCACAGGCUCUCAACAUAUCUUCUAAGAUCUGGUUAGUUCUUUCAGUCUGGCCGUCUGUCUGCGGGUGAUAAGCUGAGCUGAAGUUCAAAUGUGUGCCCAAAGCUUCUUGUAACUGCUGCCAAAAAUGAGAUGUGAACUGCGUUCCUCGAUCUGACACUAUCUUCUUCGGCACACCAUGAAGGCAGACUAUUCGUGACAUGUAUAACUCAGCUAACGUUGCUCCGGUGUAUGUCAUCUUCACAGGUAUGAAGUGGGCCACCUUUGUUAAGCGGUCCACAACCACCCAGAUGGAAUCGUAGCCGGCCCGGGUACGAGGUAGGCCAACUAUAAAAUCCAUCCCGAUUUCAUCCCACUUCCACUGAGGAAUCCGCAAUGGCUGCAACAAUCCGGCAGGCCUCUGAUGCUCUGCUUUGGUUCUCUGACAGCUAUCACAGAUGGCGACAUAUUCUGCGAUCUCCCUUUUCAUACCAUACCACCAAAACCUCCUUUUUAAAUCCUGGUACAUCUUCUCACUCCCUGGGUGUAUGGAGUAGGCUGUCUCAUGAGCUUCCUUGAGGAUCAAUUCCCGAAUAGGUUUGAGGUCGGGAACACACAAUCGGUCCUUGAACCAGAUUACUCCUUCUUCAUCCUCUCGAAAGUCUUUGCCUCUUCCUUCUAGGAUCAGCUGCCGGAUCUUGUUGAUGUUUUCAUCAUCCUUCUGCCCUUCUUUGAUCUCCCGCUCUAGGGUGGGCUCUAAUUCCACUGUCACUCCUUGCGUACUAUUCAGGAAACCGAGGCUCAGUCUGUCAAACUCCUUGGCUAACUCAUACGGCAUUGGGUGCGAGGCCAACAUAUUGACUUGACUUUUCCUGCUCAGAGCAUCUGCAACAACAUUGGCUUUGCCCGGAUGGUAAUGUAUCUCCAACUCAUAGUCUUUGAUCAAUUCCAACCAUCUUCGCUGCCUCAUGUUUAACUCUGACUGGGUGAAUAUGUACUUCAGACUUUUAUGAUCUGUGUAGAUGUCGCACUUCUGCCCAUACAGGUAGUGUCUCCAGGUCUUUAAAGCAUGAACCACUGCUGCCAAUUCCAGGUCAUGUGUGGGGUAAUUCUUCUCAUGGGUCUUCAGCUGUCGAGAUGAGUAUGCUACAACUCUCCCUUCUUGCAUCAGUACACAUCCCAAUCCGGUGUACGAAGCGUCGCAAUACACUGAGAAUGACUUGUGAACAUCAGGCAGGACUAACACAGGAGCUGUAGUCAAUCUAUUCUUCAGUUCUUCAAAUGCUUCCUGACACUUUUGGGUCCACUUAAACUCAACUUUCUUCGCUAGCAACGCUGUCAUUGGUCUAGCAAUCUUCGAGAAACCUUCAAUGAAACGCCUAUAAUAUCCGGCCAUUCCAAUAAAGCUCUUGAUCCCACGAACGUCCUUCGGUGCUUUCCAGUUCAGGAUAUCUGCUACUUUCUUUGGAUCCACUGCUAACCCAUCUUGGUUUAUGAUGUGACCCAGAAAUAAGACUUCAUGAAUCCAGAACUCGCAUUUGCCCAGCUUGGCAUACAACUGAUGCUCUCGAAGUCUUUGCAAUACCAUUUUCAAAUGCUCUACAUGAUCUUCUUCACUUUGAGAGUAUAUGAGAAUGUCAUCGAUGAACACUACCACAAACUUGUCUAGAUAAUCCAUGAACACACUGUUCAUCAGGUACAUAAAGAAGGCUGGAGCAUUUGUCAAACCAAAGGACAUAACUGUGAACUCAUAUAACCCGUACUUGGUGAUGAAUGCUGUCUUCGGUAUAUCCGAGGGUCGGAUUCUGAGUUGAUGGUAACCUGAUCUCAGAUCUAUCUUCGAGAAUACGCUGGCACCUCUGAGCUGGUCGAACAAAUCUUCUAUCCUUGGCAGGGGGUACUUGUUCUUGACAGUGACUUCAUUCAAGGCUCUGUAAUCUAUGCACAUCCUUUUGGUACCAUCUUUCUUCUCUACAAACAACACUGGAGCGGCCCAAGGCGAGGUACUUGGCCUGAUGUAACCCUUCUCUAGCAUCUCAUCUAUCUGCUUCUUGAGUUCCACCAAUUCUGGUCCAGACACUCGAUAGGCUCUUUUGGAAAUGGGGGCGGUACCAGGGAUAAGCUCUAUGGCAAAUUCAACCUUUCUCUCGGGUGGCAUGCCCGUUAGCUCCUCGGGAAACACAUCCGGAAAGUCCGACACGACCUUGAUAGCCUCGAGUGGGUUGGGCUCCUUACUAUCAACUGAAAUCUGGUGACAGACUCCUUCUUCUGACUUAGGCAUCCUUAGCUCGGCCACUACCUCUUCUCCUGACGAGGAUUUCAAUGUUAUGGUCCUCUUGUCACAACUAACAUUUGCUUCAUACUUCAUCAACCAGUUCAUCCCUAGUAUGACAUCUAUCCCAGGGGUGCCUAUUACUAUUAAGUCACUGGGGAAACCUAUCCCCCUUAUUUCCACCAUUAUAUUUGAGCAUAUUUUAUCUGUUUGCACCUUGCCACCAACCGAAUUAAUCCUCAUGGGCGGCAUCAUUGCCUCUACUGAGAUGUUAUGCAAUUCUACCCAUGUUGCAGUGACAAAAGAAUGAGUUGCACCAGUAUCAAAUAGCACUUUUGCGGGAUGAGAUUCGACUGAGAACAUACCUACUGCCACAUCUGGUGCAUCCUGGAUCGCUUCGGCCUCCAAGUGGUUCACCUUUCCGCGGUUGUAUGCUUGGUUACGAUUGCCUGCUGCCGGCUGCAGUACACCUUGCCUUGCUGGAGCAUUGGGGUUGGUCUGCUGCUGCGCCAUCUUCUUUGGGCACUGCAUCGCCCAGUGGCCUUGUUCUCCACAGUGGAAACAUCCUCUGCCUCCUCCUUGUGCUGGGGCUGCUUGGUUGCUCUGAUUUGCUGCUGGGGCAGGAAGGCGAGGUGCCUGGUUGUUCUGCUUCUGAUACUGAUUACCUCCCUGCUGGCUGUGCUGACGAUACUGCUGCUGCUGCUGCGGGUACUGCCUCUGAAACUGCUACUGGUGCGGACGCUGAUUCUGAUUCUGAUAUCCCUGUGGGUGACCAGGUCUGCCUUGCUGAGAUGAACUGCCUGAGAAACGUGGACGGCUGACGCCUCCGGACUGGGGUCCACUCAUCUUGCGCUUCCGAUCUUCCAUAUCUUUACGCUUCUUCUCAGUCAUGACUGCCCUAUCGACCAGGUGCUGGAAGGUGGGGAAGGUAUGAUUCAUCAGUUGGUAAUGCAGGGGAUCCACCAAACCUCUCAUGAACCUGUACUGCCUCUUGGCAUCAGUGUUGACAUCCUCAGGUGCAUAACGAGACAGCUGCAGAAACUUGUCUCUGUACUCACUAACAGACAGGGGUCCCUGCUUCAGAGCCAGAAACUCCUCCUUCUUCACGAUCAUCAGUCCCUCUGGCACAUGGUACCGACGGAAACUCUCGCUGAAUUCCUCCCAGGUGAUGGCUUCGGGGUCAGCAUGGGUGGCGAGGUAGGACUCCCACCAGGACUGGGCUGCUCCCCUCAGCUGGCGGGGACCAUACAGAACCUUCUCCCUGUCGUCGCAUUGGGCGGUGCGCAGUUCCCUCUCCACUGCGCGCAGCCAGUCUUCUGCAUCCAUGGGGUCGGCAGAAUGGGCGAAGGUAGGAGGGUGCCCUCUCAUGAAUUCACCACGCUUAUCUCGUGGCAUCUGGGGCAUUUGCACUUGCAACUGGGGUUGGGGCUGCUGUUGAGCCUGCUGCAUGGCUGCCAGAGUCUGCCCAAUGGCCUGCACUGCCUGGGUCUGCAUCAAGAACAUCUGCUCCACUGACAUCGGGGGUGGCGGGGGAGGCUGCCUCUGAUUUUCCUCCUGCUGGUCAUGCUGCUCUAGCUGAGCACGCCUGUUGCAUCGGCGCCUGUUGUCAGACAUCUGUGGAAGACAUUCAUACAUCAGCAUUGAUCCUACAACCCUUCAGCAUAAGAAAAGAGAAUACAGAAUUCUUCAUGACACUGAGUGAACAAAGAGCUUCACUGAUCCUCAUUCAUGAUUCAACACAGCUUCUCAGAUAAGAAAGGAAAGUAAGAGUAAAUGGCUUCCCAACUAAACAACUGACUUCAUUAAUAUUACUAGCUAAGCCAAACUGCAGGGGAAACCCACAUGUUGGCUACAGUCAUUACAAAGAUUCAAAUCCAGUACAAGUUCAUCAUAACAAGCAUGAAAGCGACUGAUAAGCAAACUAAACUAAAUGGAAGCAACUGAUAAGCAAACUAAACUGACUACCUAAGACUGAGACAUCUGACUUAAGAAUUAUUACAAACUCCGACGCUAACGAUCUAAGGAUCCAGAUCUAUCCUGGUCUUACAGACAGGAGAACCAUAAGUGUGGUGACCACGUGGCGGUGAGCGGUAUGGGUGCUGAGUCCCAACAGGUGCGGGAGAACCACCCUCCUGGUGAUGGCGCUCUGCCAGCUCAGCACGCAACUCCGCAAUCUCCGUUCGAGCCCUGCUUAGCUCGUCCAGAGAGUGAUCCAGCUCCGUGUUAAGCACUGCGACUAGGUUGACUGUGCUGCUCAACCUAGGGUAAGCCUCACCAACAGGUGAAACAACCACACUCUCUGUGCUGCCAGUAGGGCGGCGGGGGUAGUACCGAAGGUUAAGACCGUCGGCCACGCCACCGAACAAAGAACAGUACUGAGAGAGUGCACGUCGUGCUGCAUCCUGCAUAGCCGCCUCUGCAGUGUCCCUCUCGGAGAUGGAAUAGUGCUCCGAAACGGCCUCCGCACCCCGGAGGUCAUCCUUCAGACGGCGAACUAGGCAGGUAGCCUCCCAGCGGUCCGGGUACCUCCCGCGACUGUGCUGGUAGACCACACAACGAUACUCGAUCGACCAGGUGUGCCGGUCGAAAGCCUGGCGCAGCAAGGUGUCGAGUGCGUCGUGGAAGUGACAACCGCGAGCGGCGUCACGGGUGAUGGGUCGGGCGACCCAUCCUUCCGCCUCCUGCGGCUCAGAGGACUCCGUGCUGUGGUCUGAGUCGUCGUCGUCGGGGUCUCCUCCAACAGCUCCUCCAACAGCCGGGACGUCCCGCGGUGGAACAAGGGGCGCCUCCAGCUGGGCAACAGAGAAACGGGGCCUCACGGUCUCCACCUCCUGCUGGGGUGAGGAGGAAGAGCCCUGCUGCUCUCCGUGCUGGCGCCGGCGUUCCUGCUCCUCACGCAGGCGGUGGUGCAGCCUCUCCAGGUGACUCGACUGUCCGGACACUGUGCGGUGCAGAGGACGCUCCGCCAGUCGAGACGGCAGGAAAGGAAUCACCGACUUACGUGCAGUGUGUCUAAGACGAGCCAUCUACAAAAGACACCGUAAGCAUAAGAGUAAGAGCAGAACUAAUAUGACAAGUGAAUAAACCAAAGAUAGAAUAAGAUAAAAAAUUUUAACAAGGUAUAGUAUAGAUAGAUAGUAAAACAUAGGGUUGGUCGAGGUGACCGACUUUUGAAGUAACAACAGAGGUCAAGGUGAGAGGGAAGGUCAAUAGUCCUUAGUACGACCAGUGCUACUCUAGGUCAGCGGUCCUACAGUCAGCACGGCUUUGAUACCACUUAUGUCACACCCGGUUUUAGAAGGCAAACCGAAUGCGAACUAUGUACGUGCCAGGAUCAGAACUCACGUACACAGCGAUUACAUAAAUGAACAUCAUCACACAAUGCUCGAAUAAUAACUUAAAAGAGUACUUAUUACAUCAUAGAGUCAUAGACAUCCACAUAGUCAUUGUCUUAACAGGUAAAUCAAAGUGCUAAACGAAACGCAGUAAAGAUAAAGCCUCCACAGGCAGCUGACUGGGGGUUGCCGCCAACCCACACCUAGAAUUCAUCGUAGUCUUGGAACUCCUGGAAGUCUCCUUCCACGGCUUCGCCUUCUCCCGAGCAGUGGUUACAAUGCGGACAACCUGGUGUUUUGUGGUAAAGCAAGGAUGAGUACACAUCAACGUACUCAGCAAAUGUCCCGUUUGGCUGAGGUGGACUAGCUUUAUGUGGGGUUAGGCUCCAGCAGUUGCUUUUAGUUGGUCAAGUAUUUAUCAUUAGUAGAAGCCAGAUUUUAGCAUUAACCAAUCCGUAAACCAUUUCCUCAUCGAGGAACAUCAUCAUCAUAGUCGAACCAAAACCAUGUCAUAAUCAUUAUAUCUCGAACCAUCUGUAUCCCUAAUCAAAGAGGAUCCCAAGGCUGCUCUUAACCGUGAGCACGGCUGAUAUACCAGUUUCACUACCCUCUGCAGAGGUUGCACACUUUACCCAUGAGUCAUGAUUCCCUUUCUACCCGGGGAGAGCUAAUCCCCAUUGACCACUACCUAGGUGGUCCGGCAGGGCAUCACUACGUAGCUUUUACAAAGAUUCCCUAGAGAUCAUAGCUGCCCGUUAGGUUUCUCCAGUUUGAUAAACACAGUACCCCUCCCCGCAGGAGAGUGACUAACAAAGAGCAAAACGAAAGAACCUCGGCACUCAGCCUCGGCAGAGCAAGCACUGUGCCUGGACCCCAUUGACGGCACGACGGCUAAGCAACUACACCUCUAGUUCAUCCAAUUAAUCAGCUAAGGGCAUCCCAUUUCACCCUCAUGGUUGCACUGUUAUCCCGGGUGGUCUCUCAAUGAACCAGUCCUUACGGAGAGGUACUCAGGAAACAGCCUGAGCCCCCUAGAGUAUCACAAGAUCAUCAACAUCAACAGGAUAACAGUAUCAUAAAUAGCCACAUCAUGUUCAUUGAUUAUGUUAAAGCAAUAGCAAAGUGUUAACCAUAAUAGCCCAUAAGGUCAUCAAGGAUAAAGUAAAGUGCAAAGCUAGUCAAUCCUUAGGUUUCAAGUAAGUAAUGCGGGGUAGUAAGUUAUAAAUGAAUAGGACAUAAUGGGACAGAGGACACUUGCCUUCACCAAACUGCUGAUCAGGGACUUCCUCUGCAACUGCCUCGGGAAACACAGACUGCUCAUUGUCUACGCAAAGCAAUCAUUCACACUAUGCACUUGGGAAAAUAACAAACAAAAACAAUAUACCAAACAUAUGCAGCAGAGAGGGGUCACAAGUUCAUAACAGAAAAGGGAUAGGCACUCUAAAGUUCCCUAGGUCUGGGGGUAGAGGACUACACAAAGUGAUUCACUAUCCACUAAUCAGGUCUAAGUUAGUGGUGGGAUUAAAUAAUUAUCUGGUUUAAGUUCCUAAACUUAAGUGUUUAAGUCCAUAAACUUAAGUAAUCCAACUUUUAUUGAAGUCUACUCAUUUCCAAUUAUCUUAAAUAAGGUUUCAAUAGUCUUAAUCCUAUCCUAGUGAUUAGCUAUUAAUUAAUACAUGGAAACAGCAGGGAAACAUUGCAUAAACAUAUAGAUAAUAAUAUUAUGAACAUUUUGCAAUUUGAAGCACCUAAUUUGGAGUUCAUAUGACAAAGUUAUGAAUUUUACAAGUUUAGGGGUUAAAAUUAUAACCUAAGGACUUAUUUUUAAUCAAAUAAAAGGGCCAGGGACUUAACUGCGAGAAACCAGGGACGGCGGGCGCAAUUUCCAGAAAACAGGGGGGCUCUUUAAGAAAAUGCGCGGGCGAAGGGGUAUCGGGCGCCUACAGCCGUUGGAUCUCAGAUCGGCGGCUAGGAUUAGAUCCCGCGGCGGGCGCGCGGGCGCGCGGCGGCGUGAGCGGCUGACAGGCGGGGCCGGGCGGACAGCGCGCGCGGGCGGACUGACAAGUGGGGCCUGGCGGGCAGAGAGACGGGGUGAGGGGUAGUGGGCCUGGGCCGCUGGAUCGCUGGCGGACGGCCAGGAUUAGGUCCGGGCGAGUUGAAUCAGGACCGCCCGAUCUGGGUUGAACGGCGGAGAUCGGAUGGGCGGCCUGGGUCUUCCCUACGGCUAGCUGGGGCGGCGGCGCUCGUCCCCGCGGCGGAGGGCUCGCCGGAGACGAGGGGCACGGGCGACUGGCGGGGCUCUGGGGCAAUCCGAGUGGUCGGGGAGGUCAGGGAGGGCACGGGGACUCCAUUGGUGGGGUCUGGGUCGGGGCAGAGGCACCGGAGGGGGGCGGUUCACGGCGGGGCGGCUCGGCGGCGGGGUUAUUCUACUCCGGCGAGCAAUCAAACGCAACAGAGAGCAAAACAAGGGGCGAUAGGGGCGGGAGAGGUCCCUUACCUCAAGGCGGGCUCCGGGGACUCCUCGGCGGCGACAGAGACGCGACGGGGACCCGGGUCGACGGUGGCGGCUGCACGGCGGACGACGGGUGAGUGCGGGCAGAGAGAAAUAGGGAGGGGGAGAGGGAAUUGGGGCGCGUUCCGGGUUGCGGACGUCGGGGCGGAGCUCACCGGGGCUAAGGGCGCGGCGGAGCUCCAACGGCGACGAGAAACCGAGCUCGGGACGGCGGGGCUAUGGCGGCGGCGCUCUGCGUGCGCGCAGCGAGGGGGAAAGAGGGUCUACUGGGCGCAAAUGGGGGGAGAGGGUGAGGGCGAGUGGGGCUCGGGGCACAAGUGGCCGAGGGCGAGGUGGGGCGAGUCCCACGCGCGACGUGGGCGCGGGGAAGGCGGGCGCGAGCAGCUCGGCGGCGGUUACGCGGGGACGACGGGGCUGACAAGCCGGGCCCGCAACGCAGAGAGAGAGAAGAAAGCGGGUGCGGGCGCGAGAGAAGCGGGGCUGACGGGUUGGGCCCACGGGCAGAGAGAGAGCGAGGGAGCGGGCGCGCGGGGGAAAGCGGCAGCGCCGACAGGUGGGGCCGGGCGAGCAGUGAGAGAGGGAGGCGGGUACGCGGAAGGCGACCGCGCCGACAGGCCGGGCCCGCUGCGCAGAGAGAGGAGGGGAGAGAGGCGCGCGCGCGCGGGAAUGGGCCGGCUGGGCCGAAAGGCCGAGGGGGCGGCUGGGUUGGGCCUCUUUGCCUUUUUCUUUUAUUCUGAAUUGUUUUUCCCUUUUCUUUUUACCUAUUCUAUUUGAUUCAAAUUCAAAUGAGCCCCAAAAUCCAAAUUAGACUUUUUGAGAAUUAUGCACCAAACAAAAGUGAAAUCUAGGGUUCAACAUGAUGCAACAAUUCAUAUUCCCUUAGGGUUUGAGCUAAUAGACUAUAAUUACAAAUAAAAUAACCACUUUUCUCCUAUAGAAAUGAGAAAGAGAAGAUUGGGAAAGGAUGAAAAAAAGGGAAGUAACACCUGAAUUUGUGAAUAUGAGCAAAGAAAUUUUAUACCCCCAAAUUCAGGGUGUUACAUCUCCCGACAUCACUUCGAGCGGUUAAGCUCUAAUGAAGCACCGGGCUUUGAUACCAAUUGAAAGUCGCCUAGAGGGGGGGUGAAUAGGGCGAAACUGAAAUUUACAAAAUUAAUCACAACUACAAGCCGGGUUAGCGUUAGAAAUAAUAAUGAGUCCGAGAGAGAGAGCGCAAAACAAAUCGCAAGCGAAUAAGGAGUGUGACACGCGGAUUUGUUUUAUCGAGGUUCGGUUCUCGCAAACCUACUCCCCGUUGAGGAGGCCACAAAGGCCGGGUCUCUUUCAACCCUUACCCUCUCUCAAACGGUCCCGCGGACCGAGUGAGCUUCUCUUCUCAAAUCAAACCGGGAACAAAGCUUCCCCGCAAGGACCACCACACAAUUGGUGUCUCUUGCCUUGAUUACAAGUGAGCUUUGAUCACAAGAACAAGUGAGAAAGAAAGAAGCAAUCGAAGCGCAAGAGCUCAAAAGAACACGACAAAUCUCUCUCGCUAAUCACUAAAGCCUUGUGUGGAAUUGGAGAGGAUUUGAUCACUUGAGUGUGUCUAGAAUUGAAUGCCUAGCUCUUGUAAGUGGUUGAGAAGUGGAAAACUUGGAUGUCUUGAAUGUGGGGUGGUUGGGGGUAUUUAUAGCCCCAACCACCAAACUAGCUGUUUGGGUGGAGGCUGUCUGUCGUAUGGUGCAUCGGACAGUCCGGUGCACACCGGACAUGUCCGAUGCGCCAGCCACGUCACCCGAACGUUAGGGUCCCGACCGUUGGAGCUCUGACGCUGGGCCCGCCUGGAUGUCCUGUGGCGCACCGGACAUGCACUAUAGAGUGUCCGGUGCGCCUGUUCGCGCGUGUCUGACUUCUGCGCGCUCUGGCGCGCAUUAAAUGCGAUGGCAGGUGACCGUUGGCGCCGAAGUAGCCGUUGCUCCAUAGUUACACCGGACAUGUCCGGUGAAUUAUAGCGGAGAGCCGUUGCGAAUUCCCGAAGCUGGUGAGUUUAGAGUCGCUUCAUCCCUGGAGCACCGGACACUGUCCGGUGUACACCGGACAGUCCGGUGAAUUAUAGCGGAGCGACUCUGCGUUUUCCCAAAGGCGAGGAGUUCAGCGCGUGGAGAAUCCUGGUGCACCGGACAUGUCCGGUGGCACACCGGACAGUCCGGUGCGCCAGACCAGGGCAGCCUUCGGUUGUCCCUUUGCUCCUUUGUUUGAACCCUUUUCUUUUGAUCUUUUCAUUGGCUUAUUGUGAACCUUUGGCACCUGUAGAACUUAUAGACUAGGGCAAACUAGUUAGUCCAAUUAUUUGUGUUGGGCAAUUCAACCACCAAAAUUAAUUUAGGAAAAUAGGUGUAAGCCUAAUUCCCUUUCACUAAUAGAUCAGCAUAUUCAUUUUCUCCACGAGGAAUGUUUUUAACAGAGAAUCCUUCAAAGGAAGCCUCACUCCUUCGGACUGUAUCUAAAUAUUUUUCAAGCUUCGGAUCUCUUGCCUUAUAGCUCUUGUCAAUAUGACCAGAAAUAACUUGGGAAUCAAUUUUAAGAAUGGCCCUUCUGAUUCCCAUUGCCUUUAACUUCCGAAGACCCAAAAGCAGAGCUUCGUAUUCAGCAAUAUUGUUUGUGCAACUGAAAUCAAGUCUUGCCGCAUAACAAGUUUUAACUUUAGAAGGUGAAACCAACACAGCAGCUGCUCCUGCUCCGAAGGUUCCCCAAGACCCAUCGCAAAACAUUGUCCAUGCUUCGGCAUCUUUAUUCGUUUCUUCCUCCUGAGCCCCUGGCGUCCAGUCAGCAAUGAAGUCUGCCAACACUUGGGACUGAAUCGAAGAUCUAUGCACAUAAUCAAUACAAAAUUCAUUGAGCUCUGCAUCCCAUUUUCCAAUCCUUCCAGUAGCUUCUCGGUUUCUCAUAAUAUCCUUCAACGGUUGUGAAGAAGGAACAAUUAUAUUAUAAGCUUGAAAAUAAUGCCGAAGCUUCCUGGAGGCCAUCAAAACAGCAUACAGUACCUUCUCCAAUUCUGUAUAAUUUUUCUUUGAUAAACUAAGAACUUCGGAUACAAAGUAUAUUGGGGCCUGCUUUUUGACUUGGCCUUCAAGCUUCUCCUGAACAAGUGCUGCACUUACCGCUGAGUGUGAAGCUGCCACAUAUAAUAACAGAGGAGCCCCUGGCGUUGGUGGAGUUAGUGUUGUUAGAUCUAUCAAAUAUUGCUUCAGCUCUUCGAAGGCUUUCUGCUGGACUGGUCCCCAUUGAAAAACUUCGGCUGACUUCAGCACUUCGAAAAAUGGUAAAUUUUUCUCUACUGAUCUAGAUAUGAACCUGUUGAGAGAUGCCAGUCUUCCUGUCAAUCUUUGAGCCCCUUCUUUGUACUUGGUGGUUCCAUUCGAAGGAUAGCUUCAAUUUUGUUUGGAUUAGCCUCAAUUCCUUUUGUUGAAACUAGACAACCAAGAAAUUUCCCCUUCUUUACUCCGAAGACACAUUUUUCUGGAUUCAGCUUUAAACCAGCCUGUCUAAAAUUAGCGAAGGUCUCUUGCAGAUCAGCAAUGUGAUUAUCUUGCUUCGUUCUUUUCACAAUGAUACCAUCAACAUAAGUCAGCACAUUCCUGCCUAUCUGAGAAUGGAGAACCUUCGCUGUCAUUCUGCUGAAGCUUCCUCCAGCAUUUUUAAGCCCUUCAGGCAUCCGAAGGUAACAAUAUGUUCCACUAGGGGUUAUGAAGCUGGUCUUCGGCUCAUCCUCCUUCUUCAUCCAGAUUUGAUGAUAGCCUGAAUAACAAUCCAACAGACUCAUGAGCUCUGAUGAAGCUGCUGCAUCAACUAAGGAAUCUAUCCUCGGCAAAGGAAACUCGUCCUUCGGGCAGGCCUUAUUGAGAUCAGUAAAGUCGAUACACAUCCUCCAUUUACCAUUGGCCUUCUUUACCAUAACAGUGUUAGCCAGCCAUUCUGGGUACUUUACCUCUCUGAUAACUCCGGCACUGAGGAGUCUUUUCACUUCAUUCCGAGCACCUUCAGCCUUGUCAUCAGACAUCUUCCGAAGCCUCUGCUUCCUGGGUCUGAAUGAUGGAUCAACAUUAAGCGAGUGUUCAAUAACAUCCCUGUUAACUCCACAAAGAUCAUUAGCUGACCAAGCAAAGACAUCUUUGUUGUUGAACAAAAACCUUAUCAAGGCUUUCUCCUGUUCUUCGGAUAAUUGAGAUCCCAAUAGUACCUUCUGCUCUGCUAUAUCCUCACAUAAGAGCAUGGGCUUCGGCUGAUCAGCCGAAGCAGCUUUUCCCUUCUGAACUUGUACUGCUUACAAGCUUCAGCUCCAUCUAUGUUAUGGAUUGCUUUUGAAUCUGUCCAAUUUCCUUCAGCCCUUCUGGCAGCUUCCUGACUUCCAUGAAUAGCAAUGGGCCCUUGGUCCGAAGGUAUCUUCAUGCAAAGGUAAGCUGGAUAAAGAAUUGCUUCGAAGGCGUUGAGAGUACCACGACCAAUGAUAGCAUUGUAAGGAUACUCCAUGUCAACAAUGUCAAACACAAUUUGCUCAGUCCUUGUGUUGUUGACAAAUCCGAAGGUUACUGGCAUGGUGAUCUUCCCAAGUGCUACAAUUUGCCGCCCUCCGAAGCCACAAAGAGGGUGCGUAGCAUCAUGGAUCUUGUCUUCGGGCUCUUGCAUUUGUCUAAAAGCCUUAGCAAAUAUAAUAUCUGUUGCACUGCCUAUAUCAACCAAAACAUUAUGUGAAAGCAUCUAGGCCCCUGGUUGGUUUUAGUGAUUAAUGACAACGUAAUAUUAUAUGUGACUAACGUGUGUUUUGCAGAGACAAAUGGUAAGUUAGGUCGCAUGACAGGUAAAAGCACUACAAUGUGAAAGCAAUCUCGGAGAUAAAAACUCGAAGCGACGGCUAGAACAACGGAACAAAAGGUGAAGGUCUACGGAGUCCGAGUGUCAAGGAGAUGUGGACACUCGCGAUCUAGUUAGGUCUUUUAUUCUCUUUUAGCCGUACUAUAAAGAGGGGUUGUCGAUGAGUAGUUUGACCAAGAGAGUUCUAGUGUAGUGUUGGUGCACAAUCACACUCAUAUACAGUGCUAGGUGUCACUCUAGAACUCACACACAAGUUAGAGCGAAAACCGAUUUUAAAAUCAGUUGAAAAACAAGACUUAGAGUUUCUGGCUUUGGGGCACCGGACUGUCCGGUGUGCACCGGACUGUCCGGUGCACCCUCUGCCAGGUGGGCCAGGCUGGUCCAUGGCAGGGACUCUCCCAGUCGCAGAAACCCGAGAGCGCAGCCUUCGGAAAUGAAUUUUAGUGGCACACCGGACACCGCACCGGACUGUCCGGUGUGCACCGGACAGUGAACUGUUCACUGUCCGGUGCGCCAUGAGUCCAACGGCUAGCUGUCAGAACUAGCCGUUGGAAGUGACCGUUGGCGCACCGGUGGCGCACCGUUGGCGCACCGGUGGCGCACCGGACUGUCCGGUGCGCCAUCGCGCAGCAAGUUUCCUGUAACGGCUAGUUGGUGGGUGAGGGCUAUUUAUACCCCUUCCACCCACCAUAUUCAAUGUCUUGCACUCCACAUUUAUUCCAGCACUUUGGUAGAGCAUUGCAAGCACCAAAAGCCUAGUGAGGAGAUUAGAGAAUCAUAAUCCGCGCUUGUUCCUCAUUAGCGCUAGUGAGAGCCACCUAGAGCACACACCACUUGCAUUAGGCUUCUCUUGGUCAAGCGAAAGUCUAUGGCUUGUUACUCUUGGUGAUCGGCAUCACCUAGACGGCUUGGUGGCGUUGGGAGCUCGGUGAUCACCGUGAAGAUCUUGUUGGUGACCCGGCUCAAGUUUGUAAGCGGUCUCGAGGGAUCCACCGCGCCGGAGUGGCAAAGGAUCAUCUCGUAGUGAGCACUUGGUUCUUGCGAGGAUCAAGGGGGAGCGAUACCCUUGCGCGGGUGCUCCAACGAGGACUAGUGGAGAGUGCUGACUCUUCGAUACCUCGGGAAAAAUUGGAGGAGUCUUCUAAACUUUGCUUUACAUUCCGCACUCAAUUUAAGCACUUUACAUUGUGUAUUUGUUUAGCAAGUAUUUGAAGUAUUAUCUUAGCUUUGUUACAUUUCUAGUAUUAUAUUCUUAGUGCUAGUUGUUGGGGUGAAGUUGGGCUCUUGUUUAGCUCUUGCUUAGGUUUUAAUUAGUGUUGAUUUUUAGAAAAGCCCAAUUCACCCCCCCUCUUGGGCAUCGUGAUCCUUUCAAUUGGUAUCAGAGCCUUGUUGCUCAUAGAUUAGCUUAACCGCUAGAGUUACGAUGUCCGGUGGGGAUGGACCUCCUCCCGUUUUUGAUGGUGACGAUUUUCCUUAUUGGAAAAUUCGUAUGGAAGCAUACUUAGAGGCUAUAGACAUCGGUGUCUAUAAAGCCGCCACACAAGGGUUCCCCGAACCUAGAGAUGCCACAAAUCUUGUAGGUGAUGAGUUCAAUUAUGAGAAAUGGAAUGCGAAGGCCAAAAACACCCUUUUUUAGAGGCCUUUGCAAAGAUGUGUUCAAUAGAGUUCGGAAUCAUAAAAAUGCUCAUGAUUUGUGGAUGGACAUUUGUGCUCUACACGAAGGAACUAGAAGUGAACGUGAGGAAAGAUAUCACAUAGCUAUGCGAAAGUUAAAUUCUUUUGAAAUGCUUGUCAAUGAAAAUGCAAACGCUAUGUACUCACGACUUAAUAUUCUUGUAGAGGAAGUCAAUGGAUUGGGGCUUACUCAAAUCUCACAACCGGAUGUUGUGAGGAAGAUUCUCAGUGUCCUCCCAAUAGACAAAUAUGGACACAUUGUCACUGUGCUACAUCAAAUGGAUCUUUCGGUUACCACACCUACACAAAUUUUGGGAAAGAUCAAUGCCCAUGAAAUGUACAUGCACAUCAACGACAAAGAAGAAUCAUCUUCCAAAAGAAAGGAUUUGGCUCUCAAAGCAAAUCAUGAAAGAAAAGGAAAAGCAAAAAUACAAGUUGAGGAAGAAUCCUCAAGUGAUGAUGACCUUGAUGCAAACAUUGCCUUGAUGGUAAGGAAGACCACCAAGAUGUUGAAGAAGCUAAAUAGAGAAGGCAUCAAAUUUGAUUCAAGGAAGAAGAAGUUCUUUUCCAACAAAAGAAAGCCCAUUUCUGAGAUGGACUGCUACAACUGUGGUGAGCUUGGUCAUCUUGCUCAUCAAUGCAACAAGCCCAAGAAGAACAAGUUCAAGGGCAAGAAAGAAGAUGACAGCGAUGAUGAAAAGAAGGAAAAGAAAUUCUUCAAGAGAAAGGAUGGGAAGCAAAAGAGGUUCCACAAGAAGAAGAAUGGAAAGGCAUAUAUUGUUGGCGACUGGCUCACCGACAUCGAAUCAUCAAGUGGGUCUUCUUCAAGUGAAGAAGAAAAUGAUGAAAAGGUUGCUGCCAUCGCCGGGGACUUCUCUUCACCACCACCAUCGCCAUCAUCCACUUCUCACCUGUGCCUCAUGGCUAGGGGUGAACGAAAGGUACAAAAUGAUAUUAAUAUUGAUGAUGAUAGUGAUAGUGAUAGUGAUGAAGAAUUUGCUUCACCUUCAUAUGAUGAGUUAGCUGACUUGCUUAAAGAAUAUACUCAAAUCAUUAGAAAGUCAAAAGCUAAAUGUGAUAGGUUGAAAAAUGAAAAUGAAUCUUUAAAUGCCAAGUAUGACAUAGUUAUAAAGGCUAGUGAUGAAAUAAAGGAAGAAAAUAAAACUAUGUCAUCAACUGUAAAUGAGCUCACAAACUCCCUAAAAGAUGCUAAGGAAAAAUAUGACAAAUUAAAUGAAGCUAAUAGGGAGUUGAAAAAUAGACUAGUAAAGAUCAAGGAAGACUAUACUCAAAUUAAAUUUGAUCAUGACAAUCUUCUUGUUGAAAAUGAACUUUUAUCUUGCAAAACACAUGAGGCUAUUAACCCUGUUGUUAAGCUUGAUGUAGCAACCUCAUGUGAUGACUUGAUUCAAGAAGAGCAAACUAGUCUACAUGAUGAAUUGACUGAAAAAGUUGAAGUCCUGACUUUAGACAACCAAAAAUUGAAGAAUUACUUGACUGAUGCAACUACUAGAGGAAAAGUUGCUAUUGAGAACAAUGAUUUCAACAAUGAGUUGGCAGUGGAUAAUCAAAGGCUUAAGAAUGAGGUCAAGAAACUAAAAAGUGAAAAUGAACAUCUUGCAACAAGUGUGCAAAAGUUCAACAAGGGUCAAUACCUCCAAAAUGAGCUGCUUAUGAACACUGUUAUGAAAAAUAACAAGAGUGGUAUUGGAUACAAUGCUUUUGUGCAAAAGAAAGCUAUCACUCAAUACAAGCCAAAGCAGACUCACAAGCCUAUCAAAUGCUUUGAGUGUGGAAAUGAAGGUCAUUUUGCCCACAACUGCAAAGCUAAACCACCAACUCCCUUGCCUAAGCACUCAAGACCAUUUGCUUUCAAUGCUCACUAUGUUCUAAGAAAGGUUGCAAAUGGAAAGAUUAAGGUUACAUUCCUAGGUCCACCAAAUAAGAGUAGACCUAGACAAAUCUGGGUGGCAAAGUCCUUAAUUGAGAGAGUCACUGGUCCUAUGCAAUAUAGGGCUCUCAAAACUCAAGCUUGAAUUGUCUGUGAAUGUAGGUGAACUACAAGACCGGUGGGAGCCAUUGGGUUAUUGACAGUGGAUGCACACAACAUAUGACAGGCAACCCACGGAUGUUCACCUCAUUAGAUGAGAAUGUUGAUGGUCAAGAUAAAAUCACAUUUGGAGACAACUCAAAAGGAAAAGUACAAGGACUUGGCAAGGUGGCAAUCUCAAAUGACUUAUCAAUAUCAAAUGUUCUCUUAGUUGCACCUUUGAGCUUCAAUUUAUUAUCAGUGGGACAACUCUGUGAUCUUGGACUUCAAUGCUUAUUCACUCCAUCAAAGGUUAUUGUAACAAAAAUGGAUGAUGAAUCAAUGGUAUUCAAGGGUUUUAGAUACAACAACCUCUACUUAGUGGAUUUCACUUCAGAAGAUGCAGACUUAAGAACUUGCCUCUUCACCAAAGCUUCUCUUGGAUGGCUUUGGCAUAGGAGGCUUGCACAUGUUGGGAUGAGCACACUCAAGAAGGUAUUAAAGAAAGAUAUGGUUAGAGGAUUAAAGGAUGUGGUAUUUGAAAAGGACAAGCCAUGCAGUGCAUGUCAAGCUGGAAAGCAGGUUGCUAAUACACAUCCCACUAAAGCUUUCAUGUCAACAUCAAGGCCACUGGAACUACUUCAUAUGGAUUUAUUUGGACCUACAAAUUAUGUCAGUGUCGGUGGCAACCUCUACUGUCUAGUGAUUGUUGAUGACUUCUCAAGAUACACUUGGGUGUUCUUUCUCCAUGACAAAUCUGAAGUUGCAUCUAUAUUCAAGAAGUUUGCCAAGAAAGCACAAAAUGAAUUUGAUUGCAAGAUUAAGAAGAUUAGAAGUGACAAUGGCAAAGAAUUUGACAACACCAACAUUCAUGAGUACUGUGAUGAAAUUGGGAUCAAACAUGAAGUAUCUGCCACAUAUACACCUCAACAAAAUGGAGUUGUUGAAAGGAAAAAUAGGACCUUGAUCACUCUUGCAAGAACAAUGAUUGAUGAGUAUAACACACCGGAGAGGUUUUGGGCUGAAGCUGUCAACACUGCUUGCUAUGCAUCAAACAGACUAUUUCCUCACCGGCUACUUGCGAAGACUCCUUAUGAACUACUAAAUGGGAAAAAGCCAGACGUCUCUUUCUUCCGGGUGUUUGGGUGCAAAUGCUACAUCUACAAAAAACGCCAUCAUCUAGGGAAGUUUCAAAGACGUUGUGAUAUUGGUUUUCUUUUGGGUUAUUCAUUAAAGUCCAAAGCAUAUCGAGUAUUCAACCAUGCCACUGGCGUGGUAGAAGAAACAUAUGAUGUGGAAUUUGAUGAGACUAAUGGCUCCCAAGGAGCACUUGAAAAUCUUGAUGAUGUAGGUGAUGAGCCACUUAGGGAAGCAAUGAAGAACAUGCCUAUUGGAGCUAUCAAACCAAAAGAAGAUGAAGAAGAGGUGCAAAUCAUUGACAGGCCUUCUUCAUCAAAUGUACCACAAGAUGAUGAAAAAGAUGAGAGGCAUGCAAAUGAAGAUACAUUUGUCUCUCAUGAACAAGCAAGGGUACAAGCCGAAGAUGUUGAUGCUCCAGGAUCUUCUUCCCAAGUGGUUGACAGGAGAAACUCAUCACUACUUCAAGCUCAUCCUCAAAACCAAAUCAUCGGGAGUCCUUCACAAGGGGUUAUUACUCGAUCACAUAGACAUGCUAAUUUUAUUGAACAUCACUCUUUUGUUUCUUGUGUUGAGCCUACUUGUAUAGAUGAGGCGCUACAGGAUCCGGACUGGGUGAAUGCCAUGCAUGAAGAACUUAACAACUUCACCCGUAACGAAGUUUGGACCCUGGAGAAGCCCCCACAAGAUGCAAGAAUCAUUGGAACAAAGUGGGUGUUCAGAAACAAACAAGAUGAUCAAGGUGUGAUUGUAAGAAACAAGGCAAGACUUGUCGCAAAGGGAUUUUCUCAAGUUGAAGGCUUAGAUUUUGGAGAGACCUUUGCACCGGUUGCUCGACUGGAAGCCAUCCGUAUCCUACUUGCAUAUGCAUCAUGCUAUGAUAUAAAACUUUAUCAAAUGGAUGUAAAAAGUGCAUUUUUAAAUGGCUUCAUAAAUGAACUUGUAUAUGUUGAGCAACCGCCUGGAUUUGAAGACCCUAGAUAUCCUAACCAUGCUUACAGGUUGUCCAAGGCGCUAUAUGGGCUAAAGCAAGCUCCAAGGGCUUGGUAUGAGCGUCUUCGCGACUUCCUCAUCGAAAAGGGCUUCAAAAUCGGGACCGUCGAUACAACUCUCUUCACAAAGAAACAUAACGGUGAUAUUUUCAUUUGUCAAGUAUAUGUUGAUGAUAUAAUAUUUGGCUCGACAAAUGACUGUCAUUGCAAGGAAUUUGGUGAGUUGAUGUCGAAGGAGUUCGAGAUGUCAAUGAUUGGUGAGCUAACAUACUUCCUCGGCUUUCAAGUCAAGCAAAUGAAAGAUGGUAACUUUCUCUCACAAGAGAAGUAUACCAAAGACUUGUUGAAAAGAUUCAACAUGGAGAAGUGCAAACCAAUCAAGACCCCCAUGCCUACAAAUGGACAUCUCGACUUAGAUGAGGGAGGUAACCCGGUUAAUCAAACUCUCUACCGUUCUAUGAUUGGUAGCUUAUUAUACCUUACCGCAUCUAGGCCCGAUAUCAUGUUUAGUGUCUGCAUGUGUGCUAGAUUUCAAUCUAAUCCUAAGAAAGCUCAUCUUCGCGCUGUUAAGAGAAUUCUUAGGUAUCUCAAGCACACCACAAGCGUUGGUCUGUGGUAUCCCAAAGGAGCUACUUUUGAUUUAAUUGGCUAUUCCGAUUCGGAUUAUGCCGGUUGCAAAAUUGAUAGGAAAAGUACUUCUGGGGGAUGCCAUCUGCUUGGUAGAUCACUAGUUUCAUGGACAUCCAAAAAGCAAAAUAGUGUUGCCUUGUCAACUGCCGAAGCGGAAUACAUUGCCGCAGGUGCUUGUUGCACACAGAUUUUAUAUAUGAAACAAACUCUUCUAGACUAUGGCGUAGUUCUAGAAAAAGUACCUUUGUUGUGUGAUAAUGAGAGUGCUGUUAAAAUUGCUAAUAAUCCUGUACAACACUCUCGCACCAAGCACAUUGAUAUCCGUCAUCACUUCCUUAGAGAUCAUGUUGCUAAAGGAGAUAUUGUUUUAGAAGGAGUGAGGUCGGAAGAUCAAUUAGCGGAUAUUUUCACUAAGCCACUUGAUAAGACCCGCUUUUGCAUGUUGAGAAAUGAACUAAAUAUUCUUGAUCUCAGAAAUUUUAUGUGAAAUGUCAAAUGGUGUUGUCAAGCUUGCAUUGCAUAUUUAAAUUCCUUGUAUUGCAUCUAGGGCUUGUCUAACCUAGUUGAGAUAACCGCCAAUAAAGCGAGUGAAAAAGCUUAACUCGGGUCAAACUUGACAAGUCCUAGCUUUAAGCUUUUAGCACCUAAAUUCUUACUUUCAUGCAAUUAUUGGUUCUUGAAAUAUGCAUGAGGUACUGCACUUAGGGGGAGUAUUCAAAACUCAAAUCACUCAUGAAAACCCCUAGUGCAAACCAAAAUACAAAUUUCACCAUUUGCCUAUUUUCUCUAAAAAAUUAUCUAGCCUAUGGCAAAAUAUUUUGAAAAGUAUAUGAGGGUGCCAAUACCUGUCCCAACAAGUGUUCUUUUGUGUGAUUAUAAGUUGGGAUUUGGUUUGGUUAGGAGUUAGAUAGAAAAAUUCAAAAUUUUCCAAACUCCCCUCUGUCUGGGCUCACCGGACAGUCCGGUGUGCACCGGACACUGCACUGUGCAAUGUCCGGUGCACCGGCAGCCGCGCGCAAAAUUCCUCUUUUCCUGUGCGCUGUCCGGUGGUUCACCGGACAGCUACUGUGCGCUGUCCGGUGUGCACCGGACAGCCACUGUAGACUGUCCGGUGUGCCCAUCUCGCGUUUUUAAAAAAUCGGCCUCCAGCCCAUGCCAGGCCAGAGGCCUCAUCCUUUCCCUGGCCGCGCUCUGUCUCCGCUGUCUCUGGCGACUUCCAAGCGCCCGCCAUCGAUCUCUUCUCUCCGGCGGCCUCCAUCUCCGGCGGCCUCCAUCUCCGGCGUCCUGCGCACCCCUUCUGCUCCCCCUCCAUAAGCAGCCCUCUGUCCUCCCUCUCUCUCUCUCUUUUCUCUGACAGUUAGGCAGUGAACUCCACCCUCUUGCAAAUCCUUCCAAUCUCUGUGAAAUCCGAUGAAUUCCUUUGUGAAAUGUGUUCCCCUAUGUGCCUUAAGCAUCCUUGCAGGUUCCUAGCUCCUUCGGGAGGGCAUUCCCACCUCAAAUGGCCAUUUCCCUAAAACCCUAGAUCCCCGCACACCACGUGCUCGGUGAAAUGCCCAAACCAGCCAAACUUGCUCAAAUUGAACCCAAAUUUUUCAGGCUCCUUCACCACACUUCCAGUAACCUACUUGCCAAAUUUCACGCCAAUCCGAGAUCCCAGGCUUAAAUUUCAUCAAAAUUCCCGUUUUGCGCGAUCGUUUCCGAGUCGAGUGUCCAAAACCCUAUUUCUUCGCCUAAAUUCAAACCAAGCACACACUUCACUCAUAUUGACCUAUAUAAACCUAUUCGUGAAGUAUCGGCUCAAUCCCAUAUCGUUUUGUGCCUCAAUUUGAAUUCCAAUCACCCUAUGUCUCUAUUUGUCCGUCAACCGUCGUUUUCACGGCUUUUGACUUAUCGAUCGUCCCGUCUCGUGCCAUCUCUCUUUGUGUAUGUAUUUAUUCACAUUUCAUAUGCUUAUGACUAUGUGACUAAUACGUGCUCACCUCUUCUGUCAUUUCAGUGACCUUGUGUGACCGUGUGCCGUCUCCCGUUCUGCCUGGAUCGUCACCUCCAGUGUGCGCUUUCCAGGUAGACAUCUCACUCUUUACUAAAUCUAUCGGUCACUUUUGCUCUGUGCUUAGUUUCUCUAUCUUGUUUGCAGACUUUAGUUCCGGAUGCCGCGCACGAAGAAUGCGUCGGCAUCAGGGGGUGGCGACGAUGAGGACCCUCGUCGCCCCUUCAGGCAGGUGAAGGGCAAGACUGUGUAUCUGGAGCAGCAGGAAGGCCGCAAGAAGCGGCGUUCAGACAGAGAGGCUCGUGCAGCAGCAGCUGCUGCAGCAGCCGCUGCACAGGCAGCACUUGGAGAUCAGCCGGAUGUUCCAUCAGAUCAGAUUGCUUUCCGUGCUCGUCGUCUCGCCUCCCGGUCUCGCUCCUCCACUCGCACCUCCGCUUCCACUCUGCCACCCACUCUGCCUGCUCCAGUCACUCCUAUUGCUCCAUCCACCUCCACCGCCAUACCCACUACCAGCACCACGCCAGCUUCCACUGCUUCCCCUGCCCCCGCUCCCGCUUCAGCUCCACCUGUCCCUCCACCUCGCUUCCGGGAGCGUGAUGAGACUGAGGUUCGUCCUCUGGCUUCGGAUCCUCGUCUGUUUGAUCUUCAGCGUGCUACUGCAGCCCGGGUACGUCGGUUCAGGUACGUACCCGUGGAGUCUUGGCUGCCUGCUCAGAGAGACCCAGCAGUAGGAGUUCUCUUCAGCACACGGAUUCAGGAGUCUUUCUUCAGGGCUCAGAUGUCUGCUCAGAUUGCGCUACGAGUUCACCGCCUAUUGGAUCUUCCAGCCUUCUUGCUAGCAGCCGGUGCUGAGUCUGAGGCGCAUCUCACCUAUUUGCCAGGCCUUCUGUCCUUUCUGACUAUCAGCGGCAGAUAUGUUGAGGAGUGGGUCCGCGUCUUCUAUGCCUCUGUUUGGAUUGACCCGGAUCAUCAGUGGAUGAGGUUUCGUUUUGAGCGCGAGGAUGUCACGAUCACUGCUAGUCAGAUCCGUCAGCUUUUUGGAUUCCCUGAUUCGACGACUCGCCUUCACAGUCUCUGCUACGGCACUUCAGAUCCUCCACGUCGCCCUCACGGCGGUGUGGCUCCAGGGACAGCUCACGUCGCGGCUCUGUUUCGCCCGCCUUUCACAGAUGGGUCCCGACGUUCUCCAGCAGACUUCACUACUGCAGCGAAGUACCUGUAUGAGCUCGUCAGGCGGACACUCCUGCCUAGGAUGGGAUACAGGGAGGCUACCACUCACAUUCAGCUUUGGCUCCUUGGUGCCCUGGUAUCCCACUCUGAGUUUGAUGUUGUUGACUUUCUGAUCUGUGAGAUUGAGGAUACUGUUCUGGAUGGGAUUCGUGCUCGACGGCAGCUACCGUAUGCUCACUACUUAUGCCACAUCUUUGCGCAGCUGAUUCAGCCACCUCGAUUUCAGAGCACUCUUGAGGCCUCACGCCUUGUGUUUGGAUCUUACCGCCCUGCUCCUGAGAUUCCAGUGCCAGCUUCUGCUUCUGUGUUUGACUCUCAGGCCGAGGACGCAGCUCUACGUCAGUUUGACACUCAGGGUACAGCUGCUGAUGAUGAUGAUGAUGAUGAUGAUUUUGGGGUUCCUCUUCCGCCUCCGCCUCCUAUGCCUCCACGCUCACAUGAUCAUGAGGCUGGGAGUUCCCGUGCUGCCCCUGCUCCUACUCCAGCUUUGGACCCUGCCCUUGCUUCGAUUCUUCAGACUCUCACCCAGCAGCAGCAGACUCUCACUCAGCAGCAGCAGACUCUCACCCAGCAGCAGGCUCUUCUGGCCGCCGAGCAGGCCCGUUUAUCCGACAGGAUGCUCUCGAUGUUUCAGAGCAUGCAGGACAGGCAGGAUGCACUUCAGCAGCAGCUUAUUCAGGAUAGGGCAGAGAGUAGGGCAUUCAUGGCUCUCAUGCUUCAGCAUUCUGGUAUCUCAGCACCUCCGGUUCAGUCUGUUCCGCCUCCUCCGCUUCACGCUCCAGUGGUGCCUUCGAUCUUGUCUGGACCCCCUGUUGGUACCUCUCCGCUCCGGUCGGUCACUUUGGCGUUCACCUCUCCGGUUCUCAGCUCUGUCUGUCCGCAGCCGCCAGUGCCACCAGCAUCUGCUGUUACCACUACCGCUGUGGCAGUAUCUGUGACCGCUUCUGUUCCGGUAGCUCCUGCAGCGCUGCCUGCGUCCGAGUCAGUACCUGCUCCAGCUUCUACCGCAGAUCCUGGAUCCGAGACUGACUCUGACCCUCCGUCGGCGUUUGCUCUGCUACCUAGACCUCGACCGGAUGCGCCCCCGCCGCCUCCUCCUGCUUCAGGUGUUUAGGUUCAGGUCCCUUUUGGUGUUUGACGCCAAAGGGGGAGAGAUAUGAGUUGUGAGAGCUAGGGGGAGUUAGAGAGUUAGUAGAGAGUCAGUGUCCUUUUGAUGUAAUAUUUGUGCCUGCUACUCUCUGUUCUAGCUUGAUGUUUUUGCCUCACAAACUCGUCAUAUACUCUCGUUGCUUAUGGUUGACUGUGUGUAUUACGAUUUCAUCUUAUAUCAUAUCACCAGUCUUCCUGCUCUUGUUUCAUUAAUUUACUUUCUCUUUUAUAUGAACAAGAAUCUUAUGAUGUGUAUGCGUUCACUCUUAUUAUUAUGGUACACAUUCUUUCUGUCAAAAAAUUACUGAGUAUAACUAACCAUUCUUUCUAUUGACAGAAUCUUCAAAACAAACUACUCUCACAAAACUUGUAGGGUUGUCAUCAAUCACCAAAAAGGGGGAGAUUGAAAGCAUCUAGGCCCCUGGUUGGUUUUAGUGAUUAAUGACAACGUAAUAUUAUAUGUGACUAACGUGUGUUUUGCAGAGACAAAUGGUAAGUUAGGUCGCAUGACAGGUAAAAGCACUACAAUGUGAAAGCAAUCUCGGAGAUAAAAACUCGAAGCGACGGCUAGAACAACGGAACAAAAGGUGAAGGUCUACGGAGUCCGAGUGUCAAGGAGAUGUGGACACUCGCGAUCUAGUUAGGUCUUUUAUUCUCUUUUAGCCGUACUAUAAAGAGGGGUUGUCGAUGAGUAGUUUGACCAAGAGAGUUCUAGUGUAGUGUUGGUGCACAAUCACACUCAUAUACAGUGCUAGGUGUCACUCUAGAACUCACACACAAGUUAGAGCGAAAACCGAUUUUAAAAUCAGUUGAAAAACAAGACUUAGAGUUUCUGGCUUUGGGGCACCGGACUGUCCGGUGUGCACCGGACUGUCCGGUGCACCCUCUGCCAGGUGGGCCAGGCUGGUCCACGGCAGGGACUCUCCCAGUCGCAGAAACCCGAGAGCGCAGCCUUCAGAAAUGAAUUUUAGUGGCACACCGGACACCGCACCGGACUGUCCGGUGUGCACCGGACAGUGAACUGUUCACUGUCCGGUGCGCCAUGAGUCCAACGGCUAGCUGUCAGAACUAGCCGUUGGAAGUGACCGUUGGCGCACCGGUGGCGCACCGUUGGCGCACCGGUGGCGCACCGGACUGUCCGGUGCGCCAUCGCGCAGCAAGUUUCCUGUAACGGCUAGUUGGUGGGUGAGGGCUAUUUAUACCCCUUCCACCCACCAUAUUCAAUGUCUUGCACUCCACAUUUAUUCCAGCACUUUGGUAGAGCAUUGCAAGCACCAAAAGCCUAGUGAGGAGAUUAGAGAAUCAUAAUCCGCGCUUGUUCCUCAUUAGCGCUAGUGAGAGCCACCUAGAGCACACACCACUUGCAUUAGGCUUCUCUUGGUCAAGCGAAAGUCUAUGGCUUGUUACUCUUGGUGAUCGGCAUCACCUAGAUGGCUUGGUGGCGUUGGGAGCUCGGUGAUCACCGUGAAGAUCUUGUUGGUGACCCGGCUCAAGUUUGUAAGCGGUCUCGAGGGAUCCACCGCGCCGGAGUGGCAAAGGAUCAUCUCGUAGUGAGCACUUGGUUCUUGCGAGGAUCAAGGGGGAGCGAUACCCUUGCGCGGGUGCUCCAACGAGGACUAGUGGAGAGUGCCGACUCUUCGAUACCUCGGGAAAAAUUGGAGGAGUCUUCUAAACUUUGCUUUACAUUCCGCACUCAAUUUAAGCACUUUACAUUGUGUAUUUGUUUAGCAAGUAUUUGAAGUAUUAUCUUAGCUUUGUUACAUUUCUAGUAUUAUAUUCUUAGUGCUAGUUGUUGGGGUGAAGUUGGGCUCUUGUUUAGCUCUUGCUUAGGUUUUAAUUAGUGUUGAUUUUUAGAAAAGCCCAAUUCACCCCCCCUCUUGGGCAUCGUGAUCCUUUCAUUAUGGACCAGAAAUCCUUUGAUCACACAAGAGAUAACCAUAGCAUCGUUGUGUGGGUAGUCCUUGAGUUGAAGAUCUACUUGAGAGAAGGUAAUUGGAAUGUGAGACCAUCUUGACUUGAUGAAGGGUCCUUGCACCCCGACAUGUUGUACCCUUCUCUGUGCCUCCUUCUUCUGCUUCUUGUUAGCUGGCUCUGAGCAUGAACCGCCUGUUAUGAGGAGUACCAGCUUCGGAGCCGAAGCAGCUCCAGCUUGAUCGUUGAACGAAGCCAUUAGCUCAAAAAAAGUGGAAGCGAGUUGACCGGAGGUGGACGCCAAUGUUGGAGACUUGUUCUCAAAUGCUAUGAAUCAAGAACAAGGCAACACAAAAGAUGUUAAAUAUCAAAUGUCCUUCGUCCGCUGAAGCAUCAUCUCCUCAAGGGUUUAAUGAUCUUCGGACGAAGGCCUCAAACACAAUAUUACGAAGGUGACAAAGAUAAUAUAAAGCGAUGUAAAAUGUAGAAUAUUAAAGAUAAAUAUGUUGGAGAUAAAUGGCAUCACUCACAUAUUUUAUCAUAUGAAUCUAAAAUGUUUGAAUACAAUGUUUAAGGUAUGUUUAUACCUUCGCCUUGACAAGUAAUAAUUCCCGAGUGAUGCACUUGCGAUUACAGGAACACGUGAACAGUAAAGGAAUAUUGUUCACUAUUUAUAGGCAUAGGACACAACCUGUGAGGAAUUACAAUCAUGCCCUUCAUAAAAGUUUACAACAAUGAUUCAGACCCCUACAGGCUAAAAGGUCAUUCUAUCUUUAAGUCGGUUCGACCCUUCAUCUUCGGAUACGUUAUAAUCCCGAAGCUUCAUGAAUGAUACCUUCAUCGUCACGUACGAGCAGCUUCAGCCGCAGCUGUUUCUUUCUGUAGGACCUUCGGCGACGAAGCAUGGUCCCAACACCUUCUUCUUGUAAUAUAUCUUCUUCUCCUUCUUCUUCCCCUCUUGUCGUUAUCCCUGUCACUAUCACUAGACAAAGGGCAUUUAGUGAUAAAAUAACCGGGCUUACCACAUUUGUAGCAUACUUUCUUAGAGCGGGGCUUGUAGUCCUUCCCCCUCCUUUGCUUGAGGAUUUGGCGGAAGCUCUUGAUGAUGAGCGCCAUCUCCUCAUUGUUGAGCUUGGAGGCGUCGAUGGGGACCCUACUUGGUGUAGAGUCUUCUUUCUUCUCCUCCGCCGCCUUAAAUGCGACGGGUUGCACAUCGGGUGUGGAGGAGGCGCCUUGCUCGAUGAUUUUCUUGGAGCCUUUGAUCAUCAAUUCAAAGCUCACAAAUUUUCCUAUCACUUCCUCGGGAGACAUUAGUUUAUAUCUAGGAUCAUCACAAAUUAAUUGAACUUGAGUAGGGUUAAGAAAUAUGAGUGAUCUAAGAAUAACCUUGACCAUUUCAUGGUCAUCCUAUUUGGUGCUCCCGAGGUUGCGCACUUGUUUCACCAAGGUUUUUAGCCGGUUGUACAUGGCUUGUGGGUCUUCUCCUUAGUUGAGCAUAAAACGAUCGAGCUCCCCCUCGAUCGUUUCCCUCUUGGUGAUCUUGGUCACCUCGUCUCCUUCGUGCGCGGUCUUGAGCACGUCCCAAAUCUCUUUGGCGCUCUGUAACCCUUGCACCUUAUUAUACUCCUCUCGACUUAGAGAGGCGAGGAGUAUAGUGGUCUCUUGGGAGUUGAAGUGCCAGAUUUGGGCAACUUCGUCCAAGUCGUAGUCUUCAUCCCCUACGGAUGGUACCCGCACUCCAAACUCAACAACGUCCCAAAUACUAGUGUGGAGUGAGGUUAGGUUAUGCCUCAUUUUAUCACUCCACAUGUUAUAAUCUUCACCGUAAAAAACCGGUGGUUUGCCUAAUGGAACGGAAAGCAAUAGAGUACAUUUAGAAAUGCGAGGGUAGCAUAGGGGGAUCUUACUAAACUUCUUGCGCUCAUGGCGCUUAGAAGUUACGGACGGCGUGUUGGAGCCGGAGGUGGAUGGCGACGAAGAAUCGGUCUCGUAGUAGACCACCUUCUUCAUCUUCUUCUUCUUGUCGCCACUCCGAUGCAACUUGUUGUGGGAGGUUGACUCUCCCUUUCCUUUGGAGCCGAACUCCCUUGAUGGAGCCUUCCCGUGGCUUGUAGCGGGCUUCUCGCCGGUCAUGACCUCCUUCUUGGCGUGAUCUCCCGACAUCACUUCGAGCGGUUAGGCUCUAAUGAAGAACCUGGCUCUGAUACCAAUUGAAAGUCGCCUAGAGGGGGUGAAUAGGCGAAAUCUGAAAAUUAUAAACUUAAGCACAACUACAAGCCGGGGUUAGCGUUAGAAAUAUAAUUGAGUCCGAAAGAGAGGGCGAAAACAAAUCACAAGCAAAUGAAGAGUGAGACGUGGUGAUUUGUUUUACCGAGGUUCGGUUCUUGCAAACCUACUCCCCGUUGAGGUGGUCACAGAGACCGGGUCUCUUUCAACCCUUUCCCUCUCUCAAACGGUCACCUAGACCGAGUGAGCUUCUCUUCUCAAUCAAUCGAGACACCAAGUCCCCACAAGGACCACCACACAAUUAGUGUCUCUUGCCUUGAUUACAAUUGAGUUGGGAACAAGAAAGAAAGAAGAAAAGAGAUCCAAGCGCAAGAACUCAAAUGAACACAAUUCUCUCUCUCACUAGUCACUUAAUUUGAUUGGAAUGAUCUUUGGACUUGGGAGAGGAUUUGAUCUCUUUGUUUAUGUCUUGGAGUGAAGUCUAGAGCUCUUGUAUUGAAUGCAAUGGCUGAAAACUUGGAUGCCUUGAAGUGUUGGUGGUUGGGGGUAUUUAUAGCCCCAACCACCAAAGUGCCCGUUGGGGAUGGCUGCUGUCGUAUGGCACACCGGAUAGUCUGGUGCGCCAGCCACGUCACCCAACCGUUAAGGUUCGACCGUUGGAGCUCUGACAAGUGGGGCCACCGGACAGUCCGGUGGUGCACCGGACAGGUCCUGUUCACUGUCCGGUGCGCCUCCUGCGCCUGCUCUGACUUCUGCGCGCGCAGGCGCGCACUGUUCACUUUCACUGUUCCUUUGCAGAUGACCGUUGGCGCGAAGUAGCCGUUGCUCCGCUGGCACACCGGACAGUCCGGUGUUACAUCGGACAGUCCGGUGAAUUAUAGCGGAGUGACUCCCUAAAUUCCCGAAGCUGAGCAGUUCAGAGUCGUUCCUCCCUGGUGCACCGGACACAGUCCGGUGGUGCACCGGACAGUCCGGUGCGCCAGACCAGGGCAAACUUCGGUUGUCUUUUACUCUUUUUAUUUGAACCCUUUCUUUGACUUUGUAUUGGUUUGUGUUGAACCUUUGGCACCUGUAGAACUCAUAAUCUAAAGCAAACCAGUUAGUCCAAUUGUUUAUGUUGGGCAAUUCAACCACCAAAAUUCAUAUAGGAAAAGGUUUGACCCUAUUUCCCUUUCAGUCCGGUACUAACACGUGUCAGGACCCAGUCUGGUGCGGACCUGUCCGCAUACGCCUCUGCUCCCCGCCCAGGCGGAGACUCGAUGCUGCCACGUAGCCUACUGCGCGCGACGUAAGCCAGCGGACGGAGCCUUACGUAAGGCCUCCGGGUUACGCAGCCCCUGCAUUUAUUGCGAAUAAGGCGCGCCGCCUGACAAGCGAUGUGCCGCCUCGGCAUUUAAUGAGGCCUGCCCACUCUGCUGUUAGGCGGCGACCUGUCCAUUCCACUGGCAAGCAGUGUGCCGCCUCAAUAUUUAAUAAGACCUGUCCAUUCCGCUGGCAGGCGGCAUGCCUGUCUAUUCCAUUGGCAGGCGGCACGCCUAUGCUGCCGCAUGCACUAUAUUCAUCGUCACUCAUACGUACCAAGGAAGCUACUGUUGUGUAUCAACACUGCGCAGGCAGCGGACAUCGGGGUGCCAGAAGAUCUCUCAGGCGUCACCUGUAUUAGUUGCUCCGUGUAUUCCUUCCAUUAUGUCUCUGGGCCCACAUAUCAGGCUCAACAACCUUGUACGUGCCUCCCUUGAGCUAUAAAAGGGAAGACACACAACGUUACAAGGAUCCUCACUCAGACUCACUUAGACCCUCAGGAAGUUCUCCAAGCUCUCGAGCAAUACAACACACAGUGGAGUGGGGUAUUACGCUCUGGCUGCUCGAACCACUCUAAAUCCGCGUGUCAUUUCGUGUGUUCAUCCACCAUCUAGCAACAGACAAAACGCUUAGGCCCCCUCCUCAUUUUAGGAUUUAGGGCGGGUGCAUUCCGCCAUCUGGCCGGAGAUUUCCCUCCGACAACCCCUAUAUCAAUAAAGAGUGUCACAUAUCUAUAUUACGUAGAAUUAAACCUCACAAUUGCAAACUUUAAAUCAGUGAUAUCCAAACAAUAGAACUGAAAUUACAAUCUCAAUAACAUAUUCAAAUAGAGCAUUAAAGUUUUGUGGGUACUCUAAAGCCGUAGCGGUUGAUCCUAGACAGCACCCUAAAUUUAGAUGGAGAUCCUACCACCUCUGAAUCUAAGGUAUUCUCUCGCUUUCCUCAUAAUUUUUAAUACUCAACACUAUAAAUUAAACAUAAGAUUAAUAUAUAAGUAUAUUUUAGGCUAUGACAAAUAUAUAUAUAUAUAUAUAUAUAUAUAUAUAUAUAUAUAUAUAUAUAUAUGUGAGAAAUGAAAUUUAAAAUAUAUAUAUCGAAUAUUGUGUAUUGUGUAUAGAGAUGAAUUCAAAAAGAACUCGUAUAAUACAGCGUGUUUGGUUCGCGAUCUAGAUUGGAAGCGAAGGGUCAGAACAAGGCAUAAGUCACACCAAACAAGAGCCGGAAUUGAUGAUAAAAUUGUAGUGGAGCCCGCGUAGAGAUGGCAACGGGUACAAACCCGCCGGGUUUUGCUGUCCCAAACCCGUACCCGUGAAAAAUAUUUACACUCAUUAAAAAACCCGUACCCAUGACGGGUUUGAAAUUUUGCCCAAACCCGUACCCAUCGGGUUUACGGGUGUCCACGGGUUACCCGCGGGUUUUUAUCUCCAAUAUGCUUAUCCUUUUUAUAAUCAAUAAGUAUCGUAAUGAUUAAUGAGAUCAUGGUCCAAAAUUUAUGUAAUGAACAACGAAUUAAUGAUUUGGUAUAAAUAAUAUUAGUAGAGAGAAUUAAAUACAGAUAAUAAGUUGUAUAAUCAAGUUACCUUGCACUAAGUUAUACAUCCACCACAUAUAUAACACUGGUAAUAACUAUAAUAGCAAGCAAGCAACACUAUCACCAACUACUUAUACAUUCACUAUUUUAUAAAAAUUAGGAAGUAAAUAAGUAGAUAACAAGUUUGUUGUUCGUUUAUAAAAUAAAAUGACAAUAUGCACUAGGUUUGGUCGGGUUUAAAAAACUCACGGGUUCACGGGUUUGGCUACUACAGGAACAAACCCGUACCCAUGAACCCGUCGGGUAUACAUUUAUGUCCAUUAACAAACCCAUGGGUAUGAAAAUUGACCCAAACCUGUGCCUUAAUGGGGUAAAAACCCAUCGGAUUUCGGAUUUCGGGUACCCAUUGCCAUCUCUAAGCCCGCGUCACACGGAUCGACCCCUGGCGGCCUUUCCGCACACCAGCCCAUCCGUUCGCGCGCACGCGAAGGAGCCGAACCGAUCGCGUCGUGCGAGUGCGACACGUAAACGAAAGAAGAAGAAGAAGAUGGGGACGUGAGCGUGCUGUGGCAGGGCCCACAGGCCACACAGACUGGGUUUGCGUGCAACUCACGCAGCGGCCCACGAAGCGCUGUCGCACGCGAUCCCCGAACAGCCGUGCACGCGCCGUACCCGGGAGGCAGCAGGUGCCCACUGGCCACUAACCCGAGGCGCCAGUUCACGCGGGCCACAGGACGCCCGCGCAGUGACGAUCCGGACGCGAACCUCGUAUCAAAUUCGCUUAUGGGCAGCCGUCCUAUAAGAGGCGUCGAGUCCGCCGGCGCAUGGCAACCCCACCACAACCCAGCGCCGGCAGUCGCCGUCAUCGAUCGAUCGCCGGAAAACUAACCCCUAACGAUGUCUGGAGCCGGCGAGGAGGACAAGAAGCCCGCGGAGGGCGGCG